UUUUUUUUUUUUUUUUUUUCUAGAAAUAGCUAGGGUAGUAAAUAACAUAAACGCAUACAUAAGGCUGCAAAGAUACAAGGUUUCCUUAACGCAGGACGAUGACACCGACGACCAUCCCUAUCUCUUGGCUGUAGAAACCGGAAUAAUCUUCGGUUUCAUCUCUCCUGCGAAGGGAACCUCAUCUUCGUUGUUCUAUACUCAGAAAUAUGUGGCUAAGGUCCCUACUCGAUAUUUUUUAGAGAUUUACUGGAGGAAUGAAACGUUACUACUGUCUAAUAUGUUUUGCUUGGUCUGGCCCCAAGAGACCCAACCUUACGACAUCUUUUUCUUUUGCAUUUCACUUAUCUUUAAGGGGCUCGCAUGCUUAAUUUCUGUCCUAUGGUGGUUGCCAUCUUGUGAUUGUCGUACAAACAUGGACAGAUGUCAUAGAGAUCUGGCAAUGGACAAAGAUAAUGACAAAUUGUAUUAUGUCAGCUGGCUGAAGUCAGCUGCUUGCUAAUAAAAAGUUUACACCACCAUAUCAGACUAUCAGUCUCCCGAAAAUUAUAUUUGCCCUCCAGUUAACACCUCUAACACUCCAAUCAUUUAUUUUAGGGUUAUUAUCCGUCUAUCCCCUUAAACUAUAUCACUACUAUCAGUUUAUCUCUUAACGUUAUCUUUUAAUCACUUUACCCCUAUAAGUAAUUCAACUCAACAUGUUAAUAAAUUUUGGACAAAAAUAUCCUUUUAUUUUAUAGCAUUACUACGUUGUUAUUAUCAUUUUAUUCGUUUGAAUUAUAGUGAUACAAUCAUUUUAGUUCCUAACAUUAUUUUUUAGGCAUUUUACCUCAUCAUUAAUCUAACUAGUAUGGUCAAAAAAUUUUAAAUAUAUUUAUCCUUUUUUAGAUAUAAUUAAAAAUAAAAAGUUAGAAUGGUUAUUCUUCUUUUUUUUUCACUUUAAGAGAUCGAAAAACAUAAAAAUAAAAGAGUUUUCUCAAAUUUUUUUUUCACACUUAUUAAUACUAGGAAAAGAAAAGGAGAUAGGAAAGAAGGAGACAACAAAUUAGAUUUUGCAAAAAAUUAAAAUAAAGAAAAGUCUAACAUUAUCGUAUUACUUUAAGGUUUUCGGGAUUAGAAUUGAAAUUUGGUGGUAAACGAAAAAGUGAAAUAAUUUUAAAAUAAUAAAAGUAUUUAAUUCUUUCUUAUUUGUAAUUUUUUUUUAAAAAAUUGAGUUCUCUCUCUCCCCCUCCCCCUCUCCAUCUUUCUAUUUUUUUUUCAAUAUUAAUAAGAUUGUCAAGAAGAAAAAAAUUAAUACUUUGACUUUUUUUCUUGAUAUUAAAAGGAGAAGAGUCGCUCUAAAUUUUUUGUUAUUUUUAUUAUGCAAAGAGAAUGGUAUUUUCUUCUAAAGUUUUUUAACUUGCUAAGUUGGUUUAAUGGUAGGAUAAAUUAUCUAAAAAAUAACUCUAUGAGGUAAAUUGAUAAUGAGACUAUAUUUUAUGGGGGUAAAGUGAUAAUAAUUUUAAGGGUUAAACAUGUCUUUUCAUUUUAAUUAACAAACUCCGUUAAGUUUGGCCGUUAGUCUUGAGGGUAAAGUGACUAAAAGAUAACGUUAAGGGGGAAAUUGAUAGUAACACCAAACGUUAAGGGGGUAAAGUGAUAAUAACCCUUUAUUUUAUGUUCCUUGAGUUUCCAAAAUGCCCUCUUUUGUCCAUUGUUUAUGGCAUUUCUUCUAUGCUUAUUCAAGUCCUAGAUUUAUGCUUGUUACUUUUUCGAAUCAAAAUCAUCCCUUUUCAUCAAUUCAAUGUAAUCUUCUACUCACAAUCUAAACAAAUCAUUACACCAGAAUUUUAAUCUAGCCUCAAAUGCAUUUAAAUAUCACAAGAAUAACCUCCAAUUACAAUAAUGUAUCUUGUAAACACAUCAAAAAAAAGAGAGAGAGAGAAAGAAAAUGCUGAAAAGUGGUCACAGAUUUAUUCACGUCCUAGUCUUCAGAAACAACUGAAGACAGAAUUCGAACCAAAACAGAAGGCAAAAGCCGAACACAGGAGUGGUGUGCUGUGAAAUGGUGUGCAUCAUUCCAGCAUCAAUGUGACAAAAAACAACCCUUCUAAAUUCUAAUCAAAACCCAUGAUCAUGUCACUGCCAAAGCUCCUGAUCAUUUUUGGUACAGCUCUCUCUUCCCUACUACUAGGCUUCGUCGGCUCGCCCUCGCCCGAUGGUGCAACAGGUGAAGAAGGUAAGAUUGUGGAUUCGCGCUGAGCGUCGAGGAUUUCUCCGAGCCUUUCCUCAUCCACACCAAAUGCAGCUGCAAGUUCAGGUCCCCUCAUGUUAUCUAGAAGUGAAUUUGCUCCUACCAAGAACUGGGGCCGGUUGUCUCGCGAAGAUGUGGUGAAGCCGAAGAACUCAAACGGGCCAGCUCUUGAUGCAAUUUGGCAGAAUGGGAAGUACCUAGGAAUCCAAAAUGCAUCUCCCUCUUUCACUUGUGCAUCCAUUGCCAAACUUCCAUUCGGAAAGACAAUCUGGAUUCUACCGGUUCCUCUCAAAACUAUUCCAUACUCGACUGCUCUUGGAUUAACGUGGGGUGCCAUCAUUGAUCCCUAGAUUCAUCGAACAAAUAGCACUUUGAUACCAUAAUACAGUCUUGACAAAAUAUUAAGCCAUAUAUAUAGUCUAAGAAAUGCGUGAAGGGGUGCAGCAAAGGAAAAGAAUUUACCGCGGUAAGAUUGACGAGGUAGACACCAAUAUCAGAGUGGCGAAGAGGAGAGUAAUCAUUUUCGUCCACGGCUUUGCUCCAUCCAUAAUCGUUCUUGAAGUCGGCUUUUCUUUCGUAAAUGUUGCAAGCCUCUGGGCCUCUCCCUCUGCCUCUCGUGUCAUCAUCUCUAUUCUUUUCCUCCCCGAAGAUUGAUAUCAAUAGCUUCCUGAAUGACCAAGUUGGCUGCUCUUCGUCUUGGUUUGCCUCUUCUUCAGCAUGCACGAUUCUCUUCAAGUGAGCUAGCCUCUGAUGCUCUUUUAGGUCCAAGAAUUUUGACCACAUGCUUGGUGCACUAGAAUCAGAUAAAUACACGAUUGGGCCUAAAUGUUGCCUUGUCAUGAAAUCUCUCAAUUCAUCCACUGAGACCUGUUGAAGAAAUUUAUUGAAGAAAAGGUAGCAACAAUGAUUGUUUUAGGAAACAUUUCUAAGGUUUGUACUUACAUUAAACGCAGUCGACAUUGUUAAAGGAUCGAAUCCAGAGAGUAUAGAUGUGGGAUUUGUUCCUCCACCGACGAAGAAAGACUGCAGACAGAUCAUGUGUGAUUAAUUAAGACACGGCUAACAGAUAAUCAUGCUAUAAAAUCGAAACAGAACACAGAAGUAGUAACCCGGAAGCCAUGCUGAUGCCAAUGCCAUCCAUAGUUCUCGGACGUUUCAAUGCUACAGAUUAUGUAAAGCUUCUGGCCUUCUGCGGCGUUAACCAAGUAGAAUGCAGAACCAGAUGCAAUUCUAUACAGAUCCCCAGUCUUCAAAUGCCUUUCUGCAAAAUCAUCCUCGUAGACGUGUCCAAUUCUUGCUUCCCCUGAAAUAUCAAAUCCGUUUAUAAAACAUAAAUCAUCUAAACCAAUUUGCAAUUACAGAGAUGAUAAACAUAAUUAAUAAGAGGUUUCCAUCCCAAUAUGGCACAGCUGGUCAACUGAAGAAGAUGAGACACUUUGUCAUUACGUUGAUAGUUACUAGGAGACACAAUCAUGGACUAGCUAGAAACUUCUCUAGUUCUCUCUUGCCGUAAACAUAUGAACAUAAAUCCUUAAGUAGUAGAUCAUAUCAAUUUCAUUUGAUGCUUCAAUUUUUCGAUAAACUAAGCUCCAUAUUUCUAAGGAUAUUCAAUAUAAGUAAGUGAGGACGUAGUCUAACAGUGUCGAGUUCACAACCAAGAAACUCUUGAGAGUUGAGAGGGACUGAGAGAUCAAAAGAAUACCUCUACGGACGAAGAGGAUGAGAUUGGAAUCAAGAUACUGAGGGAUGAAAAGACUGUUUGGUUCCAUAGUAAUCAAGCCCAUAUGCAUUGGACUUCUCCAGAGUCUAUGACCGCCAUUCCUUAUCACCCUCAUAUGCCCAGCAUCAGUUCUCACCACAUCCAGUGACUCCCGCAACAAGAACCUGCUGUUUCCCCCCACCCCAGGCUCUCCUCCUUCACCACCGCCCUCCUCCCUCUCUCCUCCUUUUCCUCCUCCACCGAUCCCUGCUCCCCCUUCAUCUUGGUUAUAGAAACCACCAACAGUGGCCACCAGUGCAAAACACACCACCAAUAAAGCUAAAAACACUGCAGAAAUCUUUCCCAUGCUCAGUUUUUUCUUUUCCUGAAUUCUUUGUUUACUGCUCUUCUUUUUCUUGGGUUUUUUUUUCCCCUCACUCUCUUUGAAAUCUCUGAUUGUGUGAAAUGCGAGAGUGAAAAGGGGGUUUAAGUAGAGGGGGAUUGACGAGUGAGAAGGGAGGGAGGAGUAACAGGUGUCUUUCAUGCAGGUUUUCAAGGCUUUGCUGGCAAUAUCCAGGAGUAGCCAGUUUGCCACAGUACUAGCGUCGGGGCAUGCACCCAGAAAUAUCCGUUCUGCAUGCGAGACGAAGUCUUUCUAACCACUCCUCUCCUGCAUUCCCUGGUCUAUUAUUACUGCUUAAUUACCUAUUACCAGUUAAAACUUGGAAGAAAAGGCCCAAAGGCCUUGAAAUUUUUCUGUCGUGAGUUCUUCAUUGAAGGCAUGUCAUAUUUGUCACUUGUCUCCUUCCUUCCUGAAUACUACAAUUCCUCUUGGGCAUUCCUGAAUCAAUUGCAGUUCGUUGAGGUCGAUGAUUUAUCAGUUUCAAGAGAGAAAUAAUGAUUGGUAUUACAGUUUCAUAAUGAAUACUUGCUUGAGAAAUGGCCAUUGAGAUUGCAGGUGGGAUUGAAUAAGGGUCCUCAGUUGCCAUCAUGAUUAUAUUAUUAUUCACUUUUGUGUACCAAAAAUAGGAAAUUAGGUAAGGUACCUUGUGCUUCUUUUUUUUUUACAAGUAACACCUAUGGGGAAAAUGUUAUGGUAAUGUACCAAGGCAAAUACACCUCAACAAAUCUAUCAUUUAACACACUCCCAAAAAAUAUAGUAUAUAUCAUUUUGUUAGUCCUCUCAGCCUUUGUAUAUAUAUAUAUUUUUUGCCUUUCUAUAUAUUUUCUGUUUUAGCAGGGCAAAUAUUACAGGUAAGAUACUUGCACCAGUUAUUCGAUAAAUAAUCAAGUGGACACAAAACCAAAGCUUCCAAUUCAAGGGCAGCCAUUCUUUGCCCAAUUUUGUCCCAAUUCCUAAUUGUUGCUAACUGAACUCCAGUUUUGUAAUGAAACCAUUCGAUCCAAAGAAAUAAUUACAGCUUUCUAAGUUGAAAUAAGUUUAAACAAGUAAUAAAAGAACUUGUCACCACAGUCUGAUCAAUUUUGUCAAUAUUAGGCACACAUUGAUGGAGGGGGGAAAAACCACCAAAUGGAUCAUAUUGACCAUCUCGUUUAACCUUUUUGGUCAAAUAUAUUUUAAACUGUGAAUUCGUUAUUCAGGAGAACAAUUAUCGGGAACUAGUAGGAAAAGCAUGCUCCACGUAGGCCUGUCAACGGGUCGGGUCUAGACCCGGAUCCGUGAAAUUAUUGCGGGUAUGGGUAGGGAUUUAAUUCCGUUUCCUGGAUCCGGAUCCGGAUCCGGAUCCGUUUUGUCAAACAAAAAAACGGGUCGGAUACGGAAUAUAGUAUUCCGGCUUGUAUUAGACCCGGAUCCGGAUAUAAAUGAAUUAAUAAUUUAAAAAAUAUAUAUUUAUCAAUAUAAUUUGAUUAGGGUGAUGUAUUUGAAUAAACUCAAUUUGAUUUCUUUUCUUAUUUGGUUUUUUCUUUGCAUUAGUUAGAAAUUAGUUUACAAAUAUAUUUUUUUCUCAUUUUUAUUAGAAAUUAUAAAUUUUGCUAAAUUUGUUCGGGUAGACCCGACUCGGAUCCGGAUCCGGAACAUAUAAUAAAAGACCCGUCGGGUAAACGGGUCGGAUCCGGGUCCGGUAUAGUAAUUCGGGUCCGGAUCUAGAAUAAUGAAUUCCGGCCCAGACCCGGCCCGUUGACAGCCCUAGCUCCAUGGACGUGUAAUUUAAAAAAAAAAUUAAAACUUUCGUAUAAUGAAGUUAUUGAGAGUUUUUUUCUUUAUAAAAAAUAAGUUAUUAGAAGUUAAAAUUAUUAAAGUUACUAAAAUUAUUGUUUGUAAUGGUUAUAUAGUGUAAAUCCUUACCUAUAUGAGAGUAAAAAAGGAAUAACAAAGCGUGACAAACAAUUUUAGGGAUAAUAUCAGAAACCUCCCUUGAGGUUUUCCUUAUUGUCACCUGGCACUCCUAAGGUUUUAAAAAUAUCACUUACCUCCCUUACUUUUGUUAUUUAUGUUACAAAAUUUUUAUAAACCCUAAACUACCCUUUCACUUGUUAAAUAAAAAUAUUCCUAAUCCACUUUGUUAAUUUCAAGAAAACCAUCAUAUAAAAAACAAUCUCUUAUAGUACUACAUCAUAAUGCUAUACCCUGUGAAAAUAUAAAUUUACAAAAAAAAAAAAAUAUUUGAAAAGAAAUACACUUGCACCAAUUUAAUUCUAUAUAUUCAAAAUCGAUUUCUUAUGAACUUUUAUAUUUUUUUCAACAUCUUUUGAACCCUUGCCCAAACAAUUAAAUUGUACCAAUCAUUCUAAAAAUCAACUCAAAGUAAGCAAAUAAAUCAUACUCCACUUUAUCACAAUUACAAAAAAUAAAAGAUAAAAAAAUUUAAUCUAUUAUAAUUUAUAAAUAAAAUAUUACAUAGUCAUCUAAAAAAUGAGUAAGAGAAAAUGAUGGAGAAAAAGAAAAGAGAAAUAAGCGACUUUUUUUAUUUUUUUUUCAUUUAUUUGAUAUGUGAAUUAUGUGUCAAAUGAGGGUUAAUAUAGUCUUUUUACAAUUAUUCGGGGAGGUAAAUGAUAUUUCAAAAACUUCAGGGGUAUCAAGUGAUAUUAAGAGAAACCUCAAGGGAGGUUUCUGAUAUUAUCCCAAAAUUUUAACACCAAAAGAAUCUCCCAUGCCUUAUAUUUAGAGAAACAACUUACUAAUAAGAAAAGCGCUCUGUCGGGAAAAUACAUUCUUCGUAUAGAAGCUGUGGCUUUCUUUUUUUUUUGAAUAAAAGGCCAAGUCCAGAGUCCAGACCCAAUAAUUCGUUUCUUCGCCUGUUGGUGGCGUUUCCAACGGUCACUGCCCGCAAAACUCGGUCCCGACUCAACACCAUCAUCAUCAUCAUGACCAAGUCCCCAACUGACUCCCCUUCAACCCAAGACACCACCACUCGUACUUGUUCAACCCCUGACAUCCCAAUUGAGAUCAUCCCAGACGAAGAAAUGGCCCUCAUUGAAGCUGCUUUCGCCUCUGCAACUCGGACCAUUUCCUCCUUGACUCGAUUUCAAAGAAAUAUUACAGCUCCGCCUAAUGAUAAUAUACGGUCUAUAAAGUCCAUAACUUUAUUGUCCAAAAAGCGGAUUUCCAGAUGUAGCCGAACUGGGUCUGACUCGGUGGCAGAUAUAGAGGACUCGGGUGGUGAUGAUGGGCUAACUCAGAAGAAGAAGAAGCAGAAUCGAGUUCACGGCUCACUUUUGCAUAAAUUUAGGAGGAAAAGAGGCUUAUCUGUUACUGAUAUUACUGCCGGGGUACAUAUCUCAUUAAUAUUUUGUUCCCUUCGUCUUUUAUAAAUAUUGAUGCUUUUUUGCUAUUCGGAUUCGAAGAAGAAGGUUUGUAAAAUUUCUGAUUUUUUUGGGUGAUGUUGAUGCUGCAUUGCUGCUGUUCUAUGAAUAGCGAUUAACUCCAGUUGGCUUUUUUGGCUGAUAUUUUUAAGAUAGAAGAAAUAAACAAUGCAUUGUCAGUCCAAUUUUAAGUAGUAUUUAGUAGUACUACGUAGCUCAAAUGAAGGCUUUCAAUGAUUUGGAAUUUGGAGAUUGUUGAAUUUUGCAGCUGAGGAGGGGCAAAUGGGAUAUACCUAGGAGUUUAGGACCUAACAGCUAUUUUAGAGAUCACAAAAUUACUACAUUUUAAAAUUCAUCGUGGGGAAAUGUUGUGCUUGUGAUGGUCCUGUUGCAACAUCUGAUUGAAUCUGCUACUCGUAGAAUCGAAAUUGAUAUCGUGCGUGGACUUUCAGGAAUGGUGUGAGAAACAAAUGGAGUUUACUCUGAACCUUGGCAGAGCAAAAUCAAAUAAAGCUAUGGAAGCUGGUAUUGCUCGCCAUGCAGCACUUGAAGAAGAGGUAGUCUACGAUCUCCUAAUGGACCUUACAUAUGGAUAAUGCCCAUGACCUGUCAAGCUUCAACUUUUUAACCUUCCUAUUCUAAGUUAGCCUUACCAUCUUCCUUUUUUAUAUAUGUCCAAACCCUGAAAUCAAUGUGUUUUUUGUUAUGAUUCUGGUUAAUUAUGUUUGGAUUUUAGCUGAAUGAAAUAGAGCACUAUCAAUUAGAGAACAGAAUAUUUUUCGUGGAUAAUUAUCAUUUUAGUCUUUAUUUAUUCAGAUUGUUGCCUGACCUUCGAUUGUAUGGUUGCAGGUUGUCAAAAAGGUCAAAAUCCAUGUUGCAUCCGUUGAAGACACAUGGGCUGUGAAGUUUAUGAAUUUUAUACUUGGGGCAAAUCAGUUGCUAUUUGAUGGACUGACGCGUGAAUUGCCUUUGUAAGAUUCUCGUGUAUUUUAUGCAUUUUAUGAUUUCUUCUGCCCCUUUCCUCUUGUGUGCAUUCUCAGUUUCUUGCACACCAACACGUUCGCACAAACAUGCACCUUGUUGUGUGCAAAGCUCAUGCUUCCAGACACUGCAUUUCAUUUAUUGGGUGAUUCUGGAGUAUAAUAGGUCUUCUUGUGAUCUGAUGGCCUGGUAAUACCACCAGAGUAAGCUUUGAAGAAGGUCUAUGGAUGGUGGGAGUAAUUGAUGAAAUUCGAAUGCCUGUUACAGAAACUGAAAGAUAUCCUACAUUAGUUGAUACAAAAACUCGUGCACGAGCAAAGCUUCCUACUGAAGCACAACAGAGAAAUGGAAGGUACUAUCAAGUGUGGUUUUUGGUCAGGUUGCUGAGGAAGAUACCAGCUAAUAGCAUUGCUUCUUGAAAUUGAAGCAAUACAUUUUUCUUGGAGAUCAAACAAAAAUGGUGAUGAAGUGCAUAUUUCUUUUGACAGGCUUCAGUUGAUGUGCUACAAGCGUCUGUGGGACAAUUUAGUGGCUGAUAAAUUUCCUUCUGGACAGUUUUUUGAUUUCUUUGCUUUGAAUCCUCACGUCAUUCUUUCAGAUGAGAUCAGAGAGCACACAGCCAAAUCAGGUUUUCCUGCAGAUGUAUGAUGCUUUUCUUUCUUCGCCUUUGACUUACUUGAUUUAGGAGUCCAUUACAUUGGGCAUUUAACUACUUGAUCUCACUAAUUUAGACGAGAAUUUUUCUCCAUGCAAGCCUGUAUGAUGAAGUGACACAUGUUGAAAUGUUCUCUUCCAGGAACUUUCCUGCUCUAUUUCUUGCUGCUGAUAUAGCAUGUAUAUGAAGUGAGACGUUGAUAAAUUGGAUAGUGUUCUAGUCCUGUAGUAAAAUAUCAAUUUACAUAUCAUUGUGGCUCAGUAUAAGGGAUUACCUGUAAUAUACCCAUUUAUGCACUUUGAGUGCUUAUUUUUGUGUUUAAUUGAACAUCUUAUCCUUUGCAUUUAUGCAGACUCUGAAUGAUUUGGUGGCAUACUAUCGAAAUACUUGUUGUAUGCUGCCUCCAGCUCAGGACCAACUGUUACUAAGGUUGGUUAAGGAUUUCCAUGUGUGUUGUUAGAUAAGCGUUAUAUGGACUGCCGAAUUUUUUCUCCAUCUCCUAGCAUGGCUUCUGGUGAUGAAUUUUAACCAAUUUCAAAAGAAGACAGCACUGACGUUUCAUAUGAUCUGUGCUCUUCAUUUCCUUUUCAUGUUUUCUGACCUCCUUCCCUCCACAUCUUCCCCAAAAUUUUCCACUUUCAGCAUGUUUUACAACAAUAAAAUCCAUAGGUCUAGUUUCUGCCAUUUGCCUAUAUUGAUGAGUAUUCUGAGCGCUAAGAAAAAAGAUUUGAGGCCAUGUCCACCCAGUGACCUUAGGCAGACUAAAAGUUUACAAGUGCUUUUCUUUUUCCUAGAAGAUAUUUCAUUUGCCCUUUAUCAAGUGCCUACUACUAUAUAGAAGAAGUUGAGACUAAAAACGAAGAGGGACUUGCAGAAAUUAAGCUUGUCACUUAUCCUCAACAUUGUACAAUUGAUGUUCACUUGUUCCUUAUCCAAAAGUUUGCCUUUUUUUAUUUGUCUUUUUGGGUUAACGCUUUUAAAAGACUUUCAUUUGGAAAACCACAAAUCACUCAGGGCACUCUGCGGUAGUCCAUUUUACACUAGCAAGAAUAUUGUCUUCUACAGGUAUGAAUACCAAGAAGAUCAAUCUUUAAUCGGUGAAGAUCAGUUUGCUUAUGAUGCUGAUUGGCUCAAUAAUCAACUCAAGUCUUGUCUGGAGUUCUGGCGAGGGGAACGAGAACCCAGUUAUGCUGCAGAAGAGGAGCGGUGGAAAUGCAACUUCUGUAGUUUUUAUUCCCAGUGUCCAGCAAACUCCAAACUUGAUCCACCUAGCUAAAGAAGUAGCCGAAAUAUCAAUUUUUUCACAAGGGUUGCAUUCGAUCAGAUUUCAGAUUCGAACUGGAAUGCUUACUUUGAAGGAGCAUGAAUUUGCUGAUGAGCUUCUUCGUGGUUCAUUUGGCAGUUCUUGUCGGUCAUCUCAAAUUACUGAUUUAUUCAUUCUUGUACUACUGUACUCUCAGUGCUGCUGAGGGAUUUGAUUAUUCAUUGUUGUAGCAAGAAAAUGUCACUGAUCUCCUUGAUCGGUUAUUUGUCAUUGUUGUCCCACCCAUUGUAGGAUGGUGGGACGGGAAUAUUAAGCGGUUUGCUAACAGGAUGGAAUAAUCGAUGCUUACUGCAUCAGAAAACCAUUAAUACACAUAUUUGGCUGCUAUUUUCAUUUCUUCCAUUCUUUGUGCACUGAAUUUAUUUAUUUAUUUUUUAUAGCCACUCUAGCUAAAGGGGCUAAAUUUCCAGAAAUUUUGGGGAUACAAAUUUUACCUGUUAGGAUUUUAUCAGAAGGAAAUUUUAGGAUCAAGAUCAACAACUUUUACCAUGAUGACAUUUUAAUAUCAAGUAGUACCAGAAAGUUACCUCUUAAAGGAUACUUUGCCUUGGUGAGAUAUCAUUAAGAGGUUGAGACUCGGGAAAUUUUAAUCCUCUUUCUCCUACGCUGUUUAUUAUAAAUCCCCCACCCCUCCCCGUUAAAAAAAAUUUUAAAAAAAGUUACCUUAGUAUACAUACAAUUUUCAGUGAUUAAGCAUUGUUGAAUGUAAAUCAAAUGAAUUAUCAGUUUCACCUGGAAACAAUAUUUUAGUCCCUUGGUAAUAAUAGUGAUUUAAAAACUUACUAAUACGACUAGUUAAUUUUAGAUGAUCUUAAAACUUACGGAUCAACGACGGAUCAUGAACAUCGUCAAGCUUGAUGAGUUGAAGUUUAUGGGCCUAUGGACUAUCAAAAUAUGGACCUCAACAUUAAAUUUAAGCCCAUUUUGCAACUUGUCAAUCAAAAGUGCAGUCCAAUUCAUCACCUCCUCCAGUCUAUACUGUCGAACUAAACUACUGGUAUGCUACAAUUCAGAGGAAGAGAGCUUCAUUCCCGUUGUUGUGCAAAAUCUGCUUCCUCAGAGGUUUGAUCUUUCUUAUCGUUACUCAUGGUUGCUCCUCCUAAUCCGUAGUCGAUCUAUUUAUGCAACCGUGAAUUCCACCUGCCUAUGUAUUGUUAUUGAAUCAUGUUUUGAUUCAAUUGUUCUCUUUUUCGAAGCUUUGCUGUGAACCCUUCACCUUACCUUGCCACAAAUUCAAUAUGUUUGAGUUUAAUUGCUUCCAAGAAUCGUAUCACGAACUUCUGCUGUAGCUUUUAAUAUCCAUAUGUUGUUCAUUUUGAGUUGGGCUGUGUUCAUUUCACAUUUUCAUUAUGCUUUCAGUACCAAGAAAUCAUGUCACAAAAAUUCGGUCCAAGAUGGUAUCUUUGUGGCAAAAUCUAUCUGUUAGGGGCUCAGAAGUUCAUAGUUCUUACUUAAAGAUUGCCCCACGUUUAGCAUCCUUUUAUAAUCAUUCAAUAGUUACUCAUUCUUUUCAUCCCAUUUCCAGUAUAUGGAAUUUUAGAUGCCAUUCAGCUCCCAUCCAGAUUUCAAUUGCUUCAAAUCAAACACUCCUGGUUGCAUUUUCCCUCUCACUUUUUCUGGUUUCUUUUUAUUCUACAAGUCCGUAUCCAAUUCGACGCCUGAGGGGACCCCCUUCAAGAUCUUUAAGGAGGAGAAUGAGUAAGAGGGCAAAAGCUGCCGCAAAACCUGUUCUAGAUGAAGCCCAAUUUGAGAGGGCUAUUUCUGGGCUCCCACCUAGGUUCACUCCCGAGGAACUUUGCAAUGUCAUAGUUUUAGAGAAGGACCCUUUAGUUUGUUUGGAGUUGUUUAAUUGGGCUUCAAAACAGCAUAGGUUUAGGCACAAUGUUUCAAGUUUCCACAUUACAAUAAAGAAACUUGGUGCUGCGAAAAUGUACCAAGAGAUGGAUGAUGUUGUUAAUCAAGUGCUUGCUAUUCGUUCUAUGGGUACGGAAGCUCUUUACAAUACAAUGAUCUAUUAUUUUACAGAAGCUCGAAAAUUGACUAGAGCAGUGAACAUAUAUAAUCACAUGAGGGAUAUCGGAAAAUUGGACUGCAGGCCUUCAAUUACCACAUUUAAUAUCCUUUUUGCAGCUUUAUUGAGUAGGGGAAAGAACUCAUACAUAAAUCACAUGUAUAUGGAGACAACUAGAUGCCUUUUCAGACAAAUGAUCGACGAUGGGAUUGAACCUGAUAUUUUCUCCUUGAAUUCUAUGAUAAAGGGAUAUGUGCUUUCACUUCAUGUUAAUGAUGCCCUCAGAGUAUUUCAUCAGAUGGGAGUGGUCUAUAAGUGCUUGCCUAAUUCCUUUUCAUAUGAUUACUUGAUCCAUGGAUUGUGUGCACAAGGAAGAACGAAUAACGCCAGGGAGUUGUGUAUGGAAAUGAAGGAGAAAGGAUUUGUCCCUAGUAGUAAAUCAUACAAAUCAAUUGUGAACUCCUUGGCUCUGAGUGGAGAAGUUGAUGAAGCGGUGAAGUACUUGUGGGAGAUGACUGAAAACCAAAGAUCAGCUGAUUUUAUCACCUAUAGGACCAUACUUGAUGAAACUUGUCGCCAAAGAGGGGCCGAAGAUGCCAAGCAUUUAUUGCAAGAGUUACAAGAGAAGGGCCUGCUAGACGGGCAUACUUGCAGGCAGCUUCUACAUGAGGUUGAAGGAAAUAUCGGAAACUCACAUUUCAGAACUCAAUUCAGGUACCUCAAUUUGUAGAUUUUUCAUUUUCCCAAGGAUCUAAGAGGGAAAAAUGCCUCGGCAUCAACUCUAGGAGUAAUAUGCCAGCAUGACCUGAUACCUCUGCUUUCUUUUUGUCCUAUCAUUUUUAGGCUCUCAUGGCAUAAGACAAUUCUGAACUUUGAACAAAGUUGCUUUCGUUAUCUGUUUCUCUGUCUUGUUUAAAACGAACUGCCCAAGACGAGAGUUAGGGUUUUGAGUUGAUUAGAGUUCUUAAACUAUAUCCAUUUAUGCUAAAGUUGAGCCAUAACUACAAGGACUACUUAGAAAGUGCUUUCAUUAGGUUCUUUGACUACUUGGUUAUAUUUUUAACUCAGAUAAUACAAAUGUAGUUUGUCGAUAGGUUUACAGCUAAAAUUGCUUUGUUGCUCAAUUAAAUCUUUUGCUGUUCUUGCAGCUAAGAGCGAGCGGUGGAAUUUGUCUACUUCAUAUCCAUGCUAAGCCACCAAAAAUAUGUGAGAUCUAUGGAAAAGGCUUUGCAAUGGUCUUGUUAGCUUGCAAAAGAACCAAUGUUCUUCAGAUAAGUCCAUGGUAAUUUUGUUUUCCAGCCUUGAAUGGUUUUCUAAUGUUAAUAUCAACUUAGCGACCUGGUUCAUGUUUUUGUUUUCCAGCCUUAAAUGGUUCUCUAAUAAUAACUUGAACCUGGUUCAUGUUUACGAUAACGAGCUUUGUUUGUUUAUAAUAUACUGUGAUGAAAAAGCUGGAGUCAUUUAGAACUAUGCGCUAGGGAAGUGACUGUCUCUAACAAGAGAUUUUCACAAGAGGGAGAUAUCAUUUAUGGGGACAGUGAAUAAAUAUGGAUGUUGUGAUGAAGUAGCCAAAAUUAAGCAGACCUAUGCAGGAUUGUGAGAAAUUGUUCAUUGUGGCAUUCCAUAACAAUGUAAGGUAAGUUAAGCCAAUAUCAGGUUGGCAGCGAAAAGUCAGUAUUUGCUUGGCAUUAGGCAGUGUUUAGUUGUUUUUCAAGUUCUGAUGGACCACAUUUGUCAGGAUUGAGGAGUUUCUUCUAGUUGUUUAACUUAUCCCUAAUAAAACUAUACAGAAUAAAUCAUUACUUCAUGCACUUCCAGAAGUCAAACCUAUUCCGUGCUAUUUCCCAGUGCUCCUUUUUCCCUUCCUUUCUAAAGAGUGUGGAACGUCUAUCUUACCCUGUUCUAAGAGAAGGAAAAGGAACAUUAAAAUGUUGGAAGACUUGAAUAAAUCUUCCGGUAGCAGUUGGUGCCUAAUGUUCAAUGGUCUUGAUUAUUUGUUCUUGGUUCUCUAGGAAUUCUUUACGUGGAUAAGCAUUCAGUUCUGGUCUAUCUUGACUGAUGACUAACUGGAGUUUGCCUGGAAUCAAAAUCAAUGGCUGCAGAUGUUGUGAGAAGAUCAGUUGCUUGUCUGCGACAAUUGAGAUGCAUAUACUGAUUGGGCCGGGAAAAGAAAAACAUCAGUCUGCAUUGCUGGAAAAGAUUUUCUUUUUCUUUUAGGGAAGUGCCCAAUUAAGUUUAUAAAUGUGUGGUGGCUUGGAGGUGACCAGAUAACUACGCUGUAAAUAAAGGGUUGUCUACUGCCAAUGAGCACUGUUACUCAUGAUUAAACGAGCUGGCAAAAUCUGAAAUCUCUUGUAGAAAAAAUAAAUGGUAAAAAAGAGCACUUAUGUUUCUAGUGUGAGGAGAUGGCUUAGGUCUAUGCCCAGCUUGCCACCUUAAUAUGAUUUUCGGUGCGUUUGUUAAGCCUGGCUUGCUUUUCAUUCUAUAUUAUGGUAUCAUUUUCGUGAACCUGCUUUGUGAGUUGAGAUGUAUUACUUAAUUACCAUACUUAAGUUAGUAGACCUCAUUUGGCAUUGCUCCUCCUGUUUUGUUAUGAGGGAGAAUGAUGACAUUAGUCAUAAUUGCUUGGCAAAAUGUGCCAUUAAACUAGUUUAGGAAGUUAAAUCAGAAACAAGUUUUCCAAUGUGACUAAAAAGCAAGUCACAGUCUGUUGAUGGGCCCAACAAUUGUAAUACUUUUGAAUAUCUUAUUAAAGUUUAUAUGAAAGUUACCGUUUGCUCCCAAAAAAAAACUGAACAAAUUGAUUAAAAUACUAUCCUAAACACAAACUUACUGCCCUGUUACAGAUGGAUCAACUUUCAAGUGGCGGUUUUUUUUUUUUUGUGUUUUGGGGGGGGAGUUAAAGAAAAAGAAAAAGACAAAAUCAUCAUUUUAUAUAGUGAAACAUCCAGAGCUUCUGUAAUUAUAAUGUAGAACUUAAACACUAAAAAUACAGACAUUAAACUAAUUAAUGUAAAUAUUAAGACUACGAUAAAUGUAAAAACACAAUUUCUUUUGUUACUUGUUGAAAUUUGUGCCCACACUUCAAUUUUAGCCAUCAAAUUACAAAUUACUUUAUCUGAACCAUUAAUUGCAUUCUGCAGCUACUGAAGAUAUUAUGAAUCCUGAAAACAUCAUUUAAAUCCAAAUCCGUAUUGGGGGAAGGACACGCAUUAGUAGUUCAAGAACUAGAGUACGAGUACGAGUAGGAUUAGGAUUUUUCGUAAAUAUGAUACAUGAAGUCAUGUAUUAGUAUUUAGAAGAGUUAAUAACGUUUUGCCCCCUGAAUGUAAGGAGUAAUAACACUUUGUUCCCGUCAAUGAAGAAAAGGCACUUUACCCACUCAAGAAUCUUUUGUUUGGUAUUUAUAGCAAGUAUUCUUUUUUUUUUUUUUUUUGUAAAAAGUAAGAAAAUGAACUACUCAUAUACGUUGACAAUUCCACCUCUAUAUUAUCUUCAAUCAAAUUAAUCUUGUGGAAACAAAGUUAUAACCUCCGCCUCCCUCCACCACUUCCCCUCAGUUUCAUAUCAUAGAAUUGUCAACAGUCUAUUUUUGGGAAUACUUGACACAAGCUCCAACUGAAAUAUUCUCAAGUAGGCAAAGAGCUUAUUGUUUUUCAUUGAGGGGGCAAAAUGUUAUUACUAACCAUAUUUAGAAUGCGAGCAUAGAGACACAACAACGCCCCGGCUCAUGAACAUUAAACUGCAACUUAUACGAAAUUGUUGACCGUUUCUGGAUUUCUGCUCCCUACCAAAAGAUUUCCCACUCAAAUAAAGCUAGGACCCUAUAAAAAAAAAAAGAAAAAGAAAACAGAAGAGCAAAGAAUUGUGAAUCAAAAUGCCGUGACAACUCCACAGACUGUCGAUAUUCCAUGAUCCAUCCCUCCAACUGCAAAGCAUGGUCUCCUUUCUCAAGUCCGUGAGAGUGGAAAGGAUCUGAAAUUUUGCAUUUUUUUUUCUCUUAUUUGCGGAGUCGAGGCAUGUAUAAUUCCUAUGGAACUGCAAAUACAGACUACAAAACUGUAUCAGCUCGGCUUAUUAUAUACAUGGAAUCCGCCAAAAAUGCUCAAAAGGCCACUUUGUACUCGGGUAACUGCAUGGCCUAGAUUAUCUUGAAACAUGGAACUUAAAAGAAUUGUAGGACGCCAGUUAUCGUGAUGGGGGGAUCAAUCCCUACACGAGUAGCCUUCCCUUCCGUAACUAACUGUGGCAAUGCGUUGGCAUCUUUGGCUGCAACUCCUUCACCAGUCCAUAAUGUGACAUGAGGCCACUGGUUUUUAGAAGUUAUCUUUUCACCAUUUACCGAGCCUGUGUGAGCUUCUAAUGCUGCCAAUUUCCCAGAAAAUAGUAGCGCAGUUAUAUCCACAGGUACCUUUUGAUUAAGAAACGAGCCAUAAUUUGCAACAGCAGUAACACCAUGACUUCUCUUGUGAGCCAGCGUCACAUGAGCUUUUGUGAGACUAUCCUUCAGGUUUUUCUCCUUGAAGAAGGUUUCAACGUCAGGAUCCUUCUCAGCUAUCUGAUUCAAGAAAGGAAACAAUACAAAUCUGUUAUACUGAUUUUCAUCCCAUAAAUUCAUCAUAAGAGAAAUGAGGGAAAUGUGAAACCAAAUCCUUGAGUAAACAAGAAAACAGCAAAGAAAGAAGUAAAACGUAUUCAGCAAUCACAUUGCCAAAUUUCCUGGCUCUUUUUUUCAUUUCCUUUUUUUUAAUUAAAAAGAAAAGGUAGUAUGGGACUCAAAACCAGAAAAGGUUAUCCAUCCAGAAUGAAAUGUGAAUGCCACCACGUUGAUACUUGCUUAACCCUUCCCAGACCACUCUACAAAUUAUAGACGUAAGAAGACCAAGACAAAAAGGUCCGUAGCUAUUAUCAACUGCACAGAGGACUUCAGAAUCUCAAAUUACGUAUGCCACAUGGUUCCUCAUGAACUUCUAGAAGAGCAAGUGGAAUGAGGCAAGACCUAUCAUGGGUCUGAAGGCUAUUCAAUUGCAAAAGGUUUUGAAUCUUCAUGGAAAAACAGAAUUGGACUGGAGUUGGAGUAUCCAUAAAAUUUAACGUUCUACUCAAGUGCUACAAGCCCAAUUUAUAUCCAAUUAAGUUCCCAUCCUAAAGAACCAAAGAUAGAAUAAAGAAAAUCUCACUAAAUUUACUAUGCUAUGCAAGAGAAAACACUUGUUAACUCACCCUUUGGAGGAAUUCAUGGAUUUCUGCAACAGGCAAACUCACAGCAGCGUAUACAAUAGCCCCAAGCCUUCUUUUCUCAAUUACUGGUGCUGAAUACUCACCCUUUGCAACUGCUUUUAGUUGUUCCAAGACUUGCUUGACAGCAAAUUCAAAUGGAACCUGAAAGAACAUAUAACGAGAAACCAACACAGUGAAAUUAAGAACUUCACCCCACAAAUGAAGGACAAGAUGUUUGACCAGAGCAGAUUUAUUAUGGUUGUUUUCCCCAUUAAUUAUAUAUGUUCACAUUUUAGUAUGUACAAACCCGAGUGAGGGGGUUUGCUUUGGAUUUGGUGUGGGCUUCAAGGUAAGGCUAGUUCAGCUAAUUCUUGUGUAAUAAGCAACCAUGGCAAAAGCCUCCAAGCAAACCACUUAUGCAUCAUAUUGAUCCUCAGUGCACCAAGUUCUUCAGGAAGAGGAUAUCACUAACUGAUGUGCAAAUGAAAAUGAUGAUAGGAUAUUAUACAAGCAUCCAAACCAAAUAGGCAUUCACCUGCACCGAAUCAAGGUACUCAGAAUUGCUUGAUAAAAUCUCUCGCAAUUCCUUCUCCCAUUUAGUCCAUUCUGUUGCAUAGGUUCCUUUGGUUGACUCCAAUCUGAAAGAAACACAGCUCUCGACUGAAUCAAUUGGGAAACCUCCUUUAUUAUGGUUCUCAGGACACAAAUCCAGAACAAGAUGGAAAUCUGAUUACCAACCUUCCAUGCCUGAUUGUGUGAAGCUUGUACAGGUUUAUCCCCUCUUCCAAAACAGAACUCACAGAAACAGGUAGAGGAGACCUACAGGUAAAGGUAAGAAAGAAAGACACACUUGAAGCACAUUAAAUCAGAAGAAAAUAAGAUGACAAAAUAAGCAUGUCUCAAUUUGUAGCCCUCAGGAAAGGAAGGAACUGAUUAUACCAUUAAAGAAACCAAAGGGAGAAUGGAAAUAACAUGUAUAUCAGAAAAAAACAAACGUUAUAGACACAGUACCAACUUAACAAUUUGUUCUGAUAUAAUCCAUACUGUAAAUACUUCUAUGAUAAUGAAAUGAGUAUCUUGAUAGAUCACAACCAAAUUGCUCCUAUUUCAUUUCUAAGUUAGGGAUGCUUUGAAAUGCAAAUAUAUUGGAUGGAGUUGACAAGAUUACAGAGUUAAAAUCAAAUAUUUUCUUUACAUUAGCGACGAUUAGUAAGCCAUAGUGUAGACAAAAUUGACUAUAGAAAUUGGUGGGGGCACCAGAAAGUGGAUAAGUCAACAGAAGCCCAAAAGUUUUAGUGGCAAGCAUGUAAAGCUCUUUGUUUUUAAGAGACACUGUACACCAUAACUAUGUACACUAACCUGAAGUGUUGAUAAAUUACCUUUGCAGAAGAAAAGUGAGAAAGUAAAACUACAAAUAUGGUUCUAAACAUCCACAACAUUUGUCCUCGCCAGGAAGACUGAUCCAAUUUUAAGAAAUUCAAAAGUUUAAUGAAAGAGAUCUUCAGAGUAGAACAGCAGACCUAUUAGGCUUCAGUAAAGGCAUCUUCACAAGAGAGCCAAAACGUUCAAUUAACUCGGCCUCAAACUCCUUGCGGCUCUGAUAAAGAGCAGACAAUAAGAUAAGGAAGAAAUUUUAAAUAAGCAACAACCAAAAAAUGCGUGGAAAAACAACUACCUUGCCCUGGUAAAGGUGGUAAAACAUCAGCAACACAUAGCCAACAUUUGGAGAGGACUUGUCAAGGUUCCCCUUCAAGUCCCAAAAAAUAAAUAAAAUGUCAGCAACAUUGUACUCGAUUUCCUAGGAGGUGUGCAUCAUACAAACUAUUGAAAACGAUAGUGAGAAAUACCGGAUGAUUAACACGGCGAAGCACUCGAUGUAUGAAAACAGCAAGUGCGUCAAGUGAAAAUGGAUUUGAUUCGGUUCCUGUAGAUUUAACCCAUUAAGUUCUACAUACAUGCUACAUGAAGCUAAUUUACAAAUCUAAUUAAUGAAAACUGGGAACAAUUUUAUUCUUGAAUCCUAGCAUAUUACUUCACCAAGCAAAUAUAAAAGUAGACAUCUGGAAGGAUAUUAAAAUGUCAUUUGAAAACAAAUGUGAAUCAGGAAGAUUUUACAGAAUUAACAUAUCAUAUGAAUUACAUAUAAAACUGCCGCAGAUCCCUGAUACUAUCUGCCAGAGCAAUGAAUGAAAAGAUCCACAAAUGAAAAAGUAAAGAUUGCUGUUCGUAUCAUACCGGCGCAGGCCCUAUGCAUUUCUUAGACUUACAACCUCUAUAAUAUGCAGCUAUAACUUCACAAAAAACUCAAUUAAAAUAGAAUUUCAUAACCUUCUCUAGAAGACUAAACCCAGAAAACAAUUAACCCAAUCCAUAUUGCAGUCCUAAAUGAUUAUGGUAUAGGGAGAUCGGCUCAGAAAAUUAGCCAGAAUGAACGAACACUUAGAACAAAUAGGGCUUUAAAACACCACUCUCCUAACUAUCCAUUUAUAUAUUACUUAAAUUGGAGAGAAUUCUACAGAAAACACAAGUACUCUGAUGGUCAGACAUUUCUGAUGGUCAUAAGCGAAAGCACUUGAUGACCUAAGAUGGUUGACUACCCAUUUCUCUCUGUACUACACGAGCAUGCUGCUUCUACACUAAGGAAUCACAUACAUCCUUCUUGCACAUGCAUGUGAGCGUUUCCUACACGCUAGUGACAAUCAUGCAGCAAGUGCAUAGUGGUUAGACAUAGUAAUUCCUACCCUUAGCUGCAAUGAUUGUUGACCGAUAAGUCAAGAAAUAACAUUUAACAAAUGAAUCCAAGCAAAUGUCAAAAUUACACAACAGAGGAAAGGACAACAUAAGAGUGCAAAAUAGCAAAACAAAUACUUUCAACAAACAAGCCAUAUAUAAUCUAAAAUAAAGUACACUCUGUGAGUGAGAAUAUAGAAGAUCAAGAGAAUGAAAGAAGAUGCUAGAAUAGGACCUUCUGAAUCUGGUACGACCGGAACUGCAGAAGCUUUGGUGCGUCGGCACAUGUCCUCAAUCUGGAGAAAUUAAAUGAAACCUCAUCAGGCAAAAUCCAAAGAAUAAAUGAAAGCAUAAAGGAGAACAGCAAGCCCUCCUUCCGCCGGCCCCAAAACACCCCAGUCCAAGAUAAUGGAGCACAGACCAAGAAGAAAAAGUCCCCACACCCAACUUCCUUUGAAGGAAAAAGUAGAAAAAACAGGAACAUUGUGUGAAAAAACAGGAUGCUAAUAGGUGAUACGUAGUUCAACAGGUAUAAAACGAAAAGGAUUGGAAAAAAGGAAAAAAGUGAACAGUGAAAUUUAGCAAAUUUGGUCCCUACAAGGCAAAUUGUUACUAGUCAGAUUCAUUAACAAACUCAAGGGAAUGUGAUCUCAACAAGUAACCUGUUUCCAAACUUCCUCGUUCGGUGCAUUCUUGUCGGCAAGCAUUAUCGAAUAAGGCUUUCUCCGGCGUUCAUCAGCAACCUUCUGCCAAUACCUACCUAUUGAAAUUUAAUGCACCAAGAGUAAAUACAGUAUCAGAAUCUAGAAUGAGCAAGCCAAUCUUAUAAUCAGAUUUAAGAAGCAAUCCAAUCCCCGCUCUUUAAGGGAGGAGAAAUAAUAUGGAAGUUGAUUCAAUUCUUGGAGUGGAAUGAUCACAAGAAUGCAAUGAGGCAUGCAAAAUGAGUACCCAUAUCAUCUUGCCUUCCUCAACAUUUCGCUGUCUAUCCCCCUACGGUACAUGUGCCCAUUAACCAUCCACUAAAUGAGAAUUAGUGAGCUUUACUAGAAUAAAAUGUCCAAUGGAAGUAUCCCAAGAUUUCAGUUUUCAUCAUUUUAAUCUACUGUAUUUCCAGUAAACUUCCUAUUGGUACUGGUUUAGUAGUAUAGCCAGCACAUGAUGUACCAAUUGAAACCAUGAUCUCUGAUGUCAGAGCAGAAGGUUCAUCUCUAGUCAUUUAUAAGACAUGCAAUAAGCUGCAGCACGAAAUCUUAAGCUUUGCAAGAGCUUUCUAAACAGGAAAGGUCUUAAAAAUUGAUAAUCUCCCGAUAGUUGCGAUUGAACAACAAAAAAUUCGAACAGAAAACCAAUUCAAUAACACUCUACAGAUGAACCUGUAUGUUUAAAAUGCAUCAGAUAUUUAGAAUGUCAUUGAGCUCAUACCUUUUAUAAGAUCACCCAUCAAAGUGUUAACUGGUCGGUCAUCCUCAAGGACUCCAGGGGCAUUUAAAAUUUCCCUACAAAGCGCAGAUUUUGCACAACCAGGUAUUCCUGAAAGUCGAAAGCAGUUAGUCCAUAUAAGAUUGAUUUAGUGGGUGCAUAUCUUAGGUGGAGAGGGAAGAAAGAAAGAAUGCAUGACAAGUGAAAACAUCUUCAAUGGUAUAAUAAUAACAAUAAAAGAGAUGUGUGCAUAUCAGGAAGUGUUAUCCUCCAACCAACAGGUAAACUGAUAUGCAACGAGCAUAAAGUGGAACACAUACUUCAGAUUAACAUCAUGUAACUUUCAGCAAAUAGAAAAGUCAAUAAAGAACGGCUUACACCACAUAAGAAGUUUCAACUAGCAUGUGAUAGAAAAAGAAAUCAGAUUAUACAUCUAGUGGAUUUCUAAGAUAUAUAAUUAACAAGUUCAUGAUCAUCAGAUGGAACAUACUUCUAUUCUCUUACCCUCCCUACCUAAAUGGAACCAAAAGGAAAUGAAGGAGCUCAAUGAUUGUCAACAUUAAAUAAGCAUCAAUAUAAUAUUCAAUCUAAACCCGAUAUAUGUCAAAAAAAAAAGUCAAUCCAGUGAUCUCAAGAUGAAUAGGCUGGCCCACAAUUUUCCCAUCCAGCCAUACCUGGAAAGAAGACAAUGAGGCCCUCAUCCUUGGCAACUCUGUCCUUAACUGUAGUUACUGGUCCUGCAUCCCUCUCUUGCUCAAGGUCACCCUCUUCAUCUCUUCCUCCCUCAAUAAUGGCCAAGAAGUCUUCUGAUCUUACUAAGUUUCCAGCAGAUCCUAUCAAAGCUUGAUUUUGUGGACUGCGCUUUGCAUAUUGCUCCAGAAAAGGCUCAGCCUCACUAAGGUAUACAGAAGAAGACAGCAUUUUGUGUCCAUACUUUCUGCGUAUGUAUACUGCCCUGAGAAAGAGGUUAGAUUAUUAGAUGCUUCACAUAAAGAAAUGUAAGUGAUCAUGAAUGAAACCAUGGAAAUGAUUCCAACAUUACCAUUCAUCGAGCAUUUUGCUCAAUUCCCUUUGCUUUGUAGGUGAAGUAUUCCAUAUCUUCAUUUGUCUACAGAAACAGGAAAUUUUUAAAUGAAAAGUAAGCAAAAUAUAUCUGCUGUAACAGAUUCUUUCUAUUCUUAUUGAGACCUUUAAGCUUCACCAAAAUUUCAUUUACCUCAAAUAGUAGGCUUUGUAGGCAGAUGGACCUUCUUUAAAGAGAAUAGACAAGCCAUUCCUGAUCAAAAAGGUUCGCAACUGCACCAUAAAGAAUCAAAUAAGAAACUAAAGAGUACUGCCAUGAAAUUAGUUAGUGUCCCACAAAAGAAUGUUCAUUUAAAAGUUCUUAGAGUUGAAAACAGAAGUUCUUUAAAAUUUCCAUGAAGUAGCAAAGGGAAAGUAUAUGAAAUUUCCUUCAUGUCAUUAAAGUUGAAAAGUUCUUUAAGAAUUAGGUAAUUGGUUUUGAAAGCUGGUUAUUUACAUACUCCAAGGAACUAGAAGUUCAAAGAGAAAGUUAUCCAAAACUGUGCUUACAAACCAAACAUUCAUUCCCUGACUUCAAAAAUUCCUUGACUUUCCACUGUUCCUUCAAUCAAAACAAUGUCACAGUUUACACUAAAUUUCAUUCCUUGGCUUUCCACAGUUCCUUUGAUCAAGCAAUAUCACAGUUUUACACUAAAUUUCAGCAAAUGAAAUUAAAAAAAAAAAACCAAGUUAGAAGAUGCAUUGUAAUUAGCACAGUAGAAGCCAACUGAGGAAAGGAAGAAAACAAAUGUUGUAUCUGUAUACUUAAUCUACAAUUUGUACCAUUGUACUUUCUAUCUGAAUAUCUGUUGUUUCAAUUUCAAUCAACAAGCAAGAUAUAGUUAAAUGAUAGAAUUAAUGAUCAACACUUGAGGAAGGUUUAACGGAUAAAACAGAAAAAAUUCACCACCAAUGAUAUGAUUAAAGGAUCUGUAGCUCAUUUUAAAGAGCAUGCAACAUGCUAGAAGCAUUGGGAAACAAGUAGAUUAACUAGAAAUCUAGCUCCAUAAAGCACCUCCAAGGUGUAAUACACCCAGGACUUCUCUGUCAAUACCCGACAUCCUUGACAGAAAGUUUUGACAUGUGCACAGAUCAUCAAGUGUAAUAAAGCAUGCAUCAACUAGAAAUUUAGGACCCUAAUUAUCGCCCAAGUAUUACUACAUCCAAGGCAAGAUAUCUGAAACAGCCCUUGAAAAGAUAACAGAAAAAUCAAGGUAGUUGCAAAUAGUAAGUGCACUGGAGUUGAAUGCACAAAAUUUCUUAUAACUACAAUAGGCACACAUGAAGCAGAAAACCAAGCCUGACUAGGCUCAACCUAAUAAGAAUGGUGAUGCAUUUCAGUCAAGUAAAGAGGAUCGCGGGGAAUGUCAGUUGCAGUUUACCUUAUAUGUGAGAAAUUUCAACUUGAUCAUCAGAUUUGCAUCUUCAUCAGCUAAACUCUCAUUUGUGAAAGUGCCAUUAUUCUCAUCAACUUUUUUUGCACCCUUCUCCGUUCCAGCAAUUUCAGCAGCCUUUUCCUUGUCUGCCUUGAAUAAGUUUAAGUCGACAAAGAAACCUGUCAAAAAAAUCACCAAUUAGCAUCCAACAGAGAAAAGUAUGUCAUUAUUAGUCAAAAGGAUAUUCAAUCGUACAGAUAAGGAAGCUGAGAAUUGCAAAACAUCUACGAAAAAGAAUGAAAAGCAGAGGAAGAAGAAAGGACUAUAGCUGAAUUACAAAGCUGAUGGUACCAAAAGCAAUAUGGAUAAAGCAAAAAUGGCUAAAGCUGGAAUAGAGCUACAAGAAAUAGACAAGCAAGCAUCAAUUUUCUGAAAUUGGCUACCUCCUCCACUAUUCUCAGCAUUUGAAAGGAUUAGAGAAGAAGAAUGGAUUUAAUCCCUAGUGCAAAUCCCACAAACUAACUGGAAGUCUACCAUAUGACCAAUGGCACAGCUGAAACCAGUAAAAAAGCAAGCACAGCAGUGAGCUUACCUCGAUAAAGUGGCCACAGUCCUGGUUUGUUCCUGAGACAUGCACAUCCCAACCCGUUAUUUCAGUCAAAGAAUGAAAAACUACAAAAAUAGAUUUAGCAGCAAAAGUAAAGUUAUUUCCCAUCAUUAAGAUAUCAAGACAAAUUAAGUAAAGACCUCAUCUCUUUUUGAUAUCGCCGAAAUGCUGAAUCACUGUGUACAUGGAUCACCAUUUUGAAAUGAAGAUUAUUGCUAGAGACAGAGUUGAUCUUUUGAUAGUUAUGGUACAAUUUAAAAGCAGCUGGAUAGCGGUUUUCGCGCAUCAAGCGAAUCAUUUCCUGAUUGAAAUCAUCAAUCAUAGAAAUGUUUGGUAAGAUCAAUUGAAUAAACUCUUGCAAGAAAAUUUGACAGAUUUUGCAAAAUGAGUAUAUAUAAACUGGGAAAUGACAAUAAAAGAAUAUCAAAUGACAGAACCUCUUAAAGCAAUCUCAACAGGCAUUAAAAAACUCUUAGCUAAAUUUGUUUGACUGAUUUCAUUUUUAUCUGAAAUAAAGACAUUAAAUCAAAGCAAGACUCUUGGUCUCUUACAUCAAGCGCCUAAGAAAGGUUCCAAAAGCUCUCUUACUCCCACAGGCAAUGAGGCUUUAUUUGUAAAAGAUCAGUGGCACAACUUAUGUAUGAGAAUGUAUAAAUGAAUACACCAAACAUCUAUGUGGAGAUACAUUGUUACACGACCGCAUCAUGCAAAACAAUGCCAUUAAAAUGGAAGUUAAAGGGAGAUACAUAAAACACCACCUGCAACUUUAUUGUAGAAAAAUCAGCAGGCUGUGCUUGCAGGAACUUUGUAAGAGCCGAACGAUCAACAUUUCUUGAAUGUGGGUCGGACCCUUCAUUCCCAAACCAAUCCAGAUAGUUUGGGCAGAAGGAAGUGCCAACGCUCUGCAGAAGUGCCUUGAUUUGCUGCAAGUCAUGUAAGAAGCAAAAUUGAUAACACAUCACGAGAUACUUGUGUACCAUAAAACUUCAAAUGUUAGGAAAGCAUGUUAUCUGUUGAGGACGAAGGUUACCUGCUUCUCAUCAGAUCUAUUUGCAGCACAAAUUUCUCGCAGGCUAGCUCCUAAAUCUUUUGCAUCUGCCACCCGAUACACAAUCACAUACAAUUACUACACAUGCUUAAUUCACAAUUACACAAACCAUAAGUACGUCCCAGUAGUUUCCUUCCACCUCAGAACUAAAGAAGUAUCAGAGAGAGAGAGAGAGAGAGAGAGCAAACACAAAAAGAAGGAAGCAAAGGCAAUUUCAGUUUGACAGCAAAAGCAAGAACAAGCAAUUGUCCAGAUAAUAAUAUUUCAAAAAAGCAAGUCCCAUAAUUCCAGUAUUUUACAAAUCAUUUUACCAUUCACGACAAAAUAUUUUAGACAGCAAACCCUUAUUUGAACCUUUUCUGUUAUCUCUUUAAUGUAGAUUUAGCAUUACAUGUGCAAUCAGAGAGUGGAGCUUCAUCCAAAGCAGGAUCAACCAUUAAUGGUCUAUAAACUCAUUGAAAGGUGACUUUGAGUUCAAUGGCUGAAUACCCACUCAGUGACUCCUAUAGCGUGACCAUGUUCAUCAAUACUGAAGGUGAAAAAAUAAACCUGUAAACAUGUUUAGCAGUUUGGAAGUGGCUUAAAAAAAGGCCAAAAAAAAAGAGGUACAGCAGAGUGAAUCGAGACAUCUUAAAUUUGUUGCUUAAGAUACGAUAGAUACAUAUCACUUGCUCGAGCUAUUUAAUAGUAGCAAAACAUAAGUUGAAAUUUCCUGGAUGGUAAGAAAGAAACUUCAUUGACAAUAAUCUCUGGUCAACAGAGAGAAGCAACUCAGUGACAAUUGCUUUUCCCUUCCUUUCUAACCCCUCAAGUUGAGUAGCACAAACAAAAUCCCACGUGAAAGUUGUUUCACAACAUCUAAAAACACUAGGCACACAGUCAAUAGAGAAGAUAAUUCCAGAUGGAAAUUCUUUGAACUUCCACAAAGAGCUAAUGAGGGCCAGCAAGAUUUAAGCACUUGAACAACCAAAAUUACAGAGAUACAGCAUGAAAUUUUACCUAGAUUCCUGUUACUUACAAUAAGAAACUAUGCCUUAAAAGCUUACACUAGUCUGUGCGUGAUUUGAACUUCUUAAGCAAAGGAGAUUGUUCACAAAUUGCAACCAAAAUUUUAAGGCAACCAAGAGAGAGAGAACAUGUUUUUCACACAACAGAAAAGGGAAAAUACUUUUUACCUUCAUCCACAGUAGGUAAAGGAAAAUCCCUUAGAACUUGUUCCAUGUCUUUUGAACUUUCAUGGCUUACUAUGCGAGCCACAAGACCUUCUAAAAUUUCGCCUUGUACCUUUAUGUGGUCUAUUGAUCCUGCAGCCAGUGAAAGAGAAAGGGCAAAAUUUUAGGAAUAACAAAAUACCUUGAUAAUUUACAGAUGUCAUAAAAGAAAGAAAACAACUCUGUCAAUUUAAGAAAGGCUCUAACAAUUACAGUAAUUUCAAGGCAAGAUGCCAUGGGCAUAUAUUUAUAUUAAAAAAAAACAAAAACAAAAGCAUAAGAGAGUUGGAGGAAUAAAGUCCACUAGCAUUUAGUACAAACUAUAGCUAGGAACCUUAGGCCAGCUUAAGACUUGAUGCCUGUACUGUCUAAAAGAUCUAAUUUGCAAUCAAAGCAGCACCAGCUGCAUGCUACUAACAGAACCAUACCGGCAUACAGUGCUGGACCACAUUAAAAUUGAAAAUGAAAAAUAAAAAAGUUGACAAGAAAAGGUAGAAUGAUGGUGAUGAGAAGAACUAGGUCUUAAAUUACAACCCAAUGAUGGAGGACGAACAAGUGCAACUGUGCAAGCCUAAUAACAAAUAUUCUGGAGAAAAUGAUAAGCAUCCAGCUACGAAGAAGAUAAAAUAUGACAUCUGCCCACUAAUUCUCUCUAAGUGCCUGUGUGGAUGGAUUGAACAACAGUCAUUUUCAUCUCGUAACAUCAGCUAUUAAGAGCCAAGAUCGAGUGGUUAGACUAAGGCAUCAGAAAAUGGAUAUAAAUCAGGUCUAUGAGAAUUGUAAACAAUAAAAGUCUUAGCUCACCACGAAAUCAAAAAGAGAUUAGUAACUAAAAAAAGCAGGGUCAUCAAGUAGAAUAUAAGGGACCACAAUGUUUAAAAGGUUUGCAGAAUGGUGAUUCAGCAGUAGCUGUCAAGGUGGUUGGUUUAUCUUGAUUUGCAUAGGAUAUCAUAGAAAAUACUAGAAAGCCAACAUCAGGAUAUGCUGCUGGUUGUAUAGCAUGCCUAAUGACAGUUAAGUAGCUGGUAUACAGAAGAAGCACAGUGAGACAACCAUGGCAAUACUAGUAACCUGGUCCGAUUCACAGACAAAAAAGAAUUGCAGCCACCUGCAACUGUAAUGUGCUAUACCUGAUCUAUACUGAAACAACAAAGGUGCUAAAGCCAAAUUUGGAGGACAAACAAGUUAUCAAAACUUGAGCUUUCCAUGGUUUCAACAAAUCACAUCAAAUCAACAAGCUUUUGCUUUACAAAUAAAGGCACUGUUCUCAAAUAAACUUCACCUGGAACAGAUAUAUCUGCAACUUCGUCAAGAGCCUGACAAACAGGAGAUGCUGUUCCUUCUUCACACAAUGCAUCGUAUGCAGCAAAAAAGGAUGUCACCGACUUCCUAUAGUAUUGAUGCAAAAUAUGUAUCAGGGCAACAACUUUCAUCUUAGAUUGCCAAAAGUACUCCAACAAAAAUAAAUAAUAAAGAAUAUUUUCUCCACUAGCUAGAAACAAUUUCAUUUAGUAAGAUGCCUUGUAACUAGUUUACCAAAAUACAAAUAAAAAGGAAGAGUUAAUCACAAAAUAAGAUGCAAGUACACUAAGACAAAAUUUCUGCCAAUUGCACUUGUUUAAGAAUCACCAAGGAAAUUUUGAUCAAUUAUGUCAAAUGAUGAUACAGCUAUUCAUGACCAAGCUCCUGUUUUGAAUGCUUAUACCGAAUAGAAAAAUCUUAAAAUACACAUAGAUGAAAGAAGGGAGUGCAUUAAGAACAGAAAAUCAAUAAACAUAGACUUCCUCUAAUCAUAACCAAUAUAAUGUUUGUAGUUCCAACCUCAGUACUGAUUUCCAAACAUUAAGAAGAGAAGAAUUACAAAGACAUCCUAUUAUAAUGAAGAAAGUGCAACAUCAAUCAAACUGAAAUCUACAACUACAGUUGUAUUCUUUCUUAAAAACACACAUAAAAGAGCAAUACCUGGUGGAGAGCAACCAGACAUGAUUUGUUGGAAGACGCCACUUCCGGCAAAAAGCUAUUAUUUCUGGAGUAGAAUAAAAUUUUGGUCUCCCAAUGCCCAAUUCUGUGACUGCUGUCACAACCACUGCAAGACAAGAUAGACGAGGCAUACAAGCUGAAGCAUGAGAACCAGACUUUCUGCCAAAUCAUAUCCAUCAAACUAAUUAUGAAAACCAAAACCUAUGGCUCUGCAAAAACAGUUGCACAAAAUUGGAGCUCUGCCAGACACUGGAUAGUUUAACUGUUUACAAUUCUAAGAUCUAUUAAUUUGAAAUGAAUGGCAGGAAGGCAGCAUUGAUCAGCUAACAAGAACUAAGCCUGAAGUAACAAUAACUUGAGUUACAGUAAGUGCCAAAUACAUAUAUAAACCCUCUUUGCUGGUUGAGAAUGCCAAAAAAAAAAAAAUAGCAAAAUAAUUGAAAAGUUUGGCCAGCAUAUGGUAGCACUUGUACCAUCCUUCCAUAACUACCAUGACUGCAAAAACACAACUGAACAAGUUACCAUUCUUGCAAAAAUACAUUAACUGUUGAACAAAUUGCAACUACUUAAAUGCUUCAAUUUUUAGCAACCUUCAGAAAAAAGUGCGCCACCAUACGUCAAGGUAUUGUGUCCUUUCAGGUGUUAUCAUCCCUCAAAAUAGAAUAACCAAAAAAGUUUAAUCUUCCAUGACCCAGAAAAAGUGUAUCUCAGCUUCAAUCAGUCAACAGAAGGAAAAGAAAAAGAAACCAGAAUAUCUGACCACAAAAUAUACCACAUUAAUGUAUAGUAGUUGAUAAUUUUCUUUUAUGCCCUCACCAUAAUCUUCUCGAGGACGUUGUCCAUGGUCUCCUAGUACAGCAGUUACCAGUUCCAUUGAUAUGCACAUGCGAUUCCGCUGGAAAAAAUUCAAAGAACAGAAUUCAUCAAUUCAUAAGGACAAACAUAUUGCUCAAUUACUAUAGCUAUUGGGCAUCAUGUUAUGUGCCACAUGUAUCGACAAUGUAAAUAUGAAGAUGUUUCAGAAUGAUUAGUGACAGGGUAAGUGAUGCUCACAUAAUUACAAGAUUCCAGUUCCACUUGCAUAUGCCUUAUAAGAUGAAAUUUCUUGUUACUGCAGCAACGCCCCCCCCCCCCCCCCCACACACACAACACAACAACCAAAAAAAAAAAGAAAACCCCACCCCACAGCCCCUCAAAAAAAUAUUCAAAAUCAGCCAAUAACAUCUUGGUCCAUGAAGUAAUGGUUCCUAGGAUGAGCAAUCAAUACUAUUCCUCAUCUAUAAUCUAGCUACCAUUUUACUCUUCUAGAUUAGUAUGGUGAGAGAUUCAAAGCAAUAAAGUCAAGCCUAUCCCCCAGUUUAUUCUCAAGAUUCCACAGUGAAAUACCAAAAGAUAAGGGUUUCUAGUCUUCAAGAAACUGCAUAAAAAAUAUGACGAAGACAUGUAAAAACUACAAAAGCACAUCAAAAUCAUAACAUAAAUGCCUUACUCAACCAAGAUAGAAAGUUAUCAUUGAACAACUCCAAAAGACAACUCAAAACUAAAAGUUCCUCGCAUCUGUGCUCCAUCAAAGAAGGAUCAUUAUUUUAUUUCUUAUGAGUAGGCUAUUUGCACCUUAUUUUCAGUGCAUUAGGAUUUUGAUUUAAUCUAAAAGUAAUGACAUCUAGAUUUUGUUGCACAAUGUCUAAAAAAUAAUUCUGUGGAAGUACAUUGAGAAAUUCAUUGAACUCUGCUUGCUUCUUGGUUGCUUGAGCACCCCAUGCCUUGUGAAAAGUCCUCCCAAGCACAAAAACACCAACAGCAGUGUAACUGCAGAAAAUAAGAAAAGUGAAAACUUAAAUAGAAAAGUCAAGCCAUAUAAAUGACUGCUAGAAUGAUACACAUCCAAGAUUACUGACAUUAUACAGAAAAAGAUGCAUAUUUUUAUUCAUGUAAACUUAAAAACAACUCCAGCAGGCUGGAUGUUCUCAAAUCUAUUCCAUUGUGAUUACCAAAUAAUUCUCAGAAAUAGUAUAAACCUAGUGCACCAGAAAUAACUUUAACUUUAUCUUAUUCAUCAAACCAUGUGGAAUUCAUCUUCCUAACCAAUUGCACUACUGAACCAAGAAUCCCCUGCCCAACAUCCCAAUAGAAUAAAUGAACUCCCAACCUCUACAAACGUGUUUCAUUCAGUGAUUGACUGAAUCAUCUGAAUGCACUAUAAAGCACAUUAUAAAUUUUCACACAGGAGGAAAUGACUGGUUGAACACCAAACCAAUCAUGCUAACGGUUCAAGAGAAGAGAAAACUGAAUGUUAUAUUUGUUUAGCAGUUCCACCUUGACCUCCCCAUAAAACUACCCCCACCCAAGUAACUCCACCCAAAACGAAGAUCAACAAUAGCAAAGAGGCAUAAAAUCUCUCAGUAGCAUACCAGCAAUGGAGCACAGUUCAGUAAAUUAAGCAAACAAAAGCAAAAGCUCCAUGAAAUAAGGUAGGAAAUGAAUAGAGGAUGCAAUGGUUAAUCAUGAGCAUACACGUUGCCAAAGCUGUUCUUAGCAUAUGCUCCUCCCUCAUGUCCAGCAUACAUGAAAAGAGAUCCAGAAUGCUUGAGUGAUACCUGUUGAAGGCAUGAGAACGCUAGAGAAAAUGAGAACAAUGAUAGUACACACAUCAAAAGAAAAAAUUGAGCUCCAUUUCAGCACAACUGAAAGGAAAUUAUGGAACAAAAGGAUUUGUAGAACAGAAAAGCUAAAUUCGUACCUCCAAUGUGGCCAAGCCUUUCGACACCAUCUCUAUCAUUCUUACUCUAAUCUGGAACACGAGAACAAUCAAGAUAUAACUCAGAAGCCCACUAACAAGAUUUAACUAAUGCUCAAAAAAGCACAAUAAGCUAUACUUUGGAGACCAAAUAAUCGAUAAUAUCCAAUUGGUAUGCGGACAUUCCCCCAACCACAUGACUAAAGGAAAAGCAGGAGAGAAAAACAAACCUCAUGAUCAGACUUCUCAUUUUCAAAUUUGGGGUAAAAGGUAGCUCUUAUUUGCGCAUGCGAGUAUGUUGAAUUGUCCACAGUGAAGUUGUCCAGUAAAUUACCCUUAAACAAUUUGCUCAAGACAGCAUUAUUUAAUCCACCUGAUGCUGCUUGAGCUUCACCCCCCUGAGCCGGACCCACCACUUGAGCAGCUGGUCCUUUUUCAACUUCUACAGCCGUUGCCCCACUUGUUGUUCCAUAUGACUUCGUCUCCCAAACGCCCUGUCUCGGAUUGUUGUUCACCAAUCCUACCCCGGCAAACUGUUGAUCUGGGGGAGGAACACUGGACUCUCCAUCAUUUUGAGGAAUGCUUAAUGAACUAAAUUUAUCAGUCACAGCUUCCACACCUCCUACAGAAGAAACCUCUUUCGCAGUUGAUGAAGGCCUGUCAGAUUUUGGCUUCUCUAUCCAUCUUUGUCCUCUAGCUGCACUCCUUGGCUGCAUUUUCAUAAAUCAGAACAAUGAACAGACAAAUAGUGCCAACCAUUAUAAGAAAUUAGGAAAAACUUAAAUGAGCAUAUCCAAAAUACAUAAGGAUUUGGUUACCCUGUAUUCUACAUUUGUCCAUAAAAGGUAGAACAGAGGAUAAAAGGUAUCUCUUAAAAGGUAGAACACAGGAUAAAAGGUAUCUCUUAUCAAAGUUACUAACAGAGAACCAUAGCUACUAUUUAGAUGGCAAGCAUUUCUAAACAAAAUUAAGCUCAAUAAUGCUUACGUGUUCAAGUAGAUGACAAUGCUCAUCUUCCACUGUGAGUACCUUUUUUUCAAUCCUUUUUCUGUUUCCUUCUUAUAAUCACUCUUAUUGGUGACAGAAAUAAGGAAAAGAAAAAAUUAUUCAACAUUGUAAACCGAAAAAAAAAAUUUUCAACAUCCAAUUUUGCUUCAACAUCUUGACAUUUUACCCGCAAGGAGAAAAAAGAAAACAAUAGCCAGGGUUAUAAAAAUAAAAAUAAAGUACCAAGUUGCUACAGAUGCAGAAAAUUAGAGCAAGAAUAAAUACUUAGAUACCAAAAAGGGAAAAGAGAUAGCAUUUAAGUCCAAACUCUAAAUUCCUAUUUUCGAUCUUUAUAGCUCAUGCAAUCAAACAGUGACCAACUGCGAAAAUGUUACAUAUUUAAUCCAAAACACAGCACAAAAGUAGGGGCAAAAGCAGGUAAGAGAAAGGAAAGACUCGCAUCGCCAGGUGGGCUGACAGCAUUGCGAACACAUCACAUAUCCAUUAGACAGCUAUAACUACCGUGUUCGCAGAAUUUAAUCAAGUCUUCUAUAAUUAAAAGAAAAUAUAACCAAUUCAUCAGAUAAGAUCACAAAAAAAAUUGAAAUAAAAUACAGUCACGUAAUAUAUGCCCAUCUAAAUAGAGAAGAAAAAGAAAACCUGUUUCCGUUGCAUGGUGGAGUGAACCAGUGAGCUGCUGAAAGAGAUGGAGCGAGACCGGAGAAGAAGAAAGCUUCUGGAAGAAAUUAGAUGAUGAGGUGAAGAAUGAUAAUGCGAAGAGGAAGAAGAACGAGAAUAGAGUGCUAGAGUGAAACCAGAGAAUAUUCUCUGAGAAACCAGCCCCCUCGACAACAUCCAAGUUUUCCAGAUAGUACAACUUUGCUAUAAAUAGUAGGGAAGAAGAGUGGGGCGGUGAGUGGUAAAACUGCAAUAGCUAAGAAAUAGGACGUCAAAUACUAAUUUACGAGCACCGCGGACACCGCCUUAGACCGGCGUCGAAUCAGAAUCGUUCUACUGUGAGACACUGUAGAGUGAGGAAAAAAAAAUAAGGUGCAGCGCAACUGCUCAAGGAAAGAUUAAUUAACUCUUGGUCGCAGAAGACUCGUUCAUUCAGUCAAUGGAUUUGUUUGGAUUGAAAAUUAUUUGUCAAAAUUUAUUUGCUUAUAAUAUCAAUUUAAAAUAUCGCGGUAGUCUGUAAUCUAUAUCAGGUCGACGUAUCGUGGUCAUUUGCAGUUCACGCUUCCUCAGGUUAAUAUUUUAUUUGUGUUUUUCUCAUUUUUUACCUCGGGUUAACCUUCCAGGUCGUGGCCACAUGAUGACCAAUUUCUUAAUGGAUAUGUAGUCAUAAAAAAAAAAAAAAAAAUUCCAUGCGAAGGGUCUAGACAUUAAUUAUUGUCAAUUACUUUCUUAACUAUCUAAUCUCCCAGAAUUCCUAUUCGGGAUAAUAAUAGUUCACAAUAAGAUAUGCCUUGAUUUUCAAUAUACCAUUUUUGUCUUUUUGUUGUUAAUCAGACAAAUCUACCCCGUAAUAUGUCAUUUUAAAAGUUUUCCUUUUUAUCUCUACUUUUUUUCCUCUUUACCUUUUCUUCCCUUCUUUUGCCAUUUUCUUCUUUCUCCUUACCGUAUUUCGGUUGAAGGUGGCCCCUUCCACACUUGAAGGAAACUGAGUCUGACUAUUUGAAUAGGAGCAGGACGAUUUGAUUGACUGCACAUUUUCAUUUGAUGAAAAAAUGAAUUAGUUGUGCUAACUUCUGAUUCUAAAUCUCAGAGCCUUCAGCUAAUUUACUGCCUUUGCUUCCUAUGAGCGUUUUGAGGCAUGGGUUCUGCCUGCUUUUGUCAGCUCGCCAGGGACGCAUUUGAAAGAUCAAUCAAUGGCACAAGUAUGGCUCUAACAGAAUGAUAUAGAUUGCCUCUCUUUCAGCUUCUUCCUUCCUGCGGUCGAAUUCAACAACUUUACAUUCCAGUGAGCAAUCCAUGUGCCAAUGGAAUGGAGAUGUAAUAAUUUAUAGUGGAUAUUAUUGCAGUAUGGUAAAUGGUCUCCAAGUGAGUAAUGUGCCUUAGCAUAUUCACAAUAUUUAUGACUACCAAUGUUUGCCGUGGCUCUGUUGCUCUAAGCUGGCAGCUUAUUUUGUCAAACUAUAAAAGUCUAAGGUGAAGAAACCCCCUAGCAGUUCACAAUGUUAACUAUCUCCUCUUUGCUGCAAAAAAUUUCCAUAUUUCGGCGUGUAAACACUUACUGUCAACUAAUGGCCUGUCUUUAUGCUUCUAAAUCAGAACUGUUAAAGCAUACUUGAGGUACACUCUCUGUCGGCAAAAAACUCGUCUGGGGGAUUUCACCAAGUACUUCCAGGCCUUCUGUGCCCGUGUCUUCGGUGUCUUUUAUCGUAGGUGUUUGAUCCACUUCUGGAGCCAGCGGACCUUGAGGGGUUCCAAAAACAGUGGUAAAUAUCUGUCUAUGGCAUUCACCGCAGAGAUAAAAAUAGGUGAAAUGGCCCUCAUAUAAGAGCUUGUGCACCAUGGCAUCUGGUAGUACUCGCUGCACAAAAUCGCUCAUUGCUGGAGGGACAACCUUAUCAUCCAUUCCCUGUUUGACGUUGGCAAUUCAAGAUGCAGCAAAAGAAAGUCGCCAGAAUUAAUAUGGUGCUCAAGUUCUUGUUUUCAACAGAACAAGCAUAAAAUGGACAUCUUGCCUUUGUACAGAAAAUAGUUGUAAUAAACAGAAAUGACUUAUUCGUUAAACAGUUUGAGAAUUUGGCACGCCAAUUGCCCAAUGUCAAAGCAAUCAGGGUACAGGAGACUGCAAAAUUCAAAGAAUUUGCUGAUCAUAGUCAUCGUACUACAAAAAGCCUUCACAAGCAAUUCGUUUAAUGGACUUCUAUCAACAUGGUUUAAAAUCUUAUGACAAAAUAUACCAGUCACAACAGACAUGAAGUCAUCAAUUGCAUCAAAACAAAGGGAACUAAAAUCCUCAGAAAACAGUCACAUUCCUGAGAUAGAUGAGAUUCUUUUCAUGGUAAAGUCAAUUAAAGCAUACUUGAGUAGCAAUGAUGCAGACAAUACACUCACCUGCCAUAUGUGAAUUGGACCAAGGAAUCCAUUCAUACUUUCAUCUUCUUGUUCAUAUAUGGAUUUGAGCCAAACCAGAAAGCCUUUUCCCUUGUGUUUCUUUUUUACUUUGAGUUCAGUAAGUUUGAAACCCCAAUUUGAAACCUGUAAGACGGCUUCCUGUACAAAAGGAUUUGCAUUCCCUUGUCGAACAGAUUCUUCCACAUCUCUUUGCCAGGACUCUUUGAACAGUGGAUGCUCUAUCAAUGCUCUAUCCUAGAAAGAGCCAAGAUUUGAGUAAAGAAUGUCCAAAAAGGAAGUAAUUUACCCUCCUAUGCAAAUUUUGUUUGAAUAGCAUUAUAGUAUAAAAAUUAAAUCAAUAAACAAUUAAUUUUAUGGUUUCCAUACUAAAUCUUACCACUAUUCUUCAAUUAGUUUAACUAAAACAAAUCUUGCAAACAAAAAGAUGUCAAUGCAUUUCAAACAUCAUCAGAGUCAAAAACAGAAACCAUAGUCAAGAUUACUCACCCUAUUUCCAAGUGCCAAUGAAAGCCACUUGUCAAUUUGACCAUGUUUCCCAGACAGGAAGCUUCUACGAUAGAAAUAAGGGAGUAAUCUUGGAAACUUUUUAGCUAACGUAUACAUUAGCUUCUUCUUUCCAGUCCAUUUUGCCCACAUUCUACGCCUCUCUUCCUUAGUCAUACUUGGGUCAUAUGGAUUUACCAUCGGAGCAACCAUGAUAGCACCUUCACGUUAAAAUCAAGGCAGGGUCAGAACCUCAGAACUGAGAAAGGAGGAAAGGCAUUUAAUUCAUCUCUCAUCAUCAGGGUAUGAGUAUUGUUCUGGUGACCGUUCAAAGCAGCCAUCAAUACCCACUGGUACUCAUGAAACAUAGCAUUUAUCAGUACAAUUCAUGUUGGAAUGUGCAUACAGAUGCAGAACCAUGAAAAAUAAAAAAAAUAACAGCAUAGGUAGACAUUAAAUUAUGGAUAAGCAUCCAAUGCUCCAAUAAUCUGGAAAAAACUAGCGAUCUCUCCGGCUUCACAUUAACCUUAUUAGAACUGGGGUUACCUAUGUAGUACCUUUGUCCAUUCAGUCCUCUUGCAGGAAAAGUUGCCCACUACAGAAAAAUUUAUGCAUCCUUAGGGUAGUGUAGGAUAACACUAAAUGACGAAUAACUUUUCAAUUUUUCUCUUCUGAAGAUAAAAUCAUCUUCAUGGCUGACUUCAAGAAUUAAAAGUUCAAAAUAGAUAAGUACCCUUAAACAGAAAUAUGCAAUUCAUUGAGACCGUUCAUGAAAGUAUGCAAAAGUGCAAAUUCUGUAACUUAAAGUCCAAAAUUGACAAAUCAGCCUACUUGAGCUUAAACCAGUUACUUCAUAAGAGUAAACAUGAGAUCAUGUUCAAACAUCAAUCAAUCAUGCAAAGGAUGAACUGACCUGCCACCCUAUCAGGAAUGAAUCGAAGGGCAGCCCAAGCAUGUAUGCUCCCACCAGAAAAUGCCAACACCCAGAAUUUGUCAGUGAUAUUCACACUAUAUGAUAGAUGUACCAUAUCCAGAGCCGAUGAUUCAAGGCCACGAUCAGGAUCAGGAUCGCUUUCCCCAAAUCCUGGAAGAUCAAAUGUCACAAGCCGAAUACCGAAUUCUUGCAGAAGGGAAUCCCUAAUACCUGGUAUUCCUGACAUAAUAAAAUUUUGGAAACAAACAAGUGAAAUGUGAGGUUAAACCACUCUUUGCUCAUCAGAUCCUUGGUUAAGAAUGUGUUGCUUCAUCUCUAUAGAAUCUACCUGCCAAACGAGAUGAAAGAAAAGAAUGUGGCACAAUCACAGAAUAUCUAGCCUGGUCAGCAGGGACACCUUGCUCCUUAUAAGCCAAAUAUCUACCGUUUGGAAGCAAUAUACGAGUAGCACUUGGAGGGUGUAUGCACAUUUUCUUCACCAAUGGAGUAGAAGUGUCGUGAUCAGUAUUUACAAUCAAUACUGCAGAUAGAAAGUGCAGUCAGAAUGAUCCAGCAGAAAUAGGAAGAAGAAUGAAAAGCAGGUGUGCACUAGGUUUCAGGAUGAAAAAAUUAUCUUCAUCGCCUCAUUCGUUUGACAACUAUAUAUAUGAUUGCUAACUGUGAAGUAGAAUCUAUGUUUAAUUGCUAACCACCAUUAGAAUAUAUCAAUCUCUGUUAAUUGUAAUUAGCACGUUUGAAAAUUUUAAUUGAUUACCAAGUAGAUAUUAAUAUCCAAACUGCAUUUCAUCAAUAUAAAUCAAUCCUCAAGAUGACAAGUUCUCCAUGAAUUUCUUUAUCUCGCUCCAAUAUUCCUUAGGAAGGUAAUCUCGGUUUUAUUUCUCUGUUGAUAGGCUUUGUUGUCCUGUCAAACUAAAAUUCGAAUCAUCUGUAAACCUCAGCCAAUCUUGCGUUUUAUCUGUAUACCUCAAACAUGUACAAACCUGUGCUGUGCAGUCACAUGCAUGUCCUAAAUCAAACUCAGCUGAGCAAAAUCAGGAUAAAAUAUAGCAUGUCAUCGCAAAACUUACAAUUACGUGGAUAUGCUACAUUACUUUCACAACUUAAAUAUUAUUGUAUAUUAUACUUGUUUACUCUGCUGAUUUUGAAACAAAAGAUAAUUACAAUCUCAAAACAAUUUAAAGCAGAAAAUCAAUCAAAGAGAAUCACUGUAAAACACUGUACCGGUAAAAGCGAGAAGUAAAACGAAAAGAAUCACAGUCCACGAUUGGACAGGAUCGCGAUCCUCGGGCAGAUACUCAUUCAAGAACCUUAAUUUUCCACAGAUUCUCUCACACGGUCCUCUCAACUUCUUCACAAUCACAGAAUCUUCCCUCACAAUGCUCUGCUUCACUACGUCUCUCACUCCCUUCCCGAACUCCACACUCAUCUCCGCAAAUCCUUUGGCAAACUCCACCACGUGAUACCUCCAGUCCUCCUCGGCCGCCUUCUUCGUGGCCGCCGCAGCAGUGCUCGUGGAAUAGUAUGAUCGAUGCGGUGGUCCGGUGUCGUCCUCCAGUCUCACGAACUCGUCUCCCCAUGUUGACCUUGACUCAUUGACUUCCGACAUUCCCAAAUUUUCAAAAUUCCGGUACAAUUCCAACUCAACUUCGCCGCUCCUGAAUGGCGUAAUCCUCACGCCUCCUCAAAAAUUCAUACUUUCCAUCAGUGCGUGUAGUGUGUGUAUUUGCUUAUAUAGAAUUGUAUCAGUAUGAGAUGUAUAUAAUGACGGUGUGUAUAGACAUAGGUGGGGAUGUAUCUAUAUAUGGAAAUGCAUAUACCAUAUCAAAACAAAGGUGUCAUUUUCUACUUUGCUGAUUCUUUUUAUCUUUAAUUUUCGGUUUGUUUGUAUAAGCCAUUGGAGGGAGAGAGCCGGAGACUAGCAAGCCGUGGAGGCUUUUAACUGGGUUAGGAAAGCGGAGAAUGGAGAGGGACUGGAGUGUUAUUUGGAGAAAGUGUUGGGGUUAAUGGAAAAAAGGGACAGAGUGAAGCUGGGGAGAUAAUGGAGAGUGGAGAUGUGGCCACGUAAGUGAGGAGAUGAGAGUGAGAGACAAAGGCAGUGACCCGGAGUGACAGCGGUUGUUGGUGGUGGUGGGGACGUGGUUAGUUAACGACUGUUACUUGAGAUAGCCGGUUGCCCGCACCGGAAUCUUAAAUUUGGUACACAUAAAAAUUUGCCCACAAAUCUACCAUGAUUAGGGUGAUAUAGUACUAUCAAACGAUGAGAUUUUGUGCGUUUGGAUUUUGGCCUCAUUAGCUGUAAGUUGAUAUUUUGACAUUGAGGACAACUUUCUAAUAAUUGAUCAAGACUUGAACUUGAAGGAUGAAAUUAGACCAAACAAAUUUGGUAAGAUGCAAUGGAUCAGUAUAUUUUUCUAAAUUGUCAGUGUAUCACUUACAAAUUUAGAUGCAUGACACAUUAUUUCAAUUUGAAUUUGAACACUAAAUUUUACAUAUGUAACAUGCAUCUAAAUCCUCUAGUAUAUACAGUUAUAAAGAGUUAUAAAGGUAAAUUUUGAAGUUUGAAAAGGUAUUUUUUUAACAUUACAGACCAGUACAAAAAAGAAAUCAAGGAAUGAACAGUUCAAAAAUGUAAAAUCCAGUGUGUUUAGAUAGUAAAUUAUUUGGAAUAAUUUUUUUAAAAAAAAUAUUAUAACAUUUUUUCUGACGUGAUGUAUGUAAAAUAAAAAUAUGAUUGAAAAAUGCGUUGAUAAUGCAAGCAAAUAAAUUUAUACUAAUAAACCACUGACCAAACAAAUUUGGAACGAAUGGUGUGUGCUCCUUGUUGAGUGGCUAUUGGUUUUCUAAAUUUACUGAAUUUGGCACUGUUAUAAUAUUCAAUUUUUAAGAACUAAAAUCAGCAUUUGUAAAAGUACAAAUUACUCUUAGAGGCUUAUAAGUUAAGAUUCACCCGUUCACUGUGUCCGGAUUGUACUUAGAAGAGAAAAAAGAGGCCAAGUUGAAAAUUAGUCUCAAAUUUUUAUGCACAUGGAAAGGUCGAGGAGUGGGCAAAAAGUCUUCGUCAGUCUUUCUACCAUAAACUGUUGACAUUGAUGAGCGAGCAUUUUAACAGGGACGCGUAAGCAGCUUUCGUUAGCAAUUACUAAUCCUUUCUUUCUCAGCAAAAGACAAUAGAUGUUAAGGUAAGGUACGCCCCCACCGUCACCGCCGGCAUGCACAUCAGCACAUGCAGGAAGACAGCAGGUUUAUUUAUGGUAAGCGAUGCCUGUCCGGGGUAAGCCAAGCAGGGGCGGCUGGACUGAAUCAUUGGAGGAUUGUAUAGGCAAUUGUUUAGAGGUUGGCGUGAGAUUUUAAAAAGAGGGCCGCAUGCUGAUGUUGCCAAAUAUCUAGACCUAAUUCUUUUUGCAUUAUUCGUCAGUUACUAAUCUAAUCCUACUUAUAAACAACAGGAUUCAUUACUAGGCCGAUAAUUGACUUCUAAAACUCCCAUGGUUGGAAAAGAGAAAUAGUAGUGUAGUGUAGUGUAGUCCCGUGGCCUAAUAAUUGCACGUGAAUCUCAAUACUUCCAACCCAUAGUUUAGCCUGAUUUGAGUGGCAGUGGUCCAAACUACAAUGCCACUUGCCUAAAUGAUGCAAUCCAUGGACUGUAAGCAUCAAAGAGAAUUGCCAAAAAACAAGGGGUCGGGGUGUUGGGGGAAAAAGUACGAGGAUGUGGCGCACGUACCGGUCAGGCCACCAUGAACUCAUUUCCAUACUCAACAACUACGGAGCAUUUCAGUUGCGAGAAAAGCAGAAAACAUGAUUGCUAAUACAGAAAACCAACAACCCAUUUUUUUUUUUUUCUUUCUGACAUUUUCUCACGAAAGUAAGAAUUUUUUGCAAAUAAACCUAACUCCCCCGGCCCAUUUAACUCUUUGCAAAUAAACCUAACUCCCCCGGCCCAUUUAACUCUGUGAAUUCCAAUUUCUUUCUGCCGGUUGAUAUAGAUAGUCACGUGACACACAUUGCUCCAGUAAUUGUUUACCUCCGGCAUCAUGAUUCCUGACAGUGAUUUGAUAACUUGGAUCUCCUGUAUCACUACUUAAUGCUUCGCCUCAGAAAUCUAGCCACUACUUCUUUAUGCCUAGAAGCCUGGAACUCCAACACCAUUAUCCACAGGCAAUUGAGGCUGAGAAACAGUAGUGUAGUGCUUAUGAACAAUCAUUACGUCAUCCAUAUGCACCAAGUGUAAAAACCAGAAAGCAAUCGCACGAAAGAUGCAUUAUCUAAAGUUGGAGAACCCCACUUUUUGGAGUACAAAAUACAUCUUCAGUAGACAUUCUUCAAAUGCCCAAGUAAUAAUAAGCCGAUUUGUUUUUCUUUUUAUUCCUACGGAUGAAGUCAAAAAGCUUAAGCAGAAGCCGAGUCUCCAAUCAAUUCUAGUAUCCCCAGUAGUCGUUGCGGAUUUCAUCAUCAAACUUCUUCCUGAGUUCUGGGUGCUUCUCAAAGUACUCGUCUGCUGUCAUGGUACUGAGUUUCUUCUGUAAAAACCAUUGUAGAAGAUUUGAUAAACGAGAAAUAACGUACCAUGCAAGCCUUUGCUUCCACAGAGCCAAGUAAGAAAUCAAGUACUAUGGAGAGAAAAGAGGAAGGGGUGGAUCUGAAACAAAGAAAGUCCAACCUUCAGCUCUUGAACUUCAGCAAUUUCCUUCUCCAGUCUUUCAGACUCUUGGAGUGAUUGUUGCUCAGUGUCUUUGAGCUCCACCAACUGCAAGAAAUGAGAGAAUAUGAAGUUCUUCUUUUACAGUGCUAUCAAACAUGCAUAUCAACACCCAAUAACAAUUUAACUUUUAACUGUAUUUACUAAUAAGAAUCGACUUCAGCCAUAACAAUUUAACUCUUUCUCACCAAAGCAUCAAAUUUCGGCUUGUACUCUGGAGUAACCGUAUCAACGUAUUUUGGAAUCUCAACGCCUAAAAAAAGAAAAAAUCCAUCAAUAAUUUUAGACCAAAUCUCAGAAAAAAAAUUGGUAAUCAAUAUACUCUUGGUUUCCAAAUGAAAACUAUCUUUUGGUUAAAAACAAAAGCAGUACUACAUUUUUUUAUAACUCACAUCAAUACCCUCAACAUGCAAACACAUUUAUUGGUAAUAGAACUAGUUAGAGCCCAUAUGAGAGAGUGAUGUCAUUUCGUUUUCUACUUUUCAAAUUCGAAGUUCCAAGGUUGAUCUUUAUCAAAAUGACCGAUACUGCAUAAAGUAAAUGCAUGAACCUAUGAACUAAGGUUGCCAGAAAGAAGCUAGGUAAGUAGAUGGAUCAUACUCUCAUAUGCCUCUUUGUACAUAUCAACCAAUUUAGAUCCAAUCCCCUUUCUGUAAAAUUCCCAGUCUAUGGGCUCUGGUUCCUGCAUGAUUUAGAAAGACAGCUGGACAUUAUUCUCACAGAAAACAACUAGUAGAAUUAUUAAUUCAAGCUGAUUAAGAAAUUGGAACAUAUAACUAUGAACAAGCUAAUCAUAUAAACUCUUGCAGGAGAAGAAUUUCAUUAGUCUGCUUGAUCUCGAUACCAUAAGAUGAAGCAAUCAUGCAGGGUUUAGACGGUGACAAGUUAAAUAAACCCACUGUCAACAUACAACAAAUUAAUCUCCAUACACAGAAUUAUUGAUUACUUUGCAUGCCACCUGUGAAGGUAUUAGUUAACAAAGAAAGGAAAGAGUCUUCAAAAUCCUCUCUGCAACACCCAUUAACAUGAAAUUAAAAAAUGCAAGAAGUUUUAAGCCACAGAGAAUAUGACAUGGUGGAAUUAACCACUGCUUAUUAGUUGAUAAAAAAUGCCAUGAUGUCUGUGCUCUUCACUUUAGCAUGUCAACUGUUUAAGUUUUAGCCAAUGAAAAUAAGAACUGUGGUACAUCAUGAUUCUUUAGGUAAGAGCAUGUGUUAUUUUUUCACAAUUAUGUAAGCUGACUAGAAACACAAAUUCCAUUAAAAAACUUCGUUUGAGAAGCAUGUGGUGCGCCACACAUUCUUAAGCCCCAGAAGGCCUUAUGAAACUUGAGUCAACAACAAAAUGAAAUGCCUUUCGUUCUCUUUGCAUAAGCCUACAAAGAUGGGGACAUAAACCAUAAGCAAAAUGCCCUUGACACAGCCUACUAUUAUCUAAAAGCAGUCAGCGAUGUGCACAAUUUUUGUGUGAUGAGUCAUGGCAGUUCCAGUGCCCAGUAUUUGUCCUUAAUCUCUCAAUAAAGUCCAUUAUGCUCACAACAAUUUAGCCACUGAAGAAAGGUUGCUGUAAGGCAUCCAAAUGUAACAAAGAUCAGUCCACCAAUUCUAACCAAUCCAUAUUUGUAUAGGAAAUCAAAUUCACCAGAAUCCACUAUAUUCAUAAAUUCAAAAUAAGCAACCAUAUCAAUCAUCUUACCCACAUACUAUCCGUGAAGCAUGGCAAACAAAAAAUAGGGAAAAAAGAAAAGAAAAUGAACAAAGAAAACUACAUCCCAUGCCUACUCAGUAUUAAAAUCACACAAUAUUUCAGCACAAAAAAAGAAAAAAUCCAAUAAUCAAUCCUUCUAAAUCUAUACCAACUCAAUUUCAACACAACCGGAAGAAACCAUCAACACCCCAUCACCCAAAAAACUCCUCCAAAUGAAACAAUCAAAUCAGCAUCGACUUAUUCAUUCCAUGCUACAUCACAUCAGAAACCCUAAUAAGCUACGCAAUCGCAGAUCCGUACAGUACAAAUCAGCCAAAAUCUUAGGUUCACAAAAUCCAUCGAUGUACUAGGAGAAAAAAAAUCAUACCUGGCUGAAUUUAGUUUGCAGCUGGGAAUUGACUUCGUCAAAUGUACGGCGGAGAUUGGCGAACUCCUUGCGAGCCUCAUCGGAGACGAUGAGCUUCGCCAUGCCUUCCCAAUCGAUGGUUUUCCCGGCCUUGAAAGUCACAUCGGCUAUCUUCUUCGCCACUCCGUUCAUUUUUUACACACUUUCACACACUACCGACGUGGACUAUAACUCACUGAUUCUCUCCGAUUCAGCCACAAAAAAAUGCAGAGAUUGGAAAUGUUGUUCUACCAGGCAAUGCCUAUGUCUAUAACCCUUUCACUUCGGAAUAACAAAAGAAUGAUGGCGAGGACCAGGGCUUAUACCAAUUUUACCUUAACGGAUUUACUUUACUAGUACCAUACAUUUUAUCUUUCUAGUAGGCUAGUAGAGUUUUACCUUCAUUUUUCUUUACCUUACCUUAUUAGCCCGAUGGUAGGAAAAAAAAAUUUUGACUAUGGUUUGUUUGGAUUGCUUCAUAUUUCCCCAAUUUUAUUUGCUUACAUCAUCUUUACAAUUUCCAAUACACAUUUUUAUCUUCCCAAUAUCUUUUUAUCUCACAUACAUCACAUCACAAAAAGUAUUACAGUAAAAAUAUCCCAAAUAAUCCCAAAUAACUUACAAUCCAAACAGACAGAAUUUACUUGCCCAGAGGUUUGAUCAGAUUACCGAAUAAACCCUGUGGUUCAACCAAACUACAAAGAGACCCGUAAAGUUAUAGGAGAUAAUUUUGGAAACCCAAUUCGUUAUUUGACAAUUUUACACAAUUCCCUUGGCGUUUCAAAAAUUACACAUACCUCCUUUCAAGUUAUCAUUUGAUAACAAAAACAAUUCAGUGGUCAAAAUUUUGGAUAAAUAAUCCAAAAUAUUCUCAUGAUAUUGUGAAGUUCAUUUUAUUUUCUUAUAAAAUUCUCAAAAAAAAAUUGGAACAUAUAAAACAUCACAAAUUCACUUUCAACCUUUAACUCUAUUAUUCUAAAUCUUCCAUAUUUACACAUGCCAAAUCAGUACCAUUAUGUACAUGAACACUAUGACCAUUAGUUCUAAAUUCUAAAAUCUCAAUCUACAUGAAAGAAAAAAAAUCAGCAAUAUAAAUUUCGAAAGUGUUUCACUAACUACAUUAAUAUAGCACAAUAUCACUCAAAUGUUGGAAUGCUAACACUAGUCUUGUCCUUCUUAAACCUUUUGCUAGUAUCUUCUUCUAUUUAUCUCUAAAUCCUCCAAACAAAACUAAAAUUAAUUUAUAAUAUGUUUAAAAUUGUAUUUAUGAAAUAAUUGGUUAUUUCAUAAGUGAACCUUGUUUUUGUUUCUUUUUAAUGUCUAAUUUAUGAAAUGCAUUCAUAUGUGUAAGAUUAGGACCGGAUUGUUUAAUUAUAUGAAAAAUGAGUGUACUUGGAUAGUAGAUUAUCUAGGAUUGUUUAAUUAUAUGAAAAAUGAGUGUACUUGGAUAGUAGAUUAUCUAGAAUAACUUUUUGAAAAAAAAAUACCGUAACACCUUUUUGAUAUGAUACAUGUGAGAUAAAGAAGUGAUUAAAAAAUAUGUUAAUGAUACAAGCAAAUGAAUUUUGACAGAUAAUAUACUAUCUAAAAAAAUGUUAAGCUUGUUAUGGUCAUUUUAUUAGGCUAAGGGAGAUAAGUGAAAUAUUGAAAACUUUAAGAAUAUUGUGUGAAAUGAUUAAAAAUGUCUAGGGAGGUUUCUGAAAUUACCUCAAAGUUAUAAUAACAAACUUUUGAUUGGAUGUUUGGAUUGUGUAUUGGAAACUCUUUUUCAUGGAUACAUUUCUAAAUCAUUUUUUUACUUCACACAGUAUCAAAUUAUUACGAUAUAUUUUUUUACAAAAAUUCUUAAAAAUAGCAAUCCAAAUAAAAACUCUAAAAAAUAAUAAUCCAAAACUCUUAUAAUAAUAAUCCAAACAUAUCAGCAUAACCUUAAAUUGGAAAUCCUAAGAUAACCGCGAAAUCGUAAAUUCCUCGUGCUGUUUUUCUACCCUAACAACCAAAGCCCAAACUUGAUGGCAACGCAGAUUGCAGAGUUUCCAUAAAUGGGCUGCUGUCAAAAUUGCCGAGCCAAUCAAACUAGAGUUAAGAAUCCAACAAAACAUCUUUAGAGUGGUUUCCUGAGUGAAAAAAUCAUAUGCGGAAGUAUCUGAAGGUGAGGUGCAGGUGGUGGUGACAUUCACGAUCAGUUUUGUAGAAUUUUGCAGAGGCAACUUCGUUCUUUUUUUGGUUUUCUAUUUCUUCAUUUUCCCUUCAUAUUGGAUAUCUAUAUAUCAAGCCACGCACACAUCCUUUUUUUUUUCAAACCAACAAAUGCCGCACCAUUAUCCAUUGUAAUCCACUCGAAAAAAAAAAGCCCAAAACCAAUUUAGAUAGUUCGGAUGUGUACAAAACCUAGAACAACAGGGGAGAGGAGUUGAGUCAUGAGUGGCGCUGGUGCCGGAUCCAGAGAAGUCGUCGAAGGUGGGGUUUGACUUUGAGGAACUUGCCGCAGCAUCCCAAGCCCAAGGGAGUCGCUCAUGGCUUCUUGCAUUUGGAGCUGGUAGGCGACGCCGUGGUCCUACUCAACGGUUUCCGCCGCCGCGAGUUCACGGCAUUGAUCGGUGACGGCGAGUAGUGUUGUGCGAUCGCCAUCAACUUCCGUAGUUGUUUUGGCGCCAAGAUUGAACUCUGUGACGUCAGGUAACCGCCGGAUUGUUUGGUAAAAUAAUUGCUACACAAAAGUUCGCCUUUAAUUGAGCCAGGGACUGAAUAAAAGUUCGCCUUUUACUUCAGCUUUUCACAGAUUUACAUCUUUUUUUUUUCUACCCCUUUUGGUUGGUAGUAACUGCUUUACUUCCACUCUUUACGUCUUUAUUAUUAGGCAUGUCAUUCUGGUCGGAAAAUUAUUGGUUUAAAUAGGGUCUAAUUUUAUAAAACUCGAAUCCAAACUCAAGCCAUUACCAUGGGAGCUGCUGAAGAAAACUUUUUCCUCCAUGCAAUAGAAUCGAUCGUGAGCCCUCCUGCUAAUUAUGGACAAAAUCUAGGCUAGUGAAACACCACAGGAGGUCGACCAAAAAAAAGCCGCAACAUCAAAAGAGGCAUUUGUGUGUGUUCCUAAAAAGAUCGAACUCUUUACUCUACUAUAUAUUGAUCUGUGCCAUAGAUAAUGAUCCCUUGAAAUGUACGAGCUAGCAAAUAUCGGAAGUCCAGUAAUAAGUUGUACAUCGGCCAUAAACAUUCUUCUAAACGCAGGUCUACCGCGCCUAAGUUAAUAUAUAAUCCUGUCCUCAUCCCAGAGUGGACAAUUACAAGUGGCUUUGUUUUCCUUCCACUCCGAUCCACAUGUAUAACAAAACUGAUGUCCGCAUCUACACAGACGACACAGAGAAAAGAUCAGAUUAAACAAGUGGGAACCAGCAUCAUCUUAGUGUCAACAUCUUAGUGUCAAAAAAAGAUUAGCAAGAAACAUCAGGAGGCUUGGAAUAAGUACUUACCUCGUUCUUGGUUUCACAGAAGCAAGGAAAUCAAGGACAAUUACUCAACUGUGGCCUUUGAGUUGGAAAGCAGAAAUUGGUGAAAAAGGGGAGCAGAAUAUCUCAGUCUAAGGUUAUAAAUUGGCAGGAUGUAAGGUUUUAUGUGUAGACCACAAGAGAUAAAAAGAUAGAUGUGGAAAUAUGACUGAGCACUAUCAUUAGAUGAGAAACUAAAUAUUAACAGCCAAUGACACAGUCUCUCCAAUCUAAAACUGCCUCUGUGAUUCUCCAUCUUAUUAAAGUACGUUGAGUCAAUCAUUUUGCCAGAAGCAACAAUCUGCUGGAAUAGACUUCGACUGAGAUUGACUAAGUCAUAUGGCACCUGUAGUUAGUAUGAAUUGUUAUUAUAUCUGAUCUGGCCUGCUGUCUGUUAUACUCUACUUGGCCGUGGGGGAUGUCUAUGUAAUGCAAUGACAACAGAGAAGCAGGUCGGUGGCCAGUUAUAGCUUAGAAACAAAAUCUCUUAUCAUUUCAAUUUGAGUUAUUUCCGACACAAACUAUUACCUCGAGAGCAACAUUAGAGGCAAUUACUAAGAAGUAUACAAACAGACAAAAGUACCUGCAAAUUAUGUGGUAGCAACCUACAUCAAGUUCAAUCAUAUGGCUGCACUUGAUGCACUGUUGCCACGAGUUCCUCUUGGCAAGUGAACUUAGCAUUUCAUCCUCUAUACACGAGUAAGGGUGCAGCUCUUUGUAGUCAGAACAGGUCAUCUCAUUGUGCCAAGGCACCUUGCAAUUGAUGCAAAAAGGGCCAUGACACUUGAAGCAUAUCCUACAUCCGUUUUCAGUAUUUUUGUUUCUGCUUUUAGAAUAAUUCAGAACCUCUGUUUUUGACAUCAGAUUUGAGCACCGUGGGUAGGGACAAUAAAUUCUAUCCAGAACUGGAAUCUUAGCUUCCUUCACCCGUUGAUUCAAGACCUCAACUAAUUCAGGGCUUAAUACAUUUAUGCACUUAUCAAUCUUAAUGUCGGAAUGACAACCAUCUUGAGGACAUUUAGGCAAAGUUCCCUCACGCAACUUCACCUCGAUAUGCUUUUUCGCACAAGAGGAACAGCAUCUAUGAGUGCAAUUAUGAACUGAAAGCAUGUUGACCACAUCAGUAUCCUCCAUACAAAUUUCACAAGUUUCUUUCGAAAUUACUUCUGGACAACUCACUUGGGGAGAUUUAGCUUUCCUUGCAAGGUUAUCCGCUCGCCUACCAAACUCAGCAUCAUCUUUCCUGACAAGAGAGGGGCUGCAUUCUUCAAAUUGUGCUCGUAGGGAUUUCACCCUUCCGAUUGUUGGUAUCAUCCGUAACUCCUCUGCAGUCUCCAUAUUCAACCCCUCUUCAGCGUUCUCAUCAUCUAUCAACUGCAGAUGGGGAAAAAUUUGUCAGUUUUUACUUAAAUUACUUGCUUACCAUCUAGUGGAGCGAAAUGUUAAGACUCAUGCAAAUCUGGCAUGAGAAGGAAAUCGAUUUAACCAAAGAAAUAGAGCAAAAGAUUUACGAUAAGGACUGGAGACUUUCCACAAAUACCAACUCAAAAAGUAUUUUUCCCCCCCUCUAUUCUCCUUGAACGGGUUCCACAGCAGUGACCACUCAAAUUCUACUGCAACAAGGUUUCAUAAAUUGCCUUUCACCCGCACAAAGAUUCUUCUGCGUCGCAAAACUCUUCAAUGUAUAUGAAGACGAGUAAUGCUCUACAUGUUUUAUAUAACACCACACCUCUUAUAUGACACCCCACUUGGUAUAAGCGUUCUACUCCAUCAAGAACUUCAAUAACAGCCACUACCCUUCGAUUGGAUCACCAAUUCUCAUUUCAAUUUGAUCUGUAAAGUUCUAAACAUUGCAGGACUUACCCCUAGUAAUAAUUCUCGAGAUAUUUGGUUCAACAAGAAUUGCAAUAAUAUCCCCCCACCCCAACUCGACUGGCCUGGCCUCCUUAUAUUCGGUAACAACAUUAUUGUACGCGUACAAGAUACAAACCCCUUCAAUACGAGAAAUUAUUAGCAUCCUAUAUAUUUCAAGGAAAAGGUACAGGGCUCCCAAAUUUUUGUGGGAUUGUCUGAAAAUUCGGGGCUAAUGUACACUAGUAUGAAACUAAAAAUUUGUUUGCUAUGAUUAAACUAAGAAAACCAAAAGCUUUCAACUUUAUAACCUCCAAAAUUGUCGGAUUACAUACAAACAAAAAGAAAAAGUAAAACAAAAUUGUCAACCUGCACUUUUUACUGGAAAAAAAUGACUCACAUAAUUGUAAAGCUUGCGACUCUUGCAGAAAAACCUCAGCCUCCUAAUCCCAAGUUGUUUAGCACUAGUUAAUCCUUCAAUCAAAGCCUCAAGUCUCGCCUCUAACCGACACGUGUCUCCUCUGCUAUUCAUGGCCUUGCUCGACUCGAAGAUCAUAUGUUUCAUCGAAUCACAGAUUACAACUCCAAUUCCAAUUCCCACCCCACCCAUUUCCGAGUCAUUAGCCUUCUCUUCCCUCACCAAACCCUUGAAAUACACUGAAUAAAUCUCAUUUUCAUCAACCGAGGAAGACGACGAUGACGAGGAGGAGCAGCCCUCGACAUAAGCGUAGUCGACGUUAUUUAGGACUUCAGCGUUCUCCAUGUAACGGAAUUUGGCGCCAGUACAAUGAUUUUGCUUUUUUUUUUUUCCUUUGGUUUCUUGUUUUGUCCUCCCUAACUUCCACUGCUGUUUCUGAGACCUGAUGAAGGAAGAGCUUGCCGGUUGGCGAAGAAAUAUAGCACAGAAGGGGCGUGGAGUGAAUCUUAGUACAAUGAAUGAACUUUAAUAAAGGUAUCAGAAAAACGAAAAAAAAGGAGAACUUUGAUAAAGUGGGUGCUUUUUAGGCUUAAACGUAUUGAAAAAUAUGUGAAGUAAAGUUGCCUUGACUUCCUCAACACGUUAUCUUAUUAAUCUACUCAAAAAAAAAAAAAAAAAAACUCAAGGAUUAUUAUAUUUUUUGUUUGUGUAGGUUACAUGCUACGCAUGUGUCAUGCAUUAAUGGCCUAUUAUGGCUAGGUUAAGCUUUUUCCAAGAACGAUUACUUCAAAGUGAUUCUGAAAUUGCUGCUUGAAAAUAUUAUACAUUUUCAAGAAGCAACUGUUUAGCAGAAAAUGAUGUACUGAAAAAAAAAAAAGAUGAGAAGUAUUUCCAAGACAGGUAUCAUUCCUCUGUGUAGAGGCAGGGGUAUUUUGUUGUACAGCCUAAUUUCUUGGUCAUUCCCAGCGCUUCAACGAUAUAGUUUUGGAGAAGACCCUACAGCUUUUAGUAAAUGAAUUUUAUCAAAAUGGAACGUCGUGACCAGCAAUUAGAAGGUGAUAAAACAAGACCAUUAUGAAACGACAAUAAACCAAACAAAAUUCAACCAUAUGUACAAUAAUUUUGUCAUUUCCUGCGACCAUGCACCUAGAUGGCUAGGUCACGAUACAUUCCUACAGAUGUUCCUCCUCCCCUCACCCCAAAAAAAAGGAUCACAAUUGAUUGUGAUGCUACUCACAAACUCAUUAAAUGAACUCAAAGAGUACGUGGAUGGGUGCGGGUGAAGGUGAUAGUAGCUGAUUGUUCAGUAAUAAUCAUCUGAAUCGGAUUCAUAAUAAUCCUCAUCUUCAGAAUCUUCAUCAAACUCUUCAUCUGAAUCAUAAAUGAUAUGAACAUUAUCCCAAAGUGGACAAGAGCAUGUUGCUUUCUUCUCCUUCCACUCAGCUCCACAAGUGUAACAGAAUUCAUACCCACACCUGAAGAAAACCAUGUAUGUCAAUCAUACUGCUGAAAUCAGGUUAAGAAAAUUUACACCACAUACAAGAACACGUGCCAUCGACAAUUUCAGCUCAGGUUUCCACAGAAAGAAUUUUAGGACAGAAGCAACACAAAUUAUGGACGUUACCAGUCAACUCUAAUGCUUGACAUGGUAGAACCGUUCCAAUAAUCAGGCGGACCACAAAGUAUCCACCGGUCUUGUUUCAUGAUCAUCCUCAGAUAUCCACAAUAAUUAACUUACUCAACAUGAUUAUGACUAUAAUAAUGAAACCAAGUCUUCGAGUGUAACAACAUAUGACUAAGUUAGAAAAUUUAAGUAACUAUAUCGCUACUGCUAAACACCCAAAGAAGUAUAAUCCUUUUUGUUUAAGUGUAUAUUCAAUAUUUUGUUUAUCACUUGGUCAUCAGCUAAGUGGAGCUGGAAGAUAAAUUAGUACCUGCAAGUCAUGUGGUAGCAACCCGCAGCAAGUUCAAUCAUGUGGUUGCAUUUUACACACUGACGCCACAUAUUUCUUUGUGCCAGAGUCUUUAACUUGAGGUCUUCUCCAGGAGGAUUAGGAUAUCUCUUCUUGUAAGCAAAGCAAGUCAUGUUAUUAUGCCAAGGAACUUUACAGUCGAUACAGAAAAGGCCAUUACAUUUUAUACAUUUUCUGGAUCCAGAUCUUCCUACAUCAAUGGCAGAACUUCUAGAAUAUUCUGAAACCUCGCCUUUCGACAUCAAAGCUGAGCAUUUUGGAUAAGGGCAAUACACUUUCUCCGUAACAGGAAUUGAAGCUUCCUUCUUGCGUUGCUUCAUAAUCUCAACUAGCUUAGGGGUCAAAAAUUUGCUGCAACUAUCAACUUUUAGUUCACAAUCACAGCUUUCAUGAGGACAUUUAGGUACCAUCCCGUGAAGCAUCUUGACCUCCACAUGCUGUUUCAUGCAAGAGUAGCAAAAUCGAUGCAUACAACCAUCAACAGAGAAAAUUUCGUCAAUACUCAUUUCCUCAAAACAUAUGACACACGUCUCAUAUAAACUCCCCUCAGCACUAGUGUCUGUAGACCUAUUAACCUGAGAAACUAUUGCUUCUCUUGCAAGCUUAAACGCAAACUUUACAUCAUUUCGAGCCACUAAAGAUGGGAUGCAGUAAGUAAAUUUUUCUCGGAGCUGAGUCACUUGAUCAACUAAUGCCUCAAUUUUCCGCUGCUUUGGAUUCCAUCGACCAGUAACCUGCAUCCCAAAGAAAGUAUCAGAACUGCCAAUCUUGAGUUGUCUAUCAAGCUGAUUGCUGGUUGAACACAAUAGAAACCAGCUAGGAAAAUAAUAAGAACCUAAUAAUUUUUCUACAAUUUGGCUUCACAAAGCUCCAACACUUGCAUAAACAUUUGAUCAAAAUAAAGCACGAAGAUAACCUCAAGAGUUAGGUCAAAAUAAGCAUUUUGCAGAGUCACCUAAAAACACGAUGGUACAGAUAUGGCAUGCCCAUAUUGCUUCGCUAACACAAACUUCCAUGGUCAGGCCAACCAUAUUCAAACCUCAAAAUACCAAUGCAUGCCUGCUCAUUCUCACAAGCUAAUAACCUCCAGCAAAAGUUUCUGGAGCUAAACGUUUUUUGUCCUUAAGUUUAAAUUUCCCUUCUUCCUGCAAGUAAUAUAGCCACACCCAGAUGACUCAAAAACAUUUGACCAUCUAACCUACUUCAAUAUCCACUAUCAGCCAUCACUCCCCUUCCUGCUAUUGUCCUGUUUCCCACACGAGACCAGGACCAUCAAAUAACUCAUAUGCCUUACCUGCAAAAUCACCUUGCUCUCGCCCUCCCGUCCUUUCAUCGCCACUAGACAAAUUUAUGCUCGUGGCUUAAAGAAGAAAAGACACAGCUUUUCUCUAUUGGGUUGAAAAUAGUUGGUGUGGAUAACAAAUUCGUAUCUAACCGAACUGAGCCUUAGUUACAGAGCAAUUAGAAAUCAUCCAAAUGAGGUACUGAUCACUGCACUACUAAAAAAUGUGGCUAUGCAACUAUCAAAAUCAAAUACACAUUCAAAACACAAAUAAAAAAGAUGCACAAAUACGAACUAAGAACUUACAAAUUGAUAUAUCGGAAAAUAGUCGCAAUAAAAGACAAUCCUUGGCAAUUCCAACGUCAGUGCAGCAUUCAGUCCUUCAAUCAACGCCAUAAACUCAGCAAUCCGCCGAUUGAUUCCAUUCGCACACAACGGUUUUCUCACUUCAAACAACAAUUCGUCUCUCGAAUCACAAAUUGCCACUCCAAUCCCACUGAAAACCCCACUCUUAUAGCGACCAACAUUAUCCUUCACCUUAACCGUAACUUCACUCUCCACCAAACCCUUAAAGUAAACCCUUAAAAUCUCGCUUCCCACACUCUUCGAACUUCCUUCUCCAAAAGGUCGCUCGAAAUUACCCCCAAUUUCCUCCCACUCAUCCUCCGGCAUGUUAUCAAUCUCCUCGGCCAAUUUCUGAUCGUGAAUCCGACGGUGGAGAUCGUCUCUUAUUUUCUUAAACUCAGCUUCGGAGAGUAACCGGUCUUUUAUUUCUUGCUCGAAUUUUAAGAGCUCGAUCGAUUGGAGGUCAGGGACAUUAUCUUUUGAACCGUCCGGUUUAGCCAAAUCUCGCGCGGGAGAUCGUGGCGACGCGGCUGAGGUGGAGGGCACGAAGGAGAUGGAGGCGUUGAUUGCUUCCUGGAGUUGGAGACGGAAGGCGAGGUCCAUGUCGGAUUCUAGGUCUUUCGCCGCCGCGAUUUCGCGGCGUUGCUCGGUGGCCAUAGCUCGGAGGUUGUCAUCGGGACUGUCCAGGUUUAUUCGUGACGACAUCGUUCGCGCGGUGGGCAAAAAUCGGAUUGUUGGGUUGUCUUAUUUAAUGGGAUUUCUGAAGGUUGACGUGGGCUUCAAUCGACUUUGACCGAAGUGUAAUGGUGGGCUCCUCAAAAACUGAAAGAUGUUUGACAUAUAUCAAAGUGUAUAAAAGAAAUUUGAUUUUUCUCGCAUAAAAUAGAAAAUUUAAAUUGAAAAAUUUUGGGAUGAAUUACUCCAAAAUAUUAAUUGAAAGUUGGUUCAUAUAUAAGCUUGCAAGUUUAUUCAUGCACAAGUUACUUGGUUUACUUCAACAUCGUGCUAGUUGAUAAAAAAUAAUGCCAAAAUAAUCCAAAUCCUAAUUGCAAAGGAAAAUCGUUUAAAACAUUCUUUAUAUUUUAUAAAAUGGCUUUUUUCGUCCCUCAUAUUUAAAAAUAUAAUUUCACAUUUCUUACAAAUUCACAUCAGUCAAAUUUGGUUUAUACCUAGGUUUGCGAUUAAUUUUUUGUCGAAAUCUACCAUGUGCCUUCCAUGUGAUCACGUUUUAGGAGUAAAAUUGUCAAAUCAAAUUUUGCAUAAUCUGAUCCAUAGUCCCUCAUAUUUCACAAAAUGAAUUGUGUUGUCCCUCAUAUUUCAUAAAAUGAAUUUUUCAUCCGUCAUUGAUCAUGUAUACGAAUAAUUCUUUAUUUUUAAACCGAUUUAUAUAUAUUUAUUUGAUUUCAUUUGAACAGUACGAAUAUCAUGUAAUAUAUAUCUAUUUGAUUUCAACUAAACAGGCUAAUUGUAGUUUACAUAUGCUAUUUAAUAGAUAUAUACAUGGGUUUAAAACUAACAAUUUUGUUUUAAACCCAUGUAUAUAUCUAUUUGAUUUCACUAUAUGAAUUUAUUCAAUAUUUGUGGCCUUUUCUCAUUUGAUAAUAAUUUAUUUAUUAAGUUGUAUAAUAAAACCAUCUAAUUAAAUGGGUCAUAACUUGAAUUCUAUAGUCAUGCUAACAAAUUCGUAGUUUUUAUUUGAAAUUUCUAUUCGAUACAUUUAAGACCAACAGUUGAAUUACUUGUAUUUUAAUUGUUUUAAAAUUUGAAAGUACCAGUCAUUUAUUUCUUUUUUGUCAUUCUUUUCAUUUGUUUAUUUUUUCUGUCCAAAUUUAAUUCGAUAUAAACAUUUGAUAAUGUUUAUGAUUAAAUGUCUUCUUUGCUUUCAAUUUUCAAGUAAAAGGAAAUAAACAUGAGUGAAAAACUAAUUUUUUUUAAAUCCACGUAUAUAUCUGUUUGAUUUUACCUGAACAGUACUUUUAGGUGAAAUUAAAUAGAAAUAUAUUAUUAAACAGUAUGAAUAGCAUAUAAUAUAUUUUUAUUUAAUUUCACAUAAAAGUACUGUUCAGGUGAAAUCAAACAGAUAUACAUGAAUUUUUUUUUUAAAAAAAACUAUUUGUACACAUGAUCAAUGAGGGAUGAAAAAAAUCAUUUUAUAAAAGAUGAGGGACCAAAAAAUUCAUUUUGUGAAAUAUAAAGGACUAUGAAUCAUAUUAUGUAAAAUUUGAUUUGAUAAUUUUACCCUUUAAAAAUAAUCAAGUGCAUGAGAUAUGGUGGAUUCUGGCAAAAAACUAAUCGAAAACCUAGGUAGGGAUCAAAUUUAAUUGAUGUGAAUUUGUAAGGAAUAUAAAAUUAUAAUUUUAAAAGUAAAAGAUGAAAAAAAUUAUUACGUUUUAAACGAUUUUCCCUUAGACACGAGAGAUUUUUCAAUCUUUAGAAAUCAAUAAUUGAGACUGGCCCGUUAACUUUUAUAGCUUAGGCCAUUGUUGUUGGCUGAUCACAGGACCUGUAAAUCAACUCGCCGAGCCGAGGUACAAUAGAAAUGUCCUGCAAAUCAACGGUAGCCUAGCCACAAAUAAUGUAAAAACGAUUGGGUUGGACAAGACAAAUCUAAUGUAACAUGGAUCGAAUAAAAGCUAAAAGAUAAAUGGCCCACAAACCUUGUUCCUUUCCCAAAAAUUUAUAGCCCAAGUCUUUUUUUGUUUUUUGGGGACGAUAUUCUUUGCCUAAGUUAAUCGUCCAAGAUAAGAAAAGGAUUUCAUGUCACUUGGUCCUAGUCUUGUUGAAAAUUGUUUAGGGUGACUUCCAGUUAAAAAUAUGUAUAUAUAUAUUUGUUUGGAGUGCAAGCUUGGAAAUAACGGACCAAGUAACAAACAACCGAGAUUGAGAUCCUUGAAAGUGUUGCUUAAUGUCUCUAAAACUGGUAGCCCACAGAGCGUGGAGAUUUGCAUAGUCGAAGAUGAGAAAAGGUAAAGAUAGGUACUAUGAGAUUUUAAGUCGUAGCCCAACAUCUGCUCGCUUGAAAGCAAGAGUGAGAUCCUAAAAUUGAUGGGCUUAGAAAUAAAAGAUAAUGUGCAUCUGUCCACAGGCCCAAAAGAUUAUAAAAAGCUCUCUUUGACUUUCUCACUUUGGUGGGCUUGCGAGGUAUUAACUAGGGCUGUAAUCGAGUCGAGUCGAGCUCGAGUAUCACGAUACUCAAGCUCGACUCGACAUACAGAUAGGGGUGCUCGAGCUCGAGCGAGUAGUAUUAUUGAAGCUCGAGCUCGAGCUCGAAACUUGCUCGCAAUACUCGAGCUCGACUCGUAUGGACUCGAGUCCAUUUGAGUCUUAUCGAGCUCGAGUUAUUAAAUUUCAUUUUUUUGAUAAUUUUUGAGCGAAAAGACAUUAUUACCCUUUUAAAAUUUUUAUAUGACUUGAAACAUUUCGUAAAUUCGACAAUUCUUUUGGGUAUAAGGGUAAUUUUAUAAUAAUAAUAUAUUAAAUAUUAAAUAUUAAAAUAUUAAAUAAUAAAAAUUAAAAAUAUUAAAUAAUUAAAAUUAAAAUACUCGAUAAGGCUCGUCGAGCCUUCGAGCAUCACUUCUGGAUGCUCGAACUCGACUCGAUAACCUUAUUGAGCUGCUCGAAACUCGACUCGAACUCGGUUUGACCGAGUUCGAAUUAAGCUCUUGACCGAGCUCGUGAGCAGCUCGGUUCGAUUACAUUCCUAGUAUUAACGUGCCAUUUAAAAAAAAAAAAAAAUUCCACAAAAUUUGAACCUAAAACCCCCUGUUUUGCUGCACGACAAAACCUCCCUGAGCUAAGUAGCUAACGCGCCUUUAGGUGCAUAUCAUUGCAAUUCUGACUCAGAAAAUAGAAGUUCCUCCCACCCCCCAACCCCCCUUCCCUCAAAGAAAACUGCAAAGUCCAAACUGUACAAAGACGAAAGGGAAAGGGGAGGAAUUCAAAAGGAAAAUAUUUUUGAUAUAGAAAUAAAGUGCCAAAGAAUGAAACAGCUUGAAUGGACUGACUCUGCCAGAAUACUACUGUUUAGUUCAUCUUUUUCUCCAUUGUGAGCAACGUGAUUAGCCCCUUUGUGGUCAUAGAGUAACUUCAUAUUUGUUUCCAUCACUUUCCAACAAUUCAAUUUUGGAGAAACUCUUCAGAUACCUACAACAAAAACAGCUUACGUCUUAAUUAAGCAACACUCAGAAAAUCUUCUUUUUUUUUUUCUCUUUUUUAAGAAAUUUUUUUUUCUCUAGAUGGUCUGCUCAGUAUAAAAAUUGUGUCCGAGUUCUAUGUAUUAGCGUAGAUCAUGGAUCAACUGACAACCAUAAUAAAACUGAUCGAUCAGUCUGGAGCUUGCAUUCCUCAAAGACAAUUCUAGAUUGAAAUUAUGAGUAUGGGACAAACGUUAUUAUGGACAAAGAAAUUAAUUGCAUUAAUCUUUAAUAUAGGUGCUUCCAGAUGUGGUAGGCUGCUGCAAAGGGAAAGAAUGGAAUGAACUUGGUGGUAAAUAAUCAAAGUGGAGAAAGAAAUUCUUUGAAAGAGAAAGAUCAUUGAAGAGAUUGCUGGACAGGGAAUCAGCUGAAAUCCAAAAAAAUACACAUCAAUAUUUGUUUUUUUGGAAAAAAGGAGAACUACGAGACCAAAUACAAGCCAACUUUCUGAACGUUCAAUUCACAUGGAGAUCAGGGUUUGAAUAAUAUAAAAGAAAAGAAAUACUACUACUCAGAAGACAAAGUAACGUGCGUCCUGUGUCUCAUAUUCCACUAAAGAAAGAUCCCUGCAACAUCGACUCUAUAUCCUUUUCCAAUUGAGCACAAGGGUUCCUCUUCUAAUUAAGCAAAAAAAAGAUCUCCCCACGGAAAGAAAAAAAGCAAUAUUUGAUAAUUACCAGAGAUGAUGGAAUUGGUUUUUAUGGUAGAUAACAGACGCACCCCGGAUCCAACGUCUAAGAAAACAAAAAAGUUAAGUGGGAAACACAAGACUCAAAAUCAUACUACAGAUGAUCUUCUUGUUCUGAACCGUUUGGUGGCUGCCCUUCCAUGUACAUUUUACACCUUCUUGAUUGCAAUUUCUGCCCUAUGCAAAAACAAAUGAGAGACACUUCACCGCGUAUUUCAUUGAUGAUCAGCGGAUCCGUAUCUAUAGUCACACAAAAAGAUCAUGCAACGCGUUUAUGCAAUCAAUCACUUCUCUGCAGCAACUUUUGAGAUUGCCCUUAAAAAAUGGAGGCCUCAUAUCCCUGAACUCGUGCACAGCCAAGAUCGCGUCGAAGUUGAGCUGCUUUAAUUAAUCUUCCCAAGCUAGACACUCAAAACGGUACCAAUUUCUCAUUCUGCUGGCUGUUGCCAAAACUUUUAGUCUAAUGAUCACUGGCCAUACAUACAGAGUCAAGAUUUUCAUGGACACGCAGUUCAACAAUCUCGUUAUUUUUAUAUACGGUUCGGUUGAUGGAUGCCUAUUGGGGAUUGAGGUGUUAGCGUACGUAUUUUAGAAAAAAUAUAGUUAAUUUGAAAAGUAUCUAAAUGCAAAGGGUGCAUUAGUUAUGACUCUGUGUGUGUGUGUGUGUUAACAGCAUAGGUUAGAUGUGAUUUAUGUAUGUAAACAGAUGCUCAUACCUCAUUAAAAAUUGACACCCAUAAAGCAUUAUUUGUUUCGCAACAUUUUGUUACCCUAAGUAGAUUGAACUUUGAUUUAUUUUUUUUAGGGUCUGUCCAAUGAGCACCCCUUAAUAUAUACAUAUUUCAAGUGUUAGACUUUUAGAAAGGUAAGAUUAAUUAGAAAAAGCGUAUAAAUGCAAGAUAUGGUAAUAAUUAUAAGUAUGUGUCUAUAGAUGAUAGAUCAGGUGAAAUUUAUGUGUAUUAUUAACGUAUAUGAUAGAAAAACUCUGUUUUUUUUUUUUCUAAUUUUUGGUUACGACAAAAUGUGACGGAAAAAAAAUAUGAUACGGGAAAGGGAAAGAAAGAAAGGAAUGUCGGCUUCAUUCCGCAAUGUGGGGUGCAAUGAGAAUAGAGUUACGCAGGAAGGAGCAGAUGAUCAAAGACUACUGCGCAACAACAUGCAGCGAUCGUCGAUCAUGUUCAUACGCACAGAACAAUUAUAUAAAUCCAAAAGGUGUUUCCACCGUCUAUAUAUGUUGCAAUCAAAAGGACGAGGAGAAAUGGUGACUAGAGCAUGGAAGAUCAAAAAGAUUAGAUUUGGACCCACAAUUUAUUGUCAAUUAGGAAACUUUCUUGAGAAUUAAGCAUUAUGAAUAGAAAACAAAAAUGCCUUCAUUCCCAGCACUUCAAUUAUUGUGCGUUAUUUGUUCGGGGAGAGUUCCCAUUCAGAUUUUUUCUUCUUUGCGUUUUCCUUUUUUUUGUUUUUGUCAAUUUAUCUUUUCGGUUGCGCACGAGUUGCACAAAGUACAAAAGGGCAAGCGAUAAAUCAUAAAAUAAACUAUGGGAUCCAUUAGUGUCUCUUAUGGUAAAGCAUCUUUCUUUCCACAUCUGAAUAGGACCCAAAAUUGGGAAAAUAAUGACCAUAAAGAAAAAUUAAUGCUACUAUAUACACAAACUAGAAUUCCACGCGUGCAACAAAUCAUAAGCGUUGGACCAGAUGAUGGGUAUUGUAACCAAGUCGAUAUUCAACAACGCUGGGGGAAAAUUGCAGAUUGGAUGGUCUACAAAUAAGAAUUAAAGAACCCUAAAGGAAAUGGUUACAAAUAUAUGAUUUUUUUUUUAAUGAAAAGUAGAAAAAGCUAACGUGCAUAAAAAAGUACCAAUCCCCAAUUCUUCGAUUUCCCUGAUCUAAUUUCCCCAAAUCUCUAAUUAAAUCCAUUAAUUAUUAAACUUCAAUCCAGCACUAGCAAUGCAUAGAUUAUGAUGUUACAAUUGCAAAAAUAAAGAAGCCCUCAUUUAUAAAGUUUAUGAAGUAAAAUCUCUAAUUAGAGAUUUGGAAAAAUUGAGAGACAGAUAUCUAAAUUAAGAAUUGGAUAUUGGGGCUUGUGAAGCUUUUUAUUUACUCCAUAUUCCCUUUGGUUUUAAGGGUGCACAUGUGGUGCAUGUGACCAGCCCCUUUAGGGUUCUUCAAUUUUCCACUAGAAUUCACAUAUUGGCUGUAUUUUAUGCAUGCGUGAGAUUAAAUUGACAAGUGGUGACACACACACAUAUAUAUAUAUAUAUGAGAUCAAAUUGGCCACGACUCCAAGAAUAAAUAAAUGACUAAAAACAGUUGUUUUUAACGUUGGACAUGUUGCUGUACAGAUGAUCGACGUCCCCAAAAGACUUUCUCUAGUUUUUUUUUUUUAAAAAAAAUCCUACAUUAACUUUAUUUUGUAGACAUGAGGGACUAAACCGAUAAGCAAUGACAUAUAAAUGAUCGACUUGUUCGGAAUCCCAAAGAUAAUAGACUAAAAUGUCUGUUUUUAAAUCUCCAAAGCAUCAAGACGUACAUUAGAUUAAAUACCAAAAGAGCAAUUAUUUCCAAGAAUCUCCGGGUAAAUUUAUAGUACGUAGGUAGGAUAAUACGAAGUGGGCAUUGGCGUUGAACUAAGGCCUAGUGAGUCACAUGUUGUGCAUCAAGCAGGCUUUGAAAAUCUUAUGCCACUCCUGCGUAUAUGUUUGAUAAGUGUACUAAUCCAAGACAAUGACGACACCCAAGACCAACCUGCUUACGUGCAUUAGAUCUGAAACUCUGCCAAAUUGGUACUUGCAAGCUAUCGUUCGUUCGUUCGUUCAUGCUAAUGCUGAUUGCGAACAAGACUUCCUCUCUACCUACAGGGACAGCAACAGCAAAGUCUUCACUAAUACUAGCUGGUUUGUGGAUGUGAAUCACAUGCAGAUGAAAAUAUUGAUUGGAAAUAGAAAGAAUGACCACCGACAACUAAGCAAACUUGUUUUUAGCGUCUUCUUGUUGGAAGAAUAACAGACUAGUGAUCGAUCUUCUUCAGAAGAUGUCAAAAUGUUCGUAUUGGCAUGCAGAACAAGUUGACACUAAGAAGAUUGCUAAAGUUUGAAUGAUACAGGGCGUUGGAAAACUAGCUAAGAAUAUUAAUUAAGACCCUUAUCUGGUUUGUUGGAAUUUGGAGAGAAAAUUAGAUAAGGGAGAGAUCCUCAUAGAUGAUAAGGUAAAAUCAUCUUUUACGUACGUGAUUUACGUUUACUAUCGAAGAAAUAGAUUAUUAUGCCAAAAAAAAUAAAAAAAAAAGAAUGCAAGCAAGAAAAUUUUGAAUCUAAAUUAUUAAUAAUAAUUUGGUGGACCAAACUUUUUAGAAAAAUAUGCUCGUGUUUUCAUGGAUUUGCUAGCGUGCGUUGAACGUAGCCGUAUAGCAUACGCCCAUGUAUGAUUUCUAGAAGUAAUGAACGUAUAAUAUAGGAUGGAUGGAUGGUUUUGAAAUAUUUGCCCCCCAUAAAUCAAUCAACAGAAGUAGGUGAUCUAGACAUCCCAUCCACAAGAAACAAUCUUCUAAUACGACAUAGAAUUCAGUUAAAGAGUCCAACCAAGAAAUGGCGCAAACCAGACAUGUCAUGUACGUACCAGAAACUAAUCUAUUCUUCGGGGUCCAUUUUGAUCAUAUAAUCACAAGAAAAAUUUUCCCUCUCCCUCUAAUCACUAUGACCGAUUCAUACAAGAAAGAGAGGCUUCGUUUCUGUCUAUCAUUUCGAUUUUCAAAUCAGAAACAAUGCCGAACGUGGACUGGACGACUCGGGCCGCCGUAAAGGUACUAAGAAUUUUGGAGUACCUUCAGCUAAAAUCAUGAAUCUCCAUACACAUUUGACUUUCACUUGCUCAAAAUUACCGGAUAGUGUCCAAAGAAACUAUUCAACAAUGCAUUUAUGUUAUGGUACUUUUAAUGGAUUUAGCAUAUAUACUAGGUGAAGUUUCACAUUCCCCAAAAAGAAUUUUUUUUUUCUCUUUUCUGAUAGUACAUCCAUGCACAAUCAAGUGCUAGUAUUAUUUUUUUUGGGGGGGGGGGGGGAAUCAAGAUAUGCUCGUGUAGAAAAAAUUAAUAAUAGUGAGGCGGACAAUGUUGAUGGAUAAUCUGUAUAAUUAUCCUAUAAUGACUUAUGGUGAUGGGGCAGAUCCUGAUCAAUUUGGUUGUGACCCGAGCAGAAAUCACCCAAUUUUUUUUGUUAUAAAAAGAAAAUUUAUAUCCAAGGAUCAUCUAGGAAUUUUAACACCAUGCAAAACUAAUGCCUAGUUUGGGCGUUUUGGGAGAGAAAAAGAAGGAUGCGAUUUUACUUUGCUUGGAAGUGAAGAGAAGUAGAAGGAAAGGAUUUUAUUUUACAUUAGUAUCCUUGAAUUUAGAACUCAAAAUUGGUGUAUAUUAAAAAAGUUCCCUUUCUUUUUCGUCACUUUUCGCCCAUAAUUGAACAGAAGAUUUAUUAUUAUUAUUAUUAUUUUUUGACUUGUGAAGGGACGUCAGAUCCCUCCCUUUCCUGAUUCCUCCCCUUUCUUUUGUCACUAACAAAACUCCCAAAUGAAACAAUGCACCCACUUUCCUUCUAACUCUUUCGUUUUCUCUCCAAAUCAGCUCUCCCAAACUGUUGGAUUUUUUUUUUAAAAAAAAAGGAAAAAAAAGUGAUUGGACCUUCAUUACGGUUGACUUGGCAUCCAUAUGUGCACCCACGAUUGGCUCUUCCAACUAAACAGCUACCAUACAAGUCAAAAGACAAAUGUUUUGCUCCGUCUCGCAGUGUAGAAAAUAAAUCGCAUGUUGGGUGAGACUUAGGAUGGUACGGCCCACACAAGAUGGAAAUGGGCAAAUACUACUACUCUUUUUUUGUUGGGGACCUCAUCGAAUCAAUUGCCGACAAGUAUUCCUACUACUUGAGAGAUAUAUAUUUACGUGGGGAUCACAUGACGUUUUCCCCGUCUGUAAUUUGGGAAGAUUAACAUAAUUUUGUUGGCUGGUAAUUACGCGUUUUGAGAGGAAACAUGAGCAAUAAUUAUUCUCAGAAAAAGCCCUCAGCAGAGGCACGUGCCGUCUCGAUUGCAGCAAGUUUUUUGGAGUAGCACAGCACUACUGUUGUUGUUGUUACCUUGGACAUGCUUCUGUCUUGUCUCUCUCUCUUCUUAAUCACAUUUAUUGUCUAACAACAUAAUGCUUCCGAAAUCUCAUCUGCUUGACCCAACAGAAAAGUUGGGGACGUAUUCUUUUCUUGAGAAACAAUUAUCAUCAGGGCAAUUUGGCUUUACCGUAUGAAUUAUAAAGCCAAAGUCAUAAAAGAAUAAUAAUAAUAAAAGCUCCACUACGUGGGAAUAACGAUUCGGCUAAAUAACUGAAUUAAAGAUCAGAUUAAUCAAAUUGUCUUUAAAGAACUCAGGUUUGUUUGGAUUGUAAGUUAUUUGAGAUAUUUUUACUGUAGCACUUUUUAUGAUGUGAUGUAUGUGAGAUAAAAAGGUAAUUGGAAAGGUAAAAAGGUGUAUUGAAAAUUGUAAUGAUGAUGUAAGCAAAUAUAUUUGGGGAAAUAAAGGCCAAUCCAAACAAACCCAUUAUCAGCAUGAUGUCAUAAUUAUUUUGGGGAGAUUCUACCGUGUCCAAUUGGUAAACUCACGUUAAUAUUCAUUGUUAUAUUAUGAAACACAAGUUUAUGAGCCUUAGAAUCGAGGGAGUAGUUCACUAAAAGGGCUAUAGGAUUUAUAGUUCACUAAAAGGGAUUUAGUUUAAUUAAUUCACCAAAAGUCAUUACCGGAGCCCGUAAGAUUGACCAAUUGGUAACAAUCUCCCCAUUCUUUGGCUCAGAAGUCAGCGCGUACUUGGUCAAUUAGAACAAUAAAUAAAUAUUAUUAGUUCAAAGAAACACAAAUAAUUGUGUGCAGUGCAGUUGAUAAUAACCAAAAAAAAAAAGAAAAGGAAAAAAGUUACAGUACGACGGACCAUGAGAAGUUCUAUUUGCAAUUUAAUUAAUGCUUUUGUAUAAUACUGCUUGAUCUCCCAUGUAAAACGAUGCAACAAGAAGUCCAUAACGCACAUGACGCAUCAUUGUCUCGUAGAAUUCCUCCCUUGGAAAAAUUCAAGAGAAGGUGACAUAGAAGAAAACGUCUAUCUAAUACAACGUCGGCUGUCGGAAAAUCUAUCAAUUACCACCAUCAGCUCUUCUGUUAAGAUAAAGCUUACCGCGUUAAUUAACGACAAAGACUCCAUCGGAAAUUCUUGGAAGCGCAUGCAGACACAUAGUUUAAGCUGAUCAAUAGCAGCAAGUAGUCAAAGCCUUGUUUGAAAGGGAAUAUAUACGGAGUUGAUUGAUGCCAUGAUGGUAGUGUAAAUAUUAGGUGACCAUAAAGUAGUUGGAUUGGAUUGGAAUGGACAUUAUUAAUUAAUGGGAAAACGACAUAUCUCUAUAUCCCAUGGUGAUCACCACACAUCUUAGUAUUAUUAUGCAACAUGCAUUCAUGACGAUUAUUAUAACAUGCAUCAUGACGGCGACCAUGGCUGAAGAAGACCCGUCAACUAAAUUUGCUCAAUUCGUCAUAAUCAAUACAACCUAACUAAUCAAAUCGGCUUUUAGCCUUUGAUUUUAGUUCAUACGAGCUAUAGCUAGUAUAUAGGUAUAUCUUACAUGUCUCUUUUUUUUUUUUUUUUUGUUUUCUGCUGCAAUUGAGCUAUGUUUUGAAACUCGGACCGGACAAUGACUCGGUCGAGGUCAGGUCGAACCCAUCUAAGAACCGGGUGACGUCAUCAUGAUGUCAUAAAUAUGUUUAAUUUUAAAAAUUAAUAUGCUAUGUAAAAUUUCUAAAAAUGUAAUAAUCUUGAGAAAGGUAUGUUCAUGUAUAUUUGGUGGUUCUAAGAUAUUUUACAAGAAAAUACAAAUAAAGUAAUAUAGUCAAGUAGCAAUCUAUAACAUUUAAUCAUAUUCAACAAGUUUAGAAGUUAGAACUAAAUUAGAGGGCUUAUUUGAAAAAUAAUACUAGAAUUUAGGGCAGAAGCUACAAAUUAUAAAGAUUUUUAGGCAUGUUUACAGUUUUCUAUCACUCUAGGGGUCAAACCAUAAAAUUGACAAAACUUUGAAACCCCAAAGCUGAUUUCCCUAGAUCUUUCCGUUCUUUUUUCUCUCAAAGUCUCGUAGGCCGUCAUCGUCCUCUCCAUCCCAUCCUUUCUUCUCCAGAGUCCAGACGCAUUCCUCCUUCUGUUUCUUUUUUUUUUUUUUUUUUCUUUUGUCCCUUUUUCACUUCUAUAUCUUUGCAUUUCUUUUCUAUUUACCACAUGAAAAUCAUCAACACUAUUUUUUUUGUUGGGCGAGAAUCAUCAACUCACAUUAAGUUUCUUCUGUCAAAUGCUGAAGCUGGGUCUGCCAAAGGAAAACGUGGCUCAACUAUAAAUGAUUUCUAGACACAGUCUGGAAAAUCAUCAAUUUCUCUUCUUUUUUUUUCUCAGUUCUCUUAAUUUUAACUUUAGAUCUUUCAAUAUUUGUGUUAGAAUAGCCAUACGUGACUAUACCACUGCUGUUGCCGUCGAAUCUGCACUCAAGGAUCGAUAUUCAUGCUGAAAAUUUUGGGAGAAACAUAGCAGAAAUUGGAUGUUAGAAAAAAAUAUCUGGUAAGAAUAGCAGAAAUUGGAUGCUCAAAAAGAACCGGGUUUUCCCGGUUGUUCCAAGUUUCCGGUCAAACCCGGAUUUUGACCGGUUUUGACCGAGUCUUUGUCACCCGAGUUUUUGAACAAACUCGGACCGGACAUGUCUCCGGUUCCCGGUUCAACCGGUCGAACCGCCCGGUCCGGUCCGAGUUUAAAAACAUGGCAAUUGAGAUACAGCAUAGUUUUAUUGGUACAAUUUGAAUGUCUCACGCUCCUCGUCGCCGGUAAUGGCAUAAUUAACCUAGAGAGUUAGGAAAAUUGAUUAAAAAUCAAAUCGGGAAUCCUUCGGUUGGAACUUGGAAUUAAAAGCCAUCAAGUCCAGAGAGCCGGAUGAUCCCACGGGUGGCUUUCAUCCAAGAGAUUGAGAUUAGCCUGGAAAGCUGCGAGUUGGCUGCUAGAAUUGAUGAAGUUGUUGUCAAAGCUCUGUUGCUGAGGUGACGAAGCCUGCGGAGAUUGUGCCAUUUCCAUGCAAAUGAGAGCCAUGAGGUUGGCUUGUUGGCAUUGCAUGUUGACCAGCUCAGCCUGUGUCUUGGCCAAUUGUGCUUGGAGAUCGUUCACUUGCUUCUGCAGCUGGCAAAUGGCCCCCGCACUUCCAUAUACAGGAUCUCUCAGCCUGGCGUUUGCUUCAUAAACCAUGCUGCUCACUGCAUCGGCCCUCUGGGACUCCGGCAGCUCCUGAAAAUUGUUAAUUAUAUAGACUUGAUCAAUCAAUAUUCAUGAUUGGUGCUCGCUCUUCAUUAAUCAAUUAUGCACAGAACUAAUGAAUUGAGAAAGGUCAUGAGGCAGGUUGGUUUUCCUUGUCGUCAAACGCUUUGAAAGUGCUUCAAAAGUACAAACUCGUUACGCGAGUUUCUUCUUCCAGUUCCAGCUGAAAAGAGAUUUUCUUUUUCUCACUGAGCUGUACAGCCGUAAACCAUCACCUCCCGAACAGUUGAAUGCCCAGUGGCUGAUGUUCAAAAAAAAUGUUCUUUUUGCACCAAUGUGAGAAAGAAAAAGAGAAAAAGUUGUGGGGUGCAGGGCCAGGGUUAGUUGUGGAAACCGACGGGCAAGUCAAAAGUGGGAGUUGGGACUUUUAAUUAAAAGUCCACUAUGUGAACUACCCUUCAUGUAGUUUUUCAAUUUACAGUUUGAAAAAAACAGCUCAGCGCCAUGCAUCUAAUUAGGCAUUCCCUACCAUGAUGACGCUAAUACGUGCAAAUGUCUUCCUUGCGUACACACUAUUCUAGAUACAGGAGCUACUUCUGGAUGUAGUAGUGUCCCUAAUUUCAACAACGGACCGAGAUUAAUGUUGUCGGUCCAUUCUGGUUGUUGAACCUUUAACAUAAGACCUCAAACAUAUCUAGAAAGAUGAUUUUCCAAGCACAAUUAACGUAGAAAUAUCGGGACCAUGCUUAUUCAGUGCCGGAUGACCCUUAAUUACCUACCUGUAAAAACUUGAUUAUGUUGCUGGCUCCGAAGACACGGUGAGCGGUGGUGAACUUGAUGGGAUCGUUGGGAGGAAAAUAUGGUGCCAGGACACACUUCUCGGCACACCUCCGCCGGAGGAUCUUGCAUGCAGCGCAGGGGCUGACCACCACGGCCGGAGGAGGAGGCGUGGGAGGAGAGGAGGGAGAAGAAGGAGAAACCGAGCGAGAAGAUUUUGAAGUAAUAGUUGUAGCGGUUGUUGUGUCACUAUACCCCAUUUUUUUCCGACGGUGCGGAGCAGCAGUAUCAGUGUGUGAGGUGUGUGUUUGUAAGAAGGAAGAGAGUGAGGAAGUGGGAAGGGAUUCGGGGGUGCCUUCAGCAAGUUGGAUGACAUGGAAAUAUUUAUAGAGCUGGUUAGGCCCGACCCGAGAAAGGGGGAGCGGGGCCAUGAUGUAAUACCUUGAAUAUCUGAUGUCAAGUGGUUAAAAAAAUUUGGGGAAAUCAUGCGGGAUACGGCUGUUGCCCGUUUUCGCCUAGUCAGCUAUGUUUGGCGUACUUUUUUGGCUUCGUUACGUGGGAACUUUGAACCCUUUAUCCAAGUCGAAAACCUGGCUGGGUUCAGGAGAUUUAGACGGAACAUGUAGCCUUCUUAACAUUAAUUAACAAACGAUCGCAAAUUAUAUUGGAGUGGAAAUGUUUUGAUAAAUUGUCCAACCCGCAAAAGAGGAAAUUAUGGGAUGCAACUCUAAUAUUGUUUUUACAAAUGCAUGUGCAUAAGAACAUGAUUGAUUGAUUAUGGUACAGCAUAAGAGUGGAUAAGGAAUUACAAAACACUCAUUUACAAAUGCAUAAUCACAAAACACUUUAACCCAUUUAUAAGAAAACAAAGAAUUUUAUAAAAGAAAAUUCCUAAUCAGCAAUAAACCAGUUUACUCCUUUUCUACUCUAUGGUAUUCACCAAUUUGCUAGUAUUUAUUUCCUCUUCCGAUCCUCCUUGGACCGAUUGCAAGCCUAACUAAUUUUCCAACAAAAUUUCCCCUUCGUCACUGUCAAAAUAUCUUCCCCUUUCUUUCUUCUCAUGAAAAAAUGUGUAGAGAUUGGUAAAUAAUCAAUUUUUCUAUGCCAAAAAGAUAAAACUCAUGUCAAGCACUUAAACCAUAUUAAUUUGAUAUAGACAGCAUGAAUUACACAAAUAAAUUGUUUUGCCGAAAACCCAAAUGUGAAAUUACUUUUUUCAAUUUGCUUCUAAUGUCAUGGUAAUCUUUCUUUUCCUCUUUUUUAUUUUCUUUCUUGAGCGCAAGCAACAUAUAACAUAAUUGCCAACAUUUUCUAAGAUUAUAUAUGGGUGUGGGAUAUAUGGGUAGAUCAUAAUAGGGGUUUUAAUGAGUUAGAUUGGGUUUAAAAUGACAAAUAUGAUUUUGAUUAUUUUGAGUAUCAGAAUAGAUUGCUGAUGGCACCGCAGAAAAGGGAGGAUGAUACAAGGGCAACUUGGCAUGAAAGAAUGUUGCUCAAUAAUUUUUCCUCCUUGCCUUGGGGACGAAGAGCAGUGGCGUUCCAAGUAUUGGUGAACUAUUGAUGGGCGCCGGCUAGUUAAAGAAAGAGAUGAAAUAAACUUUAUUAAAAUUUGAAAGAGGGCAUUAUAGGAUAUUCAAAUGAGAAAUUGACCUAUUAGGUCUACUUUGUUACAUAAACCGUCAACAAAAGGGAGGUGACUGUAAUUUUUCUAACCUUAGGAGGGUUAUCUGCUAUUGUCAGAAACUUCAAGGGAGGUUUCUAAAAUUAUCCCUAAUUUUUUGUCACUUGCUAAAAUAUCCAACCCUAUCUUCAAACAAAAAUUUGAUUUUACCAUUCUAAUCUUAUCCACCGAAAACUCGUAUUGCCAACGAAACACAACCAUAACUAAAUUUUAUCUAACUCUAUGAAUGAAUGCAUAUUGCUUAUUUAAUCACCCAUAAGCAUUAUAACCACCAAAUCAAUUUCAAAAACCUAUUCAACAAACUACUAAAGAGCAGAGUUAACUUUUCUUGAUGAAAAUUUUAUACUAAAUUUUUUUCAUACAAAAAGCGAUUUGUUCUAAAAUUACACAUGUAACGAGUGUUACUCUCAGCACUAACAGAGGGUAAUUUGGGAUGAACUCGCGAUAAUUUAGAGUCCUUCCUACGUGGAGACUAGCUUAUACGAUUAGCAUUGGAAUUAACAUACAUGUGUUUAUUUAUGGUCCAACACACUCUGAAUCAAAGGGAUUAAGCCCUUGUUUGUCUCAGUAACUACACCCUUCUCGCGCUGAAUUGUACCUUGAGCUAUCAUGAUUCUCGAGUAGCUAGGGAGAUCAAUAGCGUUACUAUUCCUAAUUAUUCUUCAUUAUCACCAUCACUAACUCACUGUGUUUUCCUUAUUAUUGUGCCAUCUUCUCAUUAUGAUUGCUGUUUCGCAACUGAAACAUUCUAUUAUAUGGGGAGCCGGAGCAUGCAACUCUGUAGAUGAGGAAAUGGGAAUAUCUUCAGUCAGCAUUUUAUCCAAGUAUGGAACAAACACACAGGGGAAGGUUUACCAUUUUGUACAAAAUGUUUGUCAUGGACCCUAAUUUUCUAAUUAGAGUGGGAACGUUCUGCACACCACCAUAGUUUAUCAUUAUCAGUUAGUAGUCUUCAAAAUCUUAACACGUUUUUUUUUUUCCCUUCACCAGUGAUUCGGUGCAAGCAAGCAUAUUUUAAGAGGAAUGAUGGUGAAUGGAAAUCAUGUAUCACAAUGCAUUAUUCAUUCAGUGGCUUUAUCACAUUGGGAGAGGCAAAAAUUCAAUGGUAUGAUCUGGAGGCUAGCUUUCGUACGUUUGUUUCCUAAUUUUUCAAUGCCCUCAACUCAAUCCUACAGGAAAAUUAAAAUUAAGCAAUAAUUUUCGCUGGUCAAGCCUUUGUAUCCGAAAAUAGAACAUACAAAAAAUGAAGAACAGAAAGGAAUAGGGUCUAUGGAGGCAACCGUAAAUGGAAAAGAUCAAGCUCGGAGGUCGAGAUUUCAACACUGUAAAACCAAAUUUCUGACGCGUACUUGGACGGCAGGUGCACGAUAAAUUGGAAAAUAUACCGACUUCCAAUUCGACCCCUAGAUCUAAAGAAAAGUCUCCUAUAUACCCAUCAAAUUUGUCGAGACUCAGAUUCUAGAAAUUUUAAUUAAACCUCCAAUUUCCGAUGAUGACAAAAGAAUUAGCUCCAGAUUCCCUGGACACGAGUAAGAUUGUCUUAGUCAGUCAGUCCAAGGAGCAACAAAAAUUGAAAGUCAAGAUGACUAUUCAUCAGUAUUGAUGUUAAUGUUACUUACUUACUUAAACAGAAGUCCUGCUCCUGCACAGAAAUAUCAUCCACGGCCUACUUCUUCUCGCCCUACAAACUCAUCUAAAUUAACGACCACUGCUUCAAUAGCAGCAGUGUAGAAGCAGGACUUCACAAGUAGUUCGGUGUAGGGAAAGGCAUGAAAGGGGACACAUGUGCAAAUGAGAAAAUGUGAAAAAGGGGCACAAUUUUUUUUCUUUUUUUUGGUCAUCUAUUGGGGUGGCUUUAAAUCUUGAUUUAGUUUAAAGGUCAUCUCAUGGGAUGCCACCACCGCCGAGACAGGAGCACUCUUCCUAAUCCCCUAACCACCAUUUCACUACGUGUCUAUUAUUGGAUAAUGACAAGAGUAGACAAAAGUUAAUCGUGGGGCAGCGGUUGGUUGUAAUGGUCAGCCCGUUUAGCACAUGACAGUAGAAAACAUAAAUUUCUCUUCGACUUAGGUUCCGUUUGAUAAAACUGAAUCUGAAUUCUGAAGUUUGAAUUCUGAAAUCUGAAUACUGAAACAAUUAAUUUGCUGAAUUUUAAGCACUGAAAAGAAAUAUAUGAAUGUCUGAAUUUUAAUGUUAAAUCUAUUUAUACUGUUUGAUAAACAUUUAUAACUGCAUGAUUAAUAAGUUAAAUUUGACAAAUUUGCCCUUAUAUUUUUUCAUCCAAAAAAAAAUAGAACCUAUGAUUUAAUUAGCUAAAAAUGUUAGGUAUGAAAAUGAUAAUAUAUAUUUUUAAAUCAAAUUAAUAUAAAAGAUGAAAUAUAUUAUAUGAGGAGUAUGAAGAAAAUGUGAAAAUCAUUCAAAAAGGAAAAAAAAGAAAUAGAAAAUCAUUAGAUAGAGAAUAUUAGAUUGUUUAAUUAGAUAAGAAUUUUGAACAUAAUUAACAAACAAGGGUAGAUUUGGUAGAUAAGAUAAGGUAAUUGAAGUAAUUCCAUUGAUUCUUAUCAGCAUUAAGCAUUCAGUUAGGAUUCUUGUACUGAAAAAAAUACACACAAGUUCAGCACUACUUAACAAGUUCAACAAAUGGAUUUUCAUUUAUCAAACGCUCAAAACAUCUGAAUGUCUGAAAAAAUUCAGAUUCAGCACUUUUCUCUGUUAUCAAACAGACCCUUAAACUGGUCUUCAACUUUACAACGAAUAAAUUCAUGAUUAAUACUAACCCUUUUUCUUUUUUCUUAGUUUACUUAACGAGUGCCCAUCGGACAAAGAGAACUCGUUAUAUGGGUUAAUUUUUUUAAUCAAAAAAUGCAGUUAAUUUUGAAAAAAUGUUUAAAUAUAAGGUAUGCAAUAGUUAUAAUUAUUUAUAUUCAUGUAAUAAGUUGAGUGCAGUCUAAGUAUCUUAAAUAAAUACUUGUUGAAAAAAUCUCUUUUUUUUUAAUAGGAAUAUCAGUUGGAAUCUUCUGUGCUACUAUUCGGUGCUAAAUUCAGUCCCCCCCCCCCCUAUCUUAAAAGAAGAAAAAAAAAGCCCUGAAAGCCUUGCUUCUCCCAAUGGUACUUUUUUCUUCCUCUGGUUUAAUACCCCAUGUAUACUACUUAAGUUGAAUAAUUGCAUUUCAGAAAAGAGUUGUCCCAUCCCAAGUUCAUCGAUUACUACUAUAGCACAAAGUAAUAUUGGGGACUAAUGCUACUCUUAUCUUGCUUUUGACUGUUGGUGAAAGUGAAGGUACAUACUUUGUUGGACUAGAGUUUUAUCUUUAUUGUUGAUAUAUGCUGUUUUGCAUCUCUAGUGAUAUAGUAGCUAAAGUUAAGGUCGCUGUUUCCAUCUACUCUUCAUAAGCGAAAUUUUUUUUGUAUUUUGAUUGUAACAAAAAUUUGCGUUUGCAUGACUUCACUUGGAAUGAUAGAUAUUGAAAUCUAAUCUCUUCAGUUGAAAAUAAGUACAAUACGGAACUAACCUCAUCCAACCGGCAUGAAUUUCUGGCUCUUGGACUAGGGAGAAAGGAGAAAAUGAGAGGGAUGGCAGCCAAGAGGGAAAAUGGGUGCUGCUUGUCUAAUCGAUGCUUGAAAACCAUGCUCAGCAUACGCGUACUCAAGAGCUGUAUUAGUCUUUCAGUAGCAUUAUCCUAAGAUUUCUAAUAGUCGUAUACGUCCAAAGAGAUCCCACCAAUUUCCCACUUUUUUUUUUUUUACAGUGACUAUGACAAAUAAAUAGUUGCAUAAAGUUUUUUCCACCGCAUAGAAAAAUGUAGUAAAAGGUUAGUAUUAAACUCAUCGGUGGAAGUUGUUAGACACUUUGGACCUGUUGCAUUCCGUCUCCCACCGCUGAAAAGUUAUCACCUCUCUCCCUUGCAACUAUUCUUUUGCGUGUGGACCUCAGAGUGCAAAAAAAGCAAAGAAGAAAAAAGGGCAAAUCCGCAUUAAGUCUUAGAUUUUUACUUGAUUAGUUGUACGUGCUUUGCUUUAGUAUGUAUACUUAAAAUUCCAGCGUAGACUAACCGCAGAUUACAAACGGAUGCAGCCUCGAAACCCAAAAGCGUGUGGCCCGUUCAUCAAAUGAGGAGGAAAGAUGGCAAAGAAAGAAAGAAAGAGAUGCACUUUUCCAUCAUACAUGUCUGGCUUCCAGGUCUUUUGGGCAAGUUAAAUUGAUUUCUUGCACGAAUGACUCCCACCAAGUCAUACUAGUAAAUUGAUCCUUGAAGGACCCGACUGGGGAGGAGAAUGUGGUUGUCAUUUCCAAUUAAUUAUUACUGAAUAUUGAUAGCUAUGCACAAUCUUAUUAUUUUUUUUUAGCAACUGAAAGAGAAAAAAUUAAUGUGAAAGAUAAGAACCAUAAACAAACGAGUAAAUCUUAUAUACACUGACAAUUUAUACGCUAUCAUGGUUGAAUGCACGACAUAUGUAUAAAAUUUGAAUUUCAAUUUCAAAUUCGAAUCAUAUGUCAUACAUCCAACGGUGAAAGUGUCAGUCAAUGUAUACAAGAUUAAUUCUAAACAAAUUGGUCUCUUAUAAUCUACAGAACAUUCAUGCUUGGCGGUUUAUAAGCAAAUGUGCAGGAGCUGACGUUUCUAAGGAUCGGCAUUCGAUCUCUUACCACUGGAAAACAAAUCCUCAUGCGCUGUAGGAUACACUACCCAGGAGUGUGACAUGACCAAAUCAUUUUCAAAUUAAAUAGAGGUAGGAGAAGAAAGGAACGGGAUUAUUAAUUAAGCAAGCAAAGCAUGUCACAGGAUGGCUACAAUUAGUGGUUGGUCAAUUUGAUAAUUUGACUUCUCAACAUGAACUUUUAGAAUUCACAUUGUCCUGUUGCAAUCAAUUUGAGUACACAUCCACGGCCAUUGUUAUCAAUUCCCAUCCCUGCAUUUAUUAUGCAUGCUGUACCUCAAUCUGAUCUGCCAGCUUCUGGGCUCGAUCAUCCUUAUCAUCUACACAUUCUUCAUUUAUGCAUCUCUCUCUCUACACAGGAGAAUCAUAAAGAAUGGUAAGCCAGCAUGCAACUUUUGAUCGGUCUUCUUGACCAUAUUAAGUGCUUCUACCAGACUUGAUCGUAGGCCUAACGAACAAUCUUCGCAUGCAAUAGAGGAAUCUGCAUUUCGUGCACGACAAAGACCAAGACCAAACAUCCUUGACCAACCAUAACCUAUGAUCAUUUAGCCUAUGUUGUAUACCUAAUUAAUGUAGAUGCCCAUUAAGUUGGCUGCCAGGCUGACUGACUGAAAGAAAAGUAAAAUAAGACGAAAACUCAGGGCGCGUUUGAUUGAUGGCUAUGCUGGGCAGGAAUAGGUGCAUCAAAGUUAAUGAUGCCUAUACCUGUUGUUUAUUAGACUACUGUAGGAAUUUUUUUUUUUAUGGGAAUGAAAGUUUUAGAUUUUGCCAUCUGCCGUUUCCUACUUGUUCUUUGGGUUUCAAAUUGAUUAGCUUUUUAUUAGAAUGAAAUCCAUUCCACUUCUGGACCAAACAUGCAAGGAAAAACGAUCAAAACCUAUAUUUACAGUGGUGUUUAUGAUUUUGAUUCCGAUUCCGAUUCCAAUUCUACAGUACAAAACAAAUGGUUCCUCAGAUACUGUACUCAUAACGUGCUUAAUUAGUUUCUUGCUGAACACAUAGGCUUUUUUCUUUUUUUUUUCUGGUGCUUCUUGAAGACUUGGCUGAUGAUAUAGUUGUCAAGUUUCUAGAGCUUCUAAUUACCAUGGAAUAUCAGACCCUAAUUCCAAUUCUGUGCUGCUAGACGAGAAACAGGCCCACACGGGUUUCAGUUUGAGAGAAGUGAAUUAAGGAGUCAUUACUCAAGGGAAUUUGGCAUGGAGACCGCCAGAAAAAGACAGUCUUAACAGCUAAGUGUAGUGUAAAUUGCAGACUGAUCCCAAAAAUCCGAAGUCCAAAUUUUUUAUAUGUAUCUUGCCGUUCCUUACUUAUAUUUACUGUUACUAUCUAGACUUCUGGCAAGAAAAGGCCAUUCAAAAUCCUUUGACACGGUGUUAUUUAUUUGAGCCAUUAAAGUGGAGCUUGAUUAGUUAGUAUCAACUGAAAUGGGGCCAUUUAUUUCUUGAUUCCAAACUAUCUUAGAUUCUUUCUUUUUCUUUCCUUUUUUUUUUUUUUUUUUUUUUUUUUUUUGGGGUGGAACUAUCUUAAAUUCUUAAGUAAAAGGGAAAAGGUAAUGAAGUAAGAUUGACAAUGUUGGUCAUUUUUGUAUGACGACCGCGCAAUGCUCUGGCCCAGCUUAUACAACAUCCUUCAUGGCCUACUCUUUUAAGUUUUUAGUUAUCAUCCUCAAUUAUCUCGAGAAGCUUCGGGUUGUACUAGAUUCUGUUGACUACUUAUUAUUUUAUUUUUGGGAAAAAUAGAAGAAUUCCAUUGGUUCAGAUUGAGAACAUGCCUGACUACAUACUUGUCCUAUUUCAUUUUCGUCACUCACAAAUUACUUUAAUGUGUCGCUUUUAAAUAUUUUUUUAAUAUUUCGAGGGUCUUCACAGUUCUUAAAAUAUCUAUUCGUGCUUAUUUAUCUUUUUAAAGUAAGCUAUAAACAUAUGCAAUUUUUUUCCAAAUAAAAAAAAAAAAAAAGAGAUAUGAAUACUUCAGAAUAUCUAUUACAAUGAAAAACAACAAAAAAUUCAACUUACUUUAGUCAAAUAGAAACAACGCCCACAAGAGCAUGCCAUUUACCAAAAAAUCAAAAUGCCCAUAAAAGCACUAUAGAAACACAAGCAUUCAUAUAAUAGCUGCUUUUGGUAUUUCAGGUGCUAGUAUUGCUGCUGCUUGAAAUGGAACGGGAGAAAUUGAUCAAGAUUGUGUUCACAUCUUCCUUUUGGUUGCAGAGUCUAUUGCACAAAAUUGUGUCUCUAUUCUAUUCAUCGUAUGAUGGAUUUGUUAUGCCAAUGUUUGUUUAGGUUUACAUUAACCUGAAGGGAUAAACAGACCAACGUGUCUAUACUCUAUAGUAAAGGAAAGCUUGAGUACUGUAGAAACACAGCUUUCCACUGAUGGUUACCCUGAUUUUUGGCACCACUACAAAUACGCAAGAAUUCUAGAUAGUUUUGUCUGGAAAAAUUUCAUCUUAUGUGUUUUUCAUUCUGUGGGAGAAAACCCACAAACAUAUACUCCCUCCCUUUUUUAUAACUGACGUUUAAGGUUUUGCACAUCAAUUAAGAAAAGUUUUUCAUUGUUUAAAUCUAUACACUACUUUCCUUUUGUACCCUCAUUAAUUAUCCAAUUCACCCAUGUUUUCUCUCACUAGAGUACUAAAUGGUGUUGUUUUACUAGGCCAAAAGCAAUGCAAACUAACUAGGAGUAGUAAUUAAGAACCCUGUAUUGGAAAAGAGAGAUAAAAGGGUAAAAUUGUGAAAAAAUAAUUAAUACUGCAUGGGGAUAGUAAAACGACAGAUAAAAGUACUUAAGAGCAAAUUUCUUAAACGUCAGUUAUAAAAAAAGGAAGGGAGUAGCUCAUAAUGUUGUUCUGAUUCACGGACCCCAAUAUAUAUAUAUUUGGCAAUUUUUGAUUGGGUGGCGCUUUUUCCGAAUGUGGUAGGAUUUGAAAUUUGUGGUUGAGUGGAUCUAUGUAGAAGUAAAUGACACCGUACAAGUACAUUUGAUUCGGCGAAUUUGGAUUAAAAAAAAAUACUCCCUCUGUUCCUUAUUAGAUGGCCUGAAUAACUAAUUCUCUUAGAUUAAGAAAGUUGGUUAUUUUCUAAAAGUCAACAAAAGUUUUACUUUACUUCUCAAAAUUACCCUUUAUCUCUCUUCAACUAUACCUAAUUAAUACUACCUGUCAUUUAAUUAUUUAGAGUUUCAAUUCAAGAAAAUUGAAAGGGUAAACAAGGGUAAAUUUGGAAAAAAGUUCAUAAAUGCUUUCUUGAUAUCAUAAAAUGACAGAUAAAAAGAAACAAUGGAUUAGGACAUCUAAUAAGGAACGGAGGGAGUAGUGAAGAAAAUUACUUGCCUCAAAAAGCUUUUUUGAAAAUUAUGUUGCAACUUUAUGCAGUUGAAAGGGGAAAGCCAUAUAGGUUGAGUGACAAGAGAGGAGGAAUAUAAGUAAGAGGUUUCGGAUUCAAAACCCCUCACUUACGCUGCUGCAAGAGGAGGGAAAGAUAAGAAAAAAAAUAAAAAAAAGGCUAUGUGCAGUUGAUGAUGUCUGUCGGAAUCAUGAAACAUAUUACUAGUAAAUUAACAAAUGGGGCUUGUAUACCCGGUCAGUCACGGCCAAGAACUUUCAACCCAUCCGAGACCGAGUUAAAACUAAUUGCAAAAGCAAUUUAUUCUUGAGCGUGCAUAAGAAAUCCAGCUACCAUUCUCACCACAUUCUAUAUACAUUCUACCUUAGUCCCGAUUGGAUAUUAAAAUUUACUACCAGUAUGAAACAAUGAAUUUGGAAAUACUAGUAGUUAAUUUAAUGGGAAGACAUUAUUGUCAAUCGGUUUGAAACAAGGCAUCAUCGAGUCACUAUCUUCCUCCAUCUUCUAAGACUAACUCAGUCUUUACUUUUAAGUCUCUCGAAAGUCUAGAUACGCUAGUUGAGUUAGGUUCGGCUUGACCUGCAUUACACAGAACAACAGCUUCAGCCCAUGUUUGUUUAAAAGUCAUCUCUCUUGCAACAAGAAUCCGUCUUAGUUUUUCUCAGAAAAGAUAAUCAUCACAGGGACUGCUAACACCACUGACGAAUCGACUUCUGAGUCACAGGAAAGACAUUCUUAAUCUGCACCUGCAAAUUAUGAUUUUCACGUGUAAUAAUCAAUUAAGACGACCAAGGACCUGGAAACCAGAAGGAAAGAGACGUGAGGGUAUGAUGUCGAAGAUGAUUUUUUUCCAGCAGAGUCACUAGUUUCUUCACACUUGGAAAUCGACCUAAAUUAGGUGACUGUAUCCGCAAAUACUGGAGCAUGAAGAUGAUACGUCACAGCAAACGGUAGAGAGAUAGAUAGAGAGAGAGAGAGAGAGAGGAUCACUCCUUCCAUCAAGAAGACAAGAAAUUCUACUAAAUCGGCAUUAGUCACUGGUUAACCUUUCAAGCAACAGUAUAGAAGACAAAAGAGUCAAGAGCUAGUGGUCUAUAUCAAGGCUUGGAAGUCUUUAUUUCUAUUACUUAAAAAAUUUUACAGUAGACUUGACUGGAUUUGGAAGUUUGACAUGCCAAUAUAUUGAUAUGUGUCAAGUUUACUGCAGGAAUAGAAGGAUCUACUCGUCGCAGUAACUGUUGCAGGAAUACAAGGAUUAUGAUUAAGAAUUUGAAAGCCCAUUCAUUCCCGCAAGUAGAUUAACAGAAUCUACCCGUUUCAAACCAUCUUUGCAGUUAAAAGACUCCAAAAAUAAAUAAAUUUGUAAAGGGGUCCCAAGCAACAUGAUACAUGCAAACAAAGAGGCACCAGCAAGUGCUGCCAAUUAAUUAAUUGAACAUCUACUGCAACCAACAAUAAGCACGAAUUGGAACUAUGUCAUAUUGAUACUGCUGCUAAUAGAGUUACCAACAAAAACAGAAUAUGAAACCUAUUUCAGUGAAGUCAUAAUAAGCAUAUAAAGGACAUCCAUGCAAAUGAAAAGGAUAACAUGAAGACAAAAUUGACAUUAAUCAAGAUCAAUGGAAUCAGGUCAUGUACCCCAAAUACCAACAUAAACAGCUCCACUUUUGCAUUUUGGCUUCUGCUCGUCUAAGCAUUGCUGAGUUGGAAGAGCCAGCUUCAAUGGUGUUUGACCUCCAAACUGCACAAUUAUCCCAUCAGGCCCCUCCAAAUCUAUUACGUUGAGAACAUCUUCAACUAACUGUCAGUGGUUCAAAAUAGGGACGAUCACUCUUUAUCAUAAUCUAUAGAUACUGUUUCAGGAUUGGAAUUCAUCAUGAUUGUUUCAUAGCCUGCAUCCUGAAAUUGAUCAACAAAAUACCAUUAAUAUGUGUAUACAUAAGAACAAAAAGGUAACUUGAAGAUUAGUACUUGCAGGUAGAAUUAAUACUAAAACAAAUUAACAAAAAGCAAUCAAAACUCAGAAUUCUAAGAUUAUGAUUGUCUUCUGCUCUAUAAUCUUUUCACUUCUUAUUUUACUGGGGAUGCAUAAGCUCUAUGCUUUCUUCUCCAUUGGUAGAUUAGUACUUCUUAAGGUGAUUAAGAUGGACGGCAAAAAAUAUGAGCUUCUUUUUUGCCCAUUUACAGCUAUGAUGCUAGCACAAUAGAUUUGGAGUGUAAAUGAUAUAUGACUGCAGUAGUUAUCAAAUUCAAUCGCUUGAUCAAUCUGAUUUGGUCCACCACCUAAAAUCAGAACCUUUUUUCUUUGGGUAGGAGCUGAUUCACAAUCAAAGUCAUAAGAUGAGUACAUGUAAGGAGUAUGAGCCUCAAAUUCGGCAGCACAUGUAUCAACUCGCUUAUGUGCUGGUUUAACACCCAAUGAUAACCGCUUUAACCAAACUUCUUUCUCUGUGAUUUUUGUAGCAAAAGCUAUCUUUUUAUCAGUGAAACCUCUCUUUUUCACUUCAUAGAGGUCAUCUUUAGUCAAGUCAGACAAUUUCUGAGACAGAAGGUAUUGUUCCACAUCUAUAAGCUCCUUCAGCUAGGUCAAGAACCACUUGUCAAUGUAACUCAGCUCACGGAUGUCAUUCACCUUCAUUCCCCUCUUCAUUGCCACAUAAAUGGUGUGGAUGCAGUCCGGACUAGGGACUCUAAGGCUGUACCUCAAGCAAUCCCAAUCCAAUUCCUUGAUUGCGCACAACCCCAACCCCACCCAGAGUAGCCACACUCAAGUGAGCAAACAACCUUCUAAAAGGAUUCUUGGAACGUCUGACCAACAGCCAUUGAUCCACCAACAGACUUCAUUUGGGUUGUCAGAAUAGGCUCUGAGCCUGGGAACUUCUCAAUUGCAAAACAGAGUAUCUGCAUGUUCAACACCAUUUUCCAGGAAAAAGAAAAAUGUCUAAUCCAUAACAAGACAUGAAAAAAGUGUAAGACAGUAAUCUGGUUAUAACUAGAACAAAGAGCAUGCCAACCUGCAGAUAGUGAAAAUAGUAUAGGCAACAUGCAGAAUGCUAUCUUGAUUCAGAGAAAAUGCCAAGGAUUAAGUCCCAGGUUGACAGUUAUAAAAUUUAUACUAUAGGAGGUAUUGAUAGGCUGCUAGACAUUCUAACCAUAUAAGAGUAAACUUUUAAUGAAUUGGCAUACUCAAGGUAAAUGCUGACUGCAAUAUUCUUCUGAUACCUGGGCCCUUAUCCAUCUCCUUUUUCUAAGUCAUACUAAUUCUUUUCCUUUUGUUGGUAGGAUUGAGGAAGUGGAGGAAGACAUGACACUCUAAAGUGGAGGAAGACAUGACACUCUUCAAGUGGAGGAAUAGAUGGCUUGUUUCCUGAUGGUAUCUACUGCAGCAACACAGAACACUUCAAAGGGAGGAUAAUGGUAGAUCAAAAUUUUAAAAAAAAAACACUCAUAAAGCCCUUGAAUUUCAUAGCCUGCAUAAAGUAAUUCAGAAAGGCUUUCAGAUGCACCCUCUAGAUCACAAUGAAAGGUGACUAUUAGCGAGCUAGGAUUAAUAGAUGUAGAUAGCUAUAUAUAGAAAUAUAUGAAGAAUAGAGGAAUAUCAACGGAAACUUAACUUGCAAACCCACGUCACUUAAAUCUAAUUUCAGCAACAUAAUUUUUCAUGCAAAACAUUUGCCACAGCUAUGGCCUUAUGAAAAUUGUGACAUGAUUCUUUGCCUGAUAACCAGAGAAGUAAAGCAGAGAUUCAUAUCCCACCUCAAUUUAGAAUGCCUAAUUUUCUUCCUUUUGCAGGGCAUUAAAGACAGAUACAAAGGCUCAUGGACAGUGGUUUUGUUUUCUUUGUUUUUGUUGGAUGAUGAUAACUAUGCAAUAUUUAGCAAAGUUCAAAUAUUUGUAGUGCCAAGGAAAAAAUUAUAGAAUGAGGAUGAAUGAUGAUAGUAACUAUCAAAUAUUUGGCAAAGUUCAAAUAUUUGUAGUGCCAAGGAAAAAAUUGUAGAAUGAGGAUGAAAGAUACUAGUUUGCAAACACUUGGUUUUGGCCAAGGAAUUUUGCUUUGAGUCUUCUCCAGAACACAACAUGCAACAUUGUAUAUGUAGAUAAAGCAAUUUUGAUCCAAUGAAAAGAAACAAGAAAAGAUCUCACACCUGUUUAAACAUGUAACAAUGUAUGUGUAGGUAAAGCAAUUUUGAUCCAGUGAAAAGAAACAAGAAAAGAUCUCACAGCCAUUCAGUUAAUGAAGUUCACACAACCUUCUUAAAGGAGCAGCUAGUAUUAAAAUAUCCAAGACUAUAAGAAGGGAUACCAAAAAACAAAGAGCACCAAGUGGUAAACUAAAAUAUGAUUUGCAUAGUAUUUAAAUAAUAAGAGAAGAAAAAGGCAGGAUUUUAAUAUAUCAAAGCAUGGCCACAGUGAUAGUUAUCUCACAACCAGCAACACUUGGAAUAUUCCAAGUAAAAUUGUAGAGACAGGUCAUAAUCUUUAGCAUUAAACAACUUAAGUUAUCACUCUCAAGUACCUUUCUCUCAUCUAUUUGGAUCAUCUAGAAGAUCAAAACUGUCUAAUAUGAUGAACUCGAAAGGAUUAAGGAUGACUGCCUUCUAAAGCACCAAUCGUUAUGUAUCGAGGUUACUGUGCUAACUAAGAAAUUUAUGAAAUGAGACCUCAUAUUCCCGUCAAGAAAACAAUGCUCAUCAAUAAGUUCACCAAAAAGCUUGUAAAAACAAAAGGCAUGGCAAUAGGAAGAGUUGUAAUAUCAACUAUUAGUUCAUGGUCACUUGAUCUCAUGACACUGCAAAUAAAUUUGAGGAAGAAAUAAAAAUAUUCAAAGAAAAAUAUAACCAAACUGCUUAUGACCGAUAAAUUUGAAUCCUUAGUAAGUCACCAAAAGUUCUGAAUCAAAUUUCAAAGAAUCUUACAAGACAACAGCAACAAUGCACUUCAAGAAGUGUAAAAGCAGAGUCAAAAUUUUGGAUAAUGGGAUGAAAACUUACCUUGGUAACCACAUAAUCUAUAUAAGGUUCAAAACUUGCGGGUAUUUUCUUAGUGAUGUCAUUAGGAAUCUGAUCCAAGGAGUAACCAACUGAUAGUUUAGCAGCAAUAUUCGCUAUGGGAAAACCAGCAGCUUUGGAAGCUAAAGCUAAAGACCUUGAGACUCAAGGAUUCAUCUCAAUCACCAUUACCUCUCCAUCUACAGAAUUGAUCGCAAACUGAACAUUUGAACCACCACAUUCAACCCCAAUUUCCCUGAUAAUAGCAAUAGUGUAAUCCCUAAGCCGCUGAUACUCUUUGUCUGUCAAAGUCUGUGCAGGAGCUACAGUGAUAGCGUCCCAGUAUGGACCCCCAUUGGGUCAAUAUUCUCAAUCGAACAGAUAAUAACCACAUUGUCUGCCAAGUCUCUUAUAACCUCAACCUCAUAUUCUUUCCAUCCCAAAAGAGAUUUCUCCACCAAAACCUGAAAAGUCAUGCUAGCUGCAAGCCCUGACUUACAUAUUGCCUCAAAUGCCUCCCUAUUAUAAGAAAUACCACCUCCAGUUCCUCCUAAUGUAAAAGCUAGCCAAAUGAUCAAUGGAAACUCCCCAAUAGAAUUUGCUAUCUCAAAACACUCCUCCAGAGUAGUUCCAAUCCCGGAAGGAGGAGUCUUUAGCCCAAUAUUUUCGAUAGAUUUUUUGAAUAAAUCUCAAAUUCUCAAUCCUCGGCCUUCUUGAUUGCUUCAAGCUUCGCCCCAAUCAACUCAAUGCCAUAUUUGUCGAGCACCCCACUUUCAGCCAAUGCCACAGCAAGGUAAAGAGCUGUCUGCCCUCCCGUAGUUGGCAAUAAAGCAUCAGGCCUCUCCUUCUCCAGCACUCGCUCAACCAGCUUCGGUGUCAUAGGUUGAAUAUAAGUCCUAUCAGCCAUCUUUUGGAUCAGUCAUUAUAGUGGCAGGAUUCGAAUUGAUGAGGAUCACCUCAUAACCCUCUUCCCUAAGCGUCUUACAAGACGGACUCCCCGAAUAAUCGAACUCACAAGCUUGCCCAAUCACAAUAGCCCUGCACCUAAAAUCAAAAUCUUCUUGAUAUUCAUCCUCUUUCCAACUUUUUGGAAACCAAAAGCCCCACCAUUCGUCGAACCAUUGCUGUCACAAACGGCAUCCUUCUCACAUCGAAUUGAGUUCACCUUCACUUUCUGGUUAAAUCUCGCAGAAUGCAGGAACAACGGACGGCAUUGAAAGUUCAAAUGUGAUAUCACACUCCUCUUGGUAGGUGGCUUGGUGGGAUUGAAGUAUAACAUAAAAAGAUUGGAUUUUGAUAAAUAAUUUUUAGUGGGGUUGAAACACUAUAUGGCUGUGAUGAUGAUGAAAUGAGCGUGGAUGAAACAUUUUCACAAUGAUUGAUACAAUAGGCCAUCUCCCACUAUCCCUCCUCCAAUCCCUCUUAAUUAUUAUUCUCCUUCAAAUUUUAGAUAAGCUGCGCAACCAGAAAACACAAAGCAACAAUAAUAUGUAUAUAUAAAUCACUUGAAAAUAAAAUUCAUGUUAAACAAAAGGAAAAUGGGCUAAAAGGCUUAAGGAGCAGAACAGAUAAUAGGCAAUUACAAAAAUAGAAAGACAACUAGCUCUGCCUUAUGCAUUUUCUUUUUUUUACUUUCCGAAUCAAAAUAUAAUAUAAUCCCUAUUUUUUGGGAGGGGAAGGUGGGGAAGGGGCUUUUCAGGGACUGCGGCAUUAGGGUUUAAAAGAAGCCACAGGCCAGCCGGAGACGACGAUUAUCCAAGUGAAGCGAGUAAGAUAUGUGUGAGUUGUCAAACUGCCGUUUGCCAAAAAAAUAAAACUAAUAACUAAUGCUAAAAAAAAGGUGGGAUUAAGUCAAUUUCUUGAGUGGAUAAAAACUGUCAAACUUGAAAUAUACGAUAAAAAUAUACAAUAAAAAGGUGUACUGUUGUAGUCUUUUUUUUUUCUGAACACAAUAAAAUCUAUUCUAAAUUUAGUUUUACAAAACCUGAAUUUUUAAAAUACAAGUUUUGCUCAAGUAAAAUUUUAAAUCUCUUUCGCGGGGGUUGUUGAUUGUGAACUGUUGUAGUCAUGCUAUGAAGCAUCAACACCUCGACCGCGACUCCGGGAGUUAAGUUGGAGUCGCCGUCAAAGGUUGGCGCUUGGCUUGACCGAUACCCAUUCUGCGCAAAAUACUUUGGACAGUAGCUAUUAGGGUUUGGAAUUAUGGUAGCUUAUUAUUGAAAGUAAAAGUAUUAAGUAUUUGAAUAUUUUGAAGUAUAUUGUUUGAAAACAUAAGAUUAAUAACUACUUAUUGUAUUAAAUAAUUUAUAACUUAAAAAAUUUUAAAUAUAUUUAUCUCUUUAUUUAGUUUAUAAUAUAGGAUAAAAUAAUUAAAUUUAAUGAUUUAUUUUAAAAUCACAAAAACUAUUCUAAAAACACUAAAUUUGAGUUUUUACUAAAAAUACUUUUAAUACCAAAAAAACUCCACUCUUAAUUUUAUAAAAUGAUAUUUACCAAAUGCCUUAUCGUGAUUCCACUCAAAAUUAUGAGGCGUCAUGUAGAUAUUUUCCACCGUAGUAAAUACUCACAAAACGAAUUGGCCAAGGUUUAAAUAUCUAAUGCAUAACAAUUUAGUCAAUUUUGUAGUUUUUUCUUUUUCUUUUUCUUUGGACAGUAGUCUAAUUUCACCAAGUAAAACAAAGACAAAUGGGAUUGGAGGAAAAAAACAAAAAAACGAAGACAAAUGGGCUCUGAGACUCAUAGAGGGCGUCUUUAUCCAUUAACUCGAGAACUACAGACACUACUGAACUUGAAUUUGACAUUUUCCCCCUACAAUUCCUUCAAUUAGCCUCUCAACUAUCAAAUUAAUCUUCAAAAUCCAUCCCUUUUGAAGGUACAUCUCCAAUGCAUACUGCCUUGUGUGAAAAAAGAAGUUUGUAAACUGCAACAAUCUUGCAUGUUUUUUUUAAAAAAAAAUGUUCCAAAUUGUGCUACCUUUCACUGCUGGGCAUUUGCUGUUUGGUGCAAUGUGCUGCUCAAAAUUUGGCCCUUUGCUCCAAGUAUUAAAACAAGACAAGAAAAGAAAACGAAAUUGUGCAUGCUCGAGCCUACAAGAGAUUUCUAGAUUACAUAGUUUGGGUUUUUUUUCAAAUACUGUUACGAUCUGUCUAUAGUAUGUGAUCAAGAUGAUGCAUUAUUGAUAAUUGGUAACCGCUCUGAAAUGGUGUAUUCCUUUGCGUAGCAGGGGGAGAAGACACAGAGAUACUACCGUUUCUUUCCGGGGGCUUCUAAGAAAAGUGUAGUGGUAACUACUAACAAGUCAGGAUUAUCACGUUAUUUACCAAUAUUUUAGGGUACUAUCCCCUCAAUUUAUUUUUAAUUUAACGGCUGAUUAUCACGUUAUUUACCAAUAUUUUAUGUUACUGCACUCUUUUUUUUUUUUUUUUGAGGACUUCAUGUCGCAUUACAAGAGAGAAGAAAGUUGAACAAAGGAUCUCACAAUGGGCCUAACUAAUUUCUACACUAUUUAAGGGUUCAUUUGGGCUUGUGAUAGUGUAUUGAAAAGCACUUUACCUAAUAGAAUUGACACUUAUUAAGUGUUCAAGUACUUUUAACAAUAUUGUUUGGAUAUAUAAUUUAAUAAUCACUUAUUUGUAUUGGAUAAUGCAUACUUUUAAAUUUUUUAAAAAUAUUUAUAUCUUUAAAAACACUAAAAUUUAGCUUUUGUUCAAAGUGCUUUUAACACCAAAAUUUUGAGAGAGGGAUGAAUUGAAUGGUACAGGAAGAAUGAAUGUCAGUGACUCGUUUUGGAUUCAAAACCUCCCACUUACACUAUAAGAAGAAAUAAAAACUUCACUCUUUAUUUUAUCAUAUAAUAUUCACCAAAUACCUCAAAAGUUAUUUUUUACCAAAUGGAAAAAAUUCACUUUUUGUCCUUAAAUUUUGAAUUAUGGACACAUUUUAUCCUCAAACUUUUAAACGCAUCACAUUUAGUACAUGAAUUAAUUAUUUUGCACCACAUUUAGUCCAAAAAGGAUAAAAUAUUCAAUUUGGACAAAGAAGCCUGACGUGGCUAUUGAUUUUGACUGAGAAAUUGUUUUUACUUAACGGCCAUGUGCCAAACAUGUGACUUUCUCUGUCCAAAUUAAGCAAUUUAUCGUUUUUUGACUAAAUAUAGCAAAAAAUAAUUAAUUCAUGUACUAAUGUGGUGCGUCUAAAAGUUUUGGGAUGAAAUGUGUCCCUGACUCAAAAUUUAGGGACAAAAAGUAGAUUUUUCCCAUUACCAAAAGCAUUGCAACUCUAAAUGAGGCAUAAGUUGGGUGUUGAAUACUGGGUACUAAGAACUUAGAACUUAUUUGAUAAUGCAAUUCAACACUUUAAAUUUAAUGGAUUCAGAUAUUAAUAUGUUCAAAUGUAUUUGAUAAUAAAAUUUAGAACAUCUUAAUUAAUUAAGUGAUUCUGAAUUAUUUAAGCAAAAUUUACUCUAAAUUGUUCAGUUAUCACUUAAUGCAAAAUACACACAAAUGUUAAAAUUUUAGUACUUAACAAUUUGGUACUUUAACAAAUUCAUAUAUCAUAUUUCAGAUUUCAAUUUUCAGUUUUAUUACAUGUACCAUUAGUAUUAUUGCACUUACUCUAAUAGGGUUAAUUCUACUUUGCACCCUUUAACUCUACUAAAAUUGCUACUUUGGUCCUUCAAUUGUAAAAUGAGAUACUUUAGUCCCUAAGUUAUAAAUUUUAUCCCAUUUAAUUAAGAUCAUCGAGGAAAUGGAAUAGAUUUUAGACUUAUGUAGAUAUACUUUAGGGACUAAAAUAGAAAUAAUUUUAUAUUUUAAGAACUAAAGCAGUGGAUAGGGUAUUAUUUGAAAUAUUAUUUGGAAUAAUUACUGUAGCACUUUUUGUGAUGUGAUGUAUGUGAGAUAAAAAGGUAAUUGGGAAGAUAAAAAGUUGUAUUGAAAAUUGUAAUGGUGAUAUCAGCAAAUAUAUUUGGCCAAAUAGUCUACUGUCCAAACAAACCCAUUAUUUAGGGAUUAAAGUGGAACAAACUCUAUAGUUUAAAGACUAAAGUAUCCCAAUUUUAAGUUUAGGGACCAAAGUAGAGAUUGGGUACAAAAUUGUGUUGCAUCAAAAGCAACUAGUAUAUGUAUCAUGCUAUAAUCGUAAGUUUUAAGUUUUUAUUUUUAUCAUUAGGACGUGUUAACACAAAAAGUCAUACGGAGAAAGAUAUUUAAGUUUAUGAACCAACAAACACGACGAGCCGAAGAAACAAAAUUUGAGGAAAAUUAACCAUUGCUUAGAAUAUGGUUAAUUUUGAGAAGUUUGUGGGGAAAAUUGUGUAAUACAUAAUAAUGCCUGUCGCAAAAAGUGCUAUCGUUUCAUAGUUUUAUUUGAAAAAGGGGACGGCUCCAUAGUUUAAGUUAGGGGUGGCAAUUUUCGACACGAUCUGAAAACACGACACGAAUCUAACACGAAAUUAAUGGGUUUGGGUUGAGGUUUCGGGAAUUCGGGUCAGAAUCGGGUUGGACCCGAUGAACCCGAAAAGAAAACAGGUAGAUUUCGGGUCAACCCGUGGUGACCUGAUAUGACCCGUUUACGAAUUAAAAAUAAUUUAAUAAACAUAAAAAUAAGUUUAUCUAACUAAACUAAGUUAUUCUUUUUUUCAAAGGCAUUAAUUACUUAAUCCUAAAUGAAUUUAUUUAAUUUGUGUGAAGUUAAAAUUAUUAUAUUUGGACAAAUAAUAUAUUAUAUUAUUUUUUACUUUUAUAUUGUUUUAAUUUAUUUUAUAUUUUGUUUGGGAUAAAACACUUUUACGGUGUUUAAUUUAUUUUAGAUUUGGUUUGGAAUUAUUUAUUUAAAUUUUUAUUACUUGAUUAUGUAAUUAGUUUUGUGAGAAAUUGAUGUUAUUAGAAAUUACAGUGAUAAAUUAAUAAAUUAAAAUUAAGUUUCGGGUCAUUUCGGGUCGACCCGCCAACCCGUCAAUCUGAAAUUUUCGGGUUCGGCCCAACAGAUUUUCUGACGGUUGACUCGAACCCGACCCGCCAACCUGAUUUAGACCCGAAUUGCCACCCCUAGUUUAAGUGAAGAGCCCGGUGAGAGUAUUGAAAGUCGCGGAGCAAAAGAGUGGCUUGUAUUUGUUGUUCUUGAGACUUGAUUUAAUUAAAUUAUUGAGUUUUGUUUGGGUGUUUAUCUCUUUCCCUAUUUUCACAUAUUUUUUAAACCAUGUUAAUAUAUAUUUCCAUUUUUUGACAAAAAAAAAAUAUAUAUAUAUAUAUAUUUCCAUUAUAGUUUUUCUUUUGCCAACAGGAUGAAAGCUCAAUUUAUCAUUACAGUUAGGAUUGAAAAAUGAAUCGAGCCAUUUGAUACUCGAAUCAAACUGUUCGAUAGUCAAGUUAUACUCGACUAAGUAAGAACUUGUUCGAAUUUAGUUCAUCAAUUAGUUAAAUCAAAAUUAAACGGGAUUUAGCUAGUCGACUAGUCAAGUUAACAUUGAACGAUACUUUAUGUUUGAUGACAUUCAAAUUUAAUAAAAAAUUCAUUCAAACUUGAUUCGAUAAAUAAACAAACUAAAUUUAAAUAAAAUUUUAAAUUUAUUAAAAUAAUUAAAUAAAUUUGGACACUAAUAUGUUCAGAUUAAUUAGCAUCGUUUGCAUCCUAGUUACUGUCUGAUUCACCGCUUUACUUUCUUGUUUCUGUUUUUUGACUUUUUCUUUUCCAUUUUCCCAUACGGAAAGCUGGAGAAAGGAAAAAAGGAGUAAAGGACAAAAUGACACGGACACUGGAUUGAAGCCAUUUGGUGCGAUUGGUUUCCUUCCCGCUGCCUCAGAAUCUUCCAAGAAGAUGUGUUGUCCCGCUGACAUACAAUUGACGAAUAUUAAACGGUCUAUCAAAUUGGGCCGGCUGUCCAAUUUCACACGAACCAGACAGUUAAUUGACGGAAACUUAUGCCGUCGUCAUCGGCCCAGUCAGAGCUCAAGAGGCGUGCGGUGGACUUUGACUUUUUUGUUUCAAUCAACGCGUCUUUUACUUCCAUUUCAACAAAACUCGUAUCAUUACUCCCAACAUUUAACCCCUCCGCAACUGGAAAGCGCUUUAUGGAACUAACGAUUUGUUUAAUACUUUCCAACGCAUAAUCUGACGAGCUCCUCUCGUAACGUCAGUUAAUCAAUAACGUCUACUAACGCAAUUCCUUAAUAGUCUCUUUGUCUUCUUCAAAAACUUAAUCCGCCAAAAAAAAAAAGAGAAAACGUUGUUAUUAACUUCCUUCUCUUCCACAUUUUCUUCUCCAUUUGAACAAACACAAGUUACAACAACGUUGGAGAUUUGUUGUAGGUUCUCUUGUUGCUCUUGUUGUUGCUGCAAAGGUUAAGGCCUUCGAAAAAAUGGUUCUGAUGAAAGAGUUGUAUCCUUUUUUUCCCUCAUGAGAGCCAUUCAAAUAGAGUUCGGUUUAUUUGAGAAUUUUGUCGACAGGGCUUGCGAAAUUUUUACAUCAUCUUUCUUGCUUUACUUUCCCUUUUGGAUGCCGGGUAUACUUUCCCUUUUGCGUUACUUUCCCUUUCGGCUGUUGAUUUUUUUUUUUUUUGUUUUGCUAGUUCAUUUCCUUUUUUGUUAGAUUGGAAUUUGGGCUUUUGGAAAUAGUUUUACUCUUAUCGAUAUUCAUUAAAGUUCUUUAAGUUUUAUAUUUAUGGUAUCCUUAUAAAAUCGGUUAUCACAUAUUUAUAUCCCAUCUGCAGUUUUUUUUUUUUUUGGGCUAAGAAAAUGUGCAUGGAUAAAUCUUUGUUAAUAAGCUUAAAUAUAUGAAAAGGGCCUGAUGCCUCCGAUUUUCCCAAACCAUACUGUUUCUGUUCGUUUUGCCCGUUUUUGCGCAUAUUCCUUGACCAGAGAUUUUGUUGACUGGGGGCUUCUUUGAAGUCGAGUUGUCAUGCCUUUGACAUUGGAAGAGGUAAGCUUAUCAUGGAUGAGCUUCUGAAACUUUUUGACAAGUCUGGUAAUUCUUGAAAAUUAGCACUAAUUGCUUUGUUUUGAUGGGCUUAAUAAAUUGCAGUAUCAGAUAGCUCAGAUGUACAUGGUCAUGAAAAUGCAGCAGGAGAACACCGCGGGAACUGAAGGGGUGGAGGUUUUGGAAAAUAGGCCUUUUGAAGAUGAUGAAUUUGGAAAGGGUCAAUACACAUUGAAGUUGUAUAGGCUACAGAGGUAACUUGGUGCAGAAUAAUGGUCUUUAAUUUGAACAUACUUGUUACAUUUGAUUUGUACAAGAAAGAAGAUGCACUAUACUGCUAGGUGAUUUCUUUUCAUGGAAUGUCUUAUCAGAGGGAAUCAACCACAUAAGUGGUUCGAACAUCAUACAUUUUCUGCUUUGGUCCAAUUGAUGAGUACUUGAUAAGAUUUCUUCUACAUCGCUGCUAAUCGGUAAAUGUUGCGUUGGCUAGUUCAUCUUCAGAAGCAUUAGGUUUUAGGCCUCCAUAUUCAUCUGCAACUCUUUCUCGAGUCUUGUUUAGAUACUAUAUUCAUUCAUGGUUGAUGCUAGUGCUCUGUGAGGCAUUGCUAACUUUUUCAUUGAAAUGGCACUCUUGCUUUUCGUAGAAUAGGCGUUCUACUUUGUAUCGUUACUUUCUACAUCAAAUUCCAUCUAGUAAGAUGUGUGGUUAUGUCAGCAUCUAUUUCUAGAAUGUAAUCUUUCCUGUACUGCUGCAUUCACUUCUGUUUGCAGCAAAGCUCCUUUAUGGUUGACAACCUUUGCACCAGCUGAUGCCCUUGUGAUGCAAGAGGAAGCUUGGAAUUCUUACCCCAGAUGCAAAUCAGGUUAAAUUAUAAAAAACUUUCCUUGCAUUUGUUACUGCAGUACUUAGUCACAAUUGUUGAUUCUUUUCAAUUAUGGGAUUAAUUGUUUUUUCUAAACUUACUUUGAUGUUUCCACUGUUUGCCAUCUGAAAUUUGGCAUCGUGUUGCACAGUCAUUCAGGUAACUAGACUUUAACCUUGGAACAAGUUUUAUUCUGUCCGUGUCCUUGUGGAAUGUUUAAUAUUGAACUACUCUUUGAUAUGUUAUUUUGCAGUGCCCAUAUUUUACAAAGUUCCGUCUAACUAUUGAAACUAUUCACAAGGCUGAUAACGGACAAUCUGAAAAUGUAAGGUCUAAGUUUCUUUUAACUUCUUUUUUUCACCUUGAUCAGGUCAUUUGACCAGUGGAUAACAUAACCCAUACAUGAUCUGCGUGAAGAAAAAUUCAAACUGUAUUCUUGUUAAUAUUAACUUGACAACUUACAUUUUGCCUGCGAACUCCUGUACAUGUGCUUCCCAAACUUCAUUAAUGGUAUUUUGACAAUAUAGGUGCAUGGUUUAAGCAAAAAUGAACUAGCAGCCAGAGAGGUAGAAGUACUUGACAUUGCUUCAACAGCUAGUGAUUAUUGGAGUUACAUUAUUGGAAGGAACAAUAUUGAUUUCUCUACAUUCCAAUCAGCAAGGACAGGCCGGGGUCCACUUCUAGAGGGUUGGCAGGUUGUUUUAUCUACUUCUUUAUUUGUAUGCAUUGAUACAUAAUUCAGUCAAAAGUAUAUUCAUUAGCAUAUUUUAGGAUAAACGUAUCAACAAACUUAUUUUUUAGGUUCAACCUCUUCGACUGAGAAACAUGGCCUAGUUCUUAUCAAACAGGAUUGGAGAGCUUAGUAAUAUGAAGUGGCUUAAGACGAAAUGUGCUUGCACUCAAGUAUUUUGUGUAUGGAUACAUAAAAACGCUUUUGAGGGACUAAAUGGCAUAGCUCGUCUGCAUGGACCCUUUUUUGAUCCUUAAGCCGAGUAAUAAUAUCUAUUUAUCUUAUGAACUGACCUUCUUUUUUAUGAUGCCAGAAUAGCUGUGAUCCAGUUAUGACAGCAUACAAAUUGGUGACAAUUGACGCUCCAUAUUGGGGCUUUGGUAGCAGACUCGAGCAAGCUUUGAUGGCGGUAUACAUUUCAACUCUAGACAAUCUCAAGUCAUUGAAAUUCAAAUUGGUUGUAUACUGGAUCCUUAGGAUUCUAUUGAUAAUGAUUAUUAAAAUUUACCCCUUACGCCAGUGCUAGGACCUCAGGUUAGAUGGCAUUGUCACUUUUAUUCAAAGAGUAAAAGCUACUAAAUGAUAUUCACAUGAUGGACCUUUUAUAAACUUGAAUUAGUUGUGUUAGCAACUUUUGUGAAAACAUUCUAUUACUUAACUGAAGAAACCAAAUAGCACCAGAAGAUACAGCCCUAAAACAAAGAGGGCUUGCCUGCCAUAUCCAAAUACAAUCUAAGAGCCUGCAUUGAGGGUAUAAUGUUGAAUUUUAUAGAUAAGAUUCCUGAUGCUCAAAUCUAUCCAAACCCUAAACUGCACACCUGUUAUAUAACUGAACAGUGAAAAAUUAGUUUAUUAUUCAUAUACUGAUACAAACCACUCAUAGUUUGGAAGAAUUUACUGUUCUUAUACUAGCGCAGUUUUGUGGCAACAUGUUCUCAUUUUGUCCUGAUUGCCUUGAUGGUUUAAGAACUUUCCAUCCUUCUGAAUUUUAGUAUUCUUUUGAUUGUUUUCCUUCAUACUUCAAAUUGUCCUUCUUUCUGAGUUGGGUUUUGAUUUGGUUGUGCCUUUUAUAUGAGGUUGGAGCAAUGAUUGCUAAAUGAGGAAACACUGUAACAUAUUGGAUUUUACAGCAGCAGGAAAAAAAAAAAUGCUAGUUAAAAAGGGGAAAGCUUCCAACCAUUAGCAAAUGUUGAUUUACUCUGCACUACCAUAGUUGCCUUGUAUCCUUUACUUCUUUCCCUCCCAUAAAUUUAUUCUUUCCUUCGGCAAUCAUUCAGUAUUUCAGUUGAGGUGAUCCAAAGUGCCGUCUUGGACUCUCUCUUUUGCUGACCUUUGUCCACCCCUGAUGCAGUAUGAGAUCCCAUCAGUCGCUAGGGAAUUAAGGAUUUACAGUACCAAAUGCACCAACCUCUUUUUGUUGUUUGAUGACAAUGCUACUUGUGUUGGUCUCUGUUGUGCAUUAGAUUGCAGUAUAUACUUGGCUUUACAGGAUUUCAUCUCUACAGGGUGAAAGGGCACUUUUCCUUGAAAGUCAUCGGAAUUCUUUUGCUUGGAUUGAUGAAUGGUUUGGACUGACAGUGGAGGUGAUGCGUGAGCUAGAGCAACAAAGUGACACCUCACUUAACGAGGUAAGGAAAUACAGGACCCAGAUUUUGGUAGGAAAUUUACUCUCGAUUGAUAUACCUUAGGUUAGAUUAUUAUAGCACAAUUAUUUCUGCUGUAAUGGUCAUGACAUUAUUGUUUUUCCAAAUCAGAAAUUUGGUCGGCAGUGUUUGGUCGAAAGCUAGGAGAGUAACACAAUGAAGUGUCCUCUCUUGAUAUGAUCGAGGUGCUACGCCCUAAUUUCGCCAGUUGAGCACCAUGCUAAAUCCGUGGUAAAUAGAAGAUGGAAAGGAUGAUGCAUCGGAUGGUGCAGAAAAUUGGAAGAUGGCAGUCGUCGCGUUUUAAGUUGAGGAAUCCAUGAUGGGUCCCAGUUUUUCCUCGAAUUUAUGAUGGGAUUCUAUUGAACUUUUUUUUCUUUUUUUGGUAGAAGCAUGUACAUUUGAAACUUGUAUAAAGAACUGUAAUCUGAUUACGGUUAAAAAUUGAUGUAGAAGGUGGAGAUUGGUGCAAAAGCAUUAAUAAGAAAAAUGUUCUUUAUUUUAAUAUGGUGGAAUAUUUUUUUCACCUGCAUCUGCAUGGCGUUGCGAGCGGACUAUUGAAUUUAGUUGGAUAAUUACUCAUAACUUGUAUCAUCGACACAUUUUGUAACCAUGUCUUCAUUUCAUAUGUAUCGCAUAAAAGAUGUAUUAUCCCCAAGUGUGUAUGGUUUGGAAGGUCAAUAGAGGCAGCUAGCCCAUUCUCAACCUGGUCAGCCCUCUUAUAUUUGGGCCGAAACCUCACAUGCUCGGCUGAUUUCGCCUGAUGAAUUACGGAUAAGGUUAGCCCAUUAAGCAUGAGCCUCAACGAGACCCCAGCCCAUGUUUUAAUCGGCAGCGAAACAAAAAGAAAAUUAAAUUUGAAGAAAUCAAGGAUUUUGUAGGAGAUUUUGCAGUGUCUUUUGAGCAUCUUUACUUCGAGUGAAUAUCAGCGUUAGGUGUUUAAGUUUAAAGUGUUUUGGGCUCUAAGAUUACAGUAACUUUAAAGUAUUUUGAAUUGAAGAAACGAAUAUUAAUUUGUUUCUAUAUAAAGAAACACCCAAAAAAAAAAAGAAAAAGAAAAAGAAAAAGCGGGCCACCACUCUGGUUUGAACUCACUUCACAUUUGGCCUUUCAUGACUCCUGAUGAAUGCUAUUAUAUAAUUUAUGGAUUUUUUGCCCAAUUUUCUUGUCAUUAUUUUAAUGUACCCAAUGCUUCUGUAACACGUAGGUCCUUCUAGGUAGUAGUAUUUGCGAAGAGAAGCUGGGUAACGACGAGUCGUCGUGGAUGUAAAUUAGCAUGGUGUGGAUUUCGUCGCGUACCGGCAUACAUCAUCCAUCUCUGGUGCAUUCCGAGUAUGCCAUGAUUGUUUUGUCUGAUGACAGUGGUACGUAGAUAUAGAGAGGACUCCUAGGUUUGCUUGGCAGAGAUUUGGAUCAGUAGUUGUGUUUUUUCUAGGUUUGCUUGGCAGAGAUUUGGAUCAGUAGUUGUGUUUUUUGCAGUAUCUGACGACAAUCUGCUGAGCUAGCUCACGUGUCUUUGGUUUCUAGUUGAAGAUUCAUUUCUGCAAAUUGCCAGUCUCUCUUGUUCUUGUUCUCUAGAAAACAUUGAAACUGGAGGCUGGGGACAGGUUGGCCCAAGUGUUAACGUAGGACAGAAAAAAAAUGCAUGGAAAAUUUGGAAGAGGAAUCAAAUCAUGUUGCGUCGUACAAGUAAAAUUGAAGCUUCAAGGCUCUUCAUGCUGUCACAUACACGUCCAAAUGCUUCUUUGGUUCUAAAGCUUAAAUCCUGUUAGCCAUGCUUUAAUUUUAUCAGACGCAUCCUAAGAUAACCAUGUAUUAUUGAUUGUGUAAUUCUAUAAUUCAAUACAUUUCCAGCAUCUGUUUCGAUGAAUUUGUGCCGUCACCAUAAUAUUCAAGCCUCUCUCAUCAAUUCAAUCGCCAACUUAGCAGUUGUCAAUGUAAUUCAUUUUACACCUUCAUUUAUUUAUUUGUUUUAGGUAGAAAAUUCAGAUUCCUCCUCCAAAGCAAAAAAACAAAAAAAAAAAUCCCCAAUAAUUAAUACUCCGAGCGCUUGGGGAGACGAUGACCUUUGCUAUGAUCUGCAUAUCCCAAAAAAACCGGCUCACCUUCCCCUCAGGAUGCGUCGGUGGUGCCCUCGCAGAAAACGAAGCAAUUUAACAGGGCAAACACCCGACCCGAAGCACUCUUGCCCAUUUUACUUUCUUAUAUAAGUUGCCUCGAGUAAGAUGCAUUAAAGAUUCUCCUCUCUUUUCUUAUUUGUUUAUAGUUUGGAGACCACAGAAGAAAUCUGGUGAUGGCUCGUGGUCUUAGUGCUUAAAUUUCAUAUCAGCAUAUUAUAGGCAGUCAACUAUUCAUCCCUGAGGAAGCUAAUCAUUCAACCCUCUCAACCAGCGACCCAAACUUAUAAUAAUACUAGAGUACUGUUCUUCCAAUCUUCAGAAACAAAUUCCGAAAACACGACUUUGAGAAGAACAAUAAAAUAUACACGCAUCUACAGUCAACCUUACCAUCCAAUAUCAUAUUUAGUACAAAUCUUUUCACCUAAAUAGGGAUUGUGAACGAGCAAACUCAGAAGAUAGAUACCAAAUUUGCUUCGCAUUGAGCUUGUCUCAAAAAUGUAUCCUGGUGGGCUGUACCUUCUCCAUUCGGGUUUCACCGUAAGGUUCAUCGUUGUCCAUCCGCUUGUCGUGCCUAAAUGCUGCA
RNAcentral lists this long non-coding RNA (96168 nucleotides) under Coffea arabica (coffee). RNAcentral's name for it is "long non-coding RNA (CARA_LNC000737)". The record is from RNAcentral. Lineage: Eukaryota; Viridiplantae; Streptophyta; Magnoliopsida; Gentianales; Rubiaceae.